Molecule: long non-coding RNA, 107867 nt
Filed under: Hordeum vulgare
Lineage: Eukaryota; Viridiplantae; Streptophyta; Magnoliopsida; Poales; Poaceae
Description: long non-coding RNA (HVUL_LNC003426)
Source: RNAcentral
GUUAAGCAAGCAGUAACAUAGCCAAUCAGUGGUUUGCUAGGUCGAACAGGUUGAAGGUAAUCAUGGCAUUGUUGAGAGGCUGAUAUUUAACAUGUGGUAGGCAACGAGACAUAAUCGAUAGAAGCGAUAAAACUAGCAUGGAAAUGAUAGUAAUGGUAUCUGGGGAAAUGGUCAUCUUGCCUGAGAUCCCGCUUGGAAGAAGAACAACUCAAAGAAGUCGACGAACCAACGUAGUCGAACGGGUCCUUAUAUUCCGACACGCUUGCGGAACUCUAUCGGAACGAAGCAAACCAGAAACAAACAUCAACACAAAUAUUCACCACACGAUGCACAACAUGAUGCACAACCUAAUAUGAUGCAUGAUCAGUUCAACGAUGCAAGGGAUGGCAUGGCAAUUCACCUCAAGCAAACUCUACACAUUAAGUGAAGCUCGAUAUGCAACGGGUUGCAUAUCGACGAAACUCCACGAUUAAUUAAUUAAUUCACUCCCGUUUUAUUUACACGAAAAUAUUAAAUUGUUGUUAACAUGGCAAGGGUGAAGCGCUGAUUCUACCUGUCAUACUAGUCGGUUAACACGUGAAACAUAGAACGGAGCUACGACACAAGAACAUGCAACACAAGAUUAUAUGCCAUGAACGCGUCAUGAAUGCAAGUUCAUCAACAUCACGGCGAGAAGGGAAAGAAGCAUAUGUCGCCACGGCGAGCGAGAGGGAACCAUGGCGGCAAAACGGAAACGAUGCCACGACAAUGUUCCUAUCCCGAUAACUCAUCGAGAUAACGUGCCAAAAAAUAGGGAGCGUGUGCGGGAACGUUAAAUAAAGAAUGGGGUGAUCCCGUAUCUCGGGUUCCCAUGUGUCGAUGGCACGAUGAAAAGGAAAACAACGUGCAACAUGCAAACAUACGGCGCAAACACACGAUACAUUCAUCUCAUACAUCACUUGCACACGGUUCACGACACGUCUCAUCGAUAUACCUUCAAAGCGUGCACAUCAGAGCGGAUUGGUUCGUGGCGGACGUCGUGGAAGUCGUGGUCGUCGUGGAAGUAGUGGUCUUGUCGAAUCCACGGUGACGGUAGUGGAAGUCAUGCUACUUGGCGCAUCAUCGUCUCAUGGCGAAAUUCCCACGAGUUGGUCAUUGGACUUUGCGACCUUUGCAACCAACAAUACAUGGUGGUCUUGGCUUCGGUCUUGCGGCAGCAAAGGUCAACAACAACGGAGGUCUCCGAUGCGAUGCACAUGAAGUGGUGGUGGACUUACGGUGUUGGAUAGGGUCAAUGCGGGGAGUGGCGGGGUGAUGCAGAUCGGCACGAGGAGGCAUGCGCUAGGCCUUGGCACUCGGAUGGAUCCCAGGUGAGUGAACCCGAGGUCAAUGACCACGAGCGGUGCUGGCGUCCGUCUCAAACUGACGAGCAGAGGCAGGUGCUAUGCAACUCCAGGAAGCUAGGUCUUGGGGGCGUAGAGGAGAUCCCGUAACAGUGGGGAACGCGGAGACGAUGGGUGGACUGUGGUGGAGGCGGCGGCCGGGUCGAGGUCAUCGGCGGGGUGAUGACGAUCGGCUCGGGUAGGGGAGCUCGCUGCGCCGGGGCGAGGCAGGGGCUUCGGUCGCUCGCAACAGCUGCUCUGGUGUUCCAUCUUACAAGGCCGAUGGGAUGGACGCGGAGGCGCGACCUGGUCGAGGAGAAGAACAACGUGGGACGAGGUUGAGGUGCUCGUGGAUGGCGACAGGAGGGAGGACUCGAGCUGGAACCACACGACGAAGGAGGAGGCCAUAACACUCGUAGCCAAGCCAAGGGAGAUGGGCGCGAGGAGCUGCUCCCCUGGUGUUGGCGGCGCUGGUCGGGAGGGAAUCAUGGGGAACCAGAGGAGAGAUCAAGAGUGGAGGGGGUCGUGCUAGGGUGGAGGUUAGACAUGCCUUGGGCUAGCUGGGUGUGGCGGAGAGAAGGGAAAAGGAAAAAACGGCCCAUGAAAGAAACCAAAUAAGUUGGCCUGUUUAGAGAUAAAAGGAUUUUUCUCUUCUAUAAAUGAAAAAAAGAAGCAAAAGAGUUAUUUGGAGAGUCAAAUAAAUCCAAAGUGAGCUGCAACUAACAUGUCGAUACUACAAAAUAGUUCAGAAGCGCCACAACUUCAAAUGGAGUGAAAAGAGAAAGAGCGUUGACUUAGAAUAUUGGAAUCAAAAGAAAUUUCAAUUGCAAGUGCGCUGAUGGGUGAUUCUGAAAUGUUGAAAUAUUGGGAGGAUAUGAUAUAAAGAGAAUCAUCACGUGAAUCCCUCAAUUUAAAUAGAUCGAAGAACCAUGCAAUUUAUUUAUUUGAGUUGCAGAAAAUUUAAUGACAUGAUGGCAUGAUGACAUGAUGAAGGCAACAAACGAAUAAUUAACAUGGCGGCAACGGAAUAAAAGGGGAAUCUUCUGGAGCGUCGGUCUCGGGCUGUCACAACUCUCCUACACUACAAGAGGAUCUCGCCUCGAGAUCCAAGAAUGAAAGGGGGAGAGGAUGAGAAAGAACAAGAGGUAAAACUUUAGUCGCUUCUUUGACAAACGAGUGAAACCAACGAUCCUUGAAAGUUGCAAAGAGAUGAGGUAUGAAAUGAGAAACAAGAAAGAAUUCGCCCUANNNNNNNNNNNNNNNNNNNNNNNNNNNNNNNNNNNNNNNNNNNNNNNNNNNNNNNNNNNNNNNNNNNNNNNNNNNNNNNNNNNNNNNNNNNNNNNNNNNNCUCUUGGCGCAUUGGGCACUUGUGGGCUGUCCCACCAGCCCACUAAGGGCCUGGUGUCGGCUCCCCAAUGCCCUAUCGGGCUUCCCCGGGGUCGGGUUCGCCCCCCCCCCCCCGGUCGAACUCCCGGAACCCAUUCGUUAUUCCCGGUACAUUCCCGGUAAUUCCGAAAACCUUCCGGUAAUCAAAUGAGGUCAUCCUAUAUAUCAAUCUUCGUUUCCGGACCAUUCCGGAAACCCUCGUGACGUCCGUGAUCUCAUCCGGGACUCCGAACAACAUUCGGUAACCAACCAUAUAACUCGAAUACGCAUAAAACAACGUCGAACCUUAAGUGUGCAGACCCUGCGGGUUCGAGAACUAUGUAGACAUGACCCGAGAGACUCCUCGGUCAAUAUCCAACAGCGGUACCUGGAUGCCCAUAUUGGAUCCUACAUAUUCUACGAAGAUCUUAUCGUUUGAACCUCAGUGCCAAGGAUUCGUAUAAUCCUGUAUGUCAUUCCCUUUGUCCUUCGGUAUGUUACUUGCCCGAGAUUCGAUCGUCAGUAUCCGCAUACCUAUUUCAAUCUCGUUUACCGGCAAGUCUCUUUACUCGUUCCGUAAUACAAGAUCCCGCAACUUACACUAAGUUACAUUGCUUGCAAGGCUUGUGUGUGAUGUUGUAUUACCGAGUGGGCCCUGAGAUACCUCUCCGUCACACGGAGUGACAAAUCCCAGUCUUGAUCCAUACUAACUCAACUAACACCUUCGGAGAUACCUGUAGAGCAUCUUUAUAGUCACCCAAUUACGUUGCGACGUUUGAUACACACAAAGCAUCCCUCCGGUGUCAGUGAGUUAUAUGAUCUCAUGGUCAUAGGAAUAAAUACUUGACACGCAGAAAACAGUAGCAACAAAAUGACACGAUCAACAUGCUACGUCUAUUAGUUUGGGUCUAGUCCAUCACGUGAUUCUCCCAAUGACGUGAUCCAGUUAUCAAGCAACAACACUUUGUUCAUAAUCAGAAGACACUGACUAUCAUUGACUAACUGGCUAGCCAACUAGAGGCAUUCUAGGGAUGGUGUUUUGUCUAUGUAUCCACACAUGUAAAUGAGUCUUCAUUCAAUACAAUUAUAGCAUGGAUAAUAAACUAUUAUCUUGAUACAGGAAUUAUAAUAAUAACUACAUUUAUUAUUGCCUCUAGGGCAUAAUUCCAACAGUCUCCCACUUGCACUAGAGUCAAUAAUCUAGCCCUCACAUCACCAUGUGAAUUACAUUGUAAUAAAUCUAACACCCAUACAGUUCUGGUGUCGAUCAUGUUUUGGCCGUGGAAGAGGUUUAGUCAGCGGGUCUGCUACAUUCAGAUCCGUGUGCACUUUGCAUAUAUUUACGUCCUCUUCCUCGACGUAGUCGCGGAUGAGGUUGAAGCAUCGUUUGAUGUGUCUAGUCUUCUUGUGAAACCGUGGUUCCUUUGCUAAGGCAAUGGCACCAGUGUUGUCACAGAACAAGGUUAUUGGAUCCAGUGCACUUGGCACCACUCCAAGAUCCGUCAUGAACUGCUUCAUCCAGACACCCUCCUUACCCGCCUCCGAGGCAGCCAUGUACUCCGCUUCACAUGUAGAAUCUGCUACAACGCUUUGCUUGGAACUGCACCAGCUUACCGCACCCCCAUUAAGAAUAAAUACGUAUCUGGUUUGCGACUUAGAGUCGUCCGGAUCUGUGUCAAAGCGACGUAACCUUUUACGGCGAGCUCUUCGUCACCUCCAUACACGAGAAACAUCUCCUUAGUCCUUUUCAGGUACUUCAGGAUAUUCUUGACCGCUGUCCAGUGAUCCACUCCUGGAUUGCUCUGGAACCUUCCUGCCAUACUUAUGGCCAGGCUAACAUCCGGUCUAGUGCACAGCAUUGCAUACAUGAUAGAACCUAUGGUUGAAGCAUAGGGGACGGAGCGCAUAUGCUCUCUAUCUUCAUCAGUUGCUGGGCACUGAGUCUUACUCAAUCUCGUACCUUGUAAAACUGGCAAGAACCCUUUCUUGGACUGUUCCAUUUUGAACCUCUUCAAAACUUUAUCAAGGUAUGUGCUUUGUGAAAGUCCUAUCAGGCGUUUUGAUCUAUCCCUAUAGAUCUUAAUGCCUAGAAUGUAAGCAGCUUCUCCUAGGUCCUUCAUAGAGAAACUUUUAUUCAAGUAACCUUUUAUGCUCUCCAAAAGCUCUACGUUGUUUCCAAUCAGUAAUAUGUCAUCCACAUAUAAUAUUAGAAACGCCACAGAGCUCCCAGUCACUUUCUUGUAAAUACAAGAUUCUCCAACCACUUGUAUAAACCCAAAUGCUUUGAUCACCUCAUCAAAGCGUUUGUUCCAACUCCGAGAUGCUUGCACCAGUCCAUAAAUGGAUCGCUGGAGUUUGCACACUUUGUCAGCAUUUUUAGGAUCGACAAAACCUUCGGGUUGCAUCAUAUACAACUCUUCCUUAAGGAAACCGUUAAGGAACGCCGUUUUGACAUCCAUCUACCAGAUUUCAUAAUCGAAAAAUGCAGCUAUUGCUAACAUGAUUCUGACGGACUUAAGCAUUGCCACGGGAGAGAAAGUCUCAUCGUAAUCAAUUCCUGGAACUUGUGAAAAACCCUUUGCCACAAGUCGAGCUUUAUAAACGGUCACAUUACCGUCAGCGUCCGUCUUCUUCUUAAAGAUCCAUUUGUUCUGAAUAGCCUUGCGGCCCUCAGGUAGUAUCUCCAAAGUCCACACUUUGUUCUCAUACAUGGAUCCUAUCUCGGAUUUCAUGGCUUCCAGCCAUUUGUUGGAAUGUGGGUCCACCAUUGCCUCUUCAUAAUUUGCAGGUUCAUUGUUGUCUAACAACAUGAUUGAUAAGACGGGAUUACCGUACCACUCUGGAGCAGCGCGUGAUCUCGUCGACCUGCGUGUUUCAACAGAAACUUGAACUGGAGUUUCAUGAUCAUCAUCAUUAACUUCCUCCUCAACCGGUGUCGCAAUGACAGAGGUUUCCCCUUGCCCUGCGCCACCAUCCAGAGGGAUGAGAGGUUCGACAACCUCGUCAAGUUCUAUCUUCCUCCCACUCAAUUCUCUCGAGAGAAACUCCUUCUCGAGAAAAGCUCCGUUUUUAGCAACAAACACUUUGCCCUCGGAUUUGAGAUAGAAGGUGUACCCAACUGUCUCUUUUGGGUAACCUAUGAAGACGCACCUUUCCGCUUUGGGUUCCAGCUUUUCAGGCUGAAGCUUUUUGACAUAAGCAUCACAUCCCCAAACUUUAAGAAACGACAACUUUGGCCUCUUGCCAUACCACAGUUCGUAUGGUGUCGUCUCAACGGAUUUUGAUGGUGCCCUAUUUAAAGUGAAUGCAGCUGUUUCUAAUGCAUAACCCCAAAAUGAUAACGGCAAAUCAGUAAGAGACAUCAUAGAUCGCACCAUCUCUAACAAAGUACGAUUACGACGUUCGGACACACCAUUACACUGUGGUGUUCCAGGCGGUGUUAACUGCGAAACAAUUCCACAUUGUCUUAAGUGAGCAUCAAACUCGAAACUCAGAUAUUCACCCCCACGAUCAGACCGUAGGAACUUGAUCUUCUUGUUACGAUGAUUUUCCACUUCACUCUGAAAUUGCUUGAACUUUUCAAAUGUUUCAGACUUGUGCUUCAUCAAGUAGACAUAACCAUAUCUACUUAAAUCGUCAGUGAAGGUGAGAAAAUAACGAUAUCCGCCGCGUGCCUCUACGCUCAUUGGACCACACACAUCGGUAUGUAUGAUUUCCAACAAGUCACUUGCACGCUCCAUUGUUCCGGAGAACGGAGUCUUAGUCAUCUUGCCCAUGAGGCAUGGUUCGCACGUGUCAAGUGAAUCAAAGUCAAGUGACUCCAAAAGUCCAUCAGCAUGGAGUUUCUUCAUGCGCUUUACACCAAUAUGACCCAAGCGGCAGUGCCACAAAAAUAUGGCGCUAUCAUUGUUUACUCUAACUCUUUUGGUCUCAAUGUUAUGUAUAUGUGUAUCGCUAUCAAGAUUCAAUAUGAACAAUCCUCUCAUAUUCGGUGCAUGACCAUAAAAGAUGUUACUCAUAGAAAUUGAACAACCAUUAUUCUCAGACUUGAAAGAGUAACCGUCUCGCAAUAAACAAGAUCCAGAUAUAAUGUUCAUGCUCAACGCAGGCACUAAAUAACAAUGAUUUAAGUUCAUCACUAAUCCCGACGGUAGCUGAAGUGACACUGUGCCGACGGCGAUUGCAUCAACCUUGGAACCGUUUCCUACGCGCAUCGUCACUUCGUCUUUCGCCAGCCUUCGUCUAUUCCGCAGUUCCUGUUUCGAGUUGCAAAUGUGAGCAACAGAACCGGUAUCGAAUACCCAGGCACUACUACGAGAGCCGGUUAAGUACACAUCAAUAACAUGUAUAUAAAAUAUACCUGAUUUUUCUUUGCCCGCCUUCUUAUCUGCCAGAUACUUGGGGCAAUUGCGCUUCCAGUGACCCAUACCCUUGCAAUAGAAGCACUCUGUUUCAGGCUUAGGUCCAGCCUUGGGUUUCUUCGGCGGAUUGGCAACAGGCUUGCCGCUCUUCUUCGAAUUGCCCUUCUUGCCUUUGCCGUUUCUCUUGAAACUAGUGGUCUUGCUCACCAUCAACACUUGAUGCUCUUUACGGAGUUCAGACUCUGCGACUUUCAGCAUCGCAAACAACUCGCCGGGAGACUUGUUCAUCCCUUGCAUGUUGUAGUUCAACACAAAGCCUUUAUAGCUUGGCGGCAGUGAUUGAAGGAUUCUGUCAGUGAUAGCCUCUUGCGGGAGUUCAAUCCCCAGCUCAGCUAGACGGUUUGAGUACCCAGACAUUUUGAGCACAUGUUCACUGACAGACGAGUUUUCCUCCAUCUUGCAAGCAUAGAAUUUAUCGGAGGUCUCAUACCUCUCGAUCCGGGCGUUCUUCUGAAAGAUAAACUUCAACUCCUGGAACAUCUCAAAUGCUCCAUGACGCUCAAAGCGACGUUGAAGUCCCGGUUCUAAGCCAUACAAGACUGCACAUUGAACUAUUGAGUAGUCCUCCUUACGCGCUAACCAAGCAUUCUUAACAUCCUGAUCAGCCGUAGCGGGUGGUUCAUCUCCUAGCGCAGCAUUAAGGACAUAAUCCUUCUUCCCAGCUUGUAAGAUUAGCUUAAGAUUACGAGCCCAGUCUACAAAGUUGCUUCCAUCAUCUUUCAACUUAGCUUUCUCUAGGAACGUAUUAAAAUUCAGGAUGACACUUGCGUGAGCCAUGAUCUACAACACAAAUAUAUUCAAAGUGGACUUAGACUAUGUUCAAGAUAAUUAGAGUUCAACUUAAUCAAAUUAUAUGCUAAACUCCCACUCAAAAAGUACAUCUCUCUAGUCAUUUGAGUGGUUCAUGAUCCACUUACACUAUCCCAAGUCCGAUCAUCACGUGAGUUGAGUAUAGUUUCAGUGGUAAGCAUCCCUAUGCUAAUCAUAUCAACUAUAUGAUUCAUGAUCGACCUUUCGGUCUCAUGUGUUCCGAGGCCAUGUCUGCACAUGCUAGGCUCGUCAAGCUUAACCCGAGUGUUCCGCGUGCGCAACUGUUUUGCACCCGUUGUAUGUGAACGUUGAGUCUAUCACACCCGAUCAUCACGUGGUGUCUCGAAACGACGAACUGUAGCAACGGUGCACAGUCGGGGAGAACACAAUUUUGUCUCGAAAUUUUAGUGAGAGAUCACCUCAUAAUGCUACCGUCGUUCUAAGCAAAAUAAGGUGCAUAAAAGGAUUAACAUCACAUGCAAUUCAUAAGUGACAUGAUAUGGCCAUCAUCACGUGCUUCUUGAUCUCCAUCACCAAAGCACCGGCACGAUCUUCUUGUCACCGGCGCCACACCAUGAUCAUCCAUCAAUGUGUUGCCAUCAGGGUUGUCGUGCUACUUAUGCUAUUACUACUAUAGCUACAUCCUAGCAAAAUAGUAAACGCAUCUGCAAGCACAAACGUUAGUAUAAAGACAACCCUAUGGCUCCUGCCGGUUGCCGUACCAUCGACGUGCAAGUCGAUAUUUCUAUUACAACAUGAUCAUCUCAUACAUCCAAUAUAUCACAUCACAUCGUUGGCCAUAUCACAUCACAAUCAUACCCUGCAAAAACAAGUUAGACGUCCUCUAAUUUUGUUGUUGCAUGUUUUACGUGGUGACCAAGGGUAUCUAGUAGGAUCGCAUCUUACUUACGCAAACACCACAACGGAGAUAUAUGAGUUGCUAUUUAACCUCAUCCAAGGACCUCCUCGGUCAAAUCCGAUUCAACUAAAGUUGGAGAAACCGUAACUUGCCAGUCAUCUUUGAGCAAAGGGGGUUACUCGUAACGAUGAAACCAGUCUCUCGUAAGCGUACGAGUAAUGUCGGUCCAAGCCGCUUCAAUCCAACAAUACCGCGGAAUCAAGAAAAGACUAAGGAGGGCAGCAAAACGCACAUCACCGCCCACAAAAACUUUUGUGUUCUACUCGAGAAGACAUCUACGCAUGAACCUAGCUCAUGAUGCCACUGUUGGGGAACGUCGCAUGGGAAACAAAAACUUUCCUACGCGCACGAAGACCUAUCAUGGUGAUGUCCAUCUACGAGAGGGGAUGAGUGACCUACGUACCCUUGUAGAUCGUACAGCAGAAGCGUUAGAGAACGCGGUUGAUGUAGUGGAACGUCCUCACGUCCCUCGAUCAGCCCCGCGAACAAUCCCGCGAUCAGUCCCACGAUCUAGUACCGAACGGACGGCACCUCCGCGUUCAGCACACGUACAGCUCGACGAUGAUCUCGGCCUUCUUGAUCCAGCAAGAGAGACGGAGAGGUAGAAGAGUUCUCCGGCAGCGUGACGGCGCUCCGGAGGUUUGUGAUGACCUUGUCUCAGCAGGGCUCCGCCCGAGCUCCGCAGAAACGCGAUCUAGAGGAAAAACCGUGGAGGUAUGUGGUCGGGCAGCCGUGAGAAAGUCGUCUCAAAUCUGCCCUAAAACCCCCGUAUAUAUAGGUGGGAGGGAGGGGGGCCUUGCCUUGGGGUCCAAGGACCCCCAAGGAGUCGGCCGAGCCAAAGGGGGGGAGGACCUCCCCCCCCCCAAACCGAGUUGGACUUGGUUUGGUGGGAGGAGUUCCCCUUCCCUCCCACCUCCUUCCCUUUGUUUUUCUUUCCUCUUGAUUUUUCUUCUCUUGGCGCAUUGGGCACUUGUGGGCUGUCCCACCAGCCCACUAAGGGCUGGUGUGGCUCCCCAAUGCCUAUGGGCUUCCCCGGGGUGGGUUGCCCCCCCCCCCCCGGUCGAACUCCCGGAACCCAUUCGUUAUUCCCGGUACAUUCCCGGUAAUUCCGAAAACCUUCCGGUAAUCAAAUGAGGUCAUCCUAUAUAUCAAUCUUCGUUUCCGGACCAUUCCGGAAAUCCUCGUGAAGUCCGUGAUNNNNNNNNNNNNNNNNNNNNNNNNNNNNNNNNNNNNNNNNNNNNNNNNNNNNNNNNNNNNNNNNNNNNNNNNNNNNNNNNNNNNNNNNNNNNNNNNNNNNNNNNNNNNNNNNNNNNNNNNNNNNNNNNNNNNNNNNNNNNNNNNNNNNNNNNNNNNNNNNNNNNNNNNNNNNNNNNNNNNNNNNNNNNNNNNNNNNNNNNNNNNNNNNNNNNNNNNNNNNNNNNNNNNNNNNNNNNNNNNNNNNNNNNNNNNNNNNNNNNNNNNNNNNNNNNAUAUAUAUUUGGUGGGCAACUUUGGCCUCUUUUUGUAAAUGGGCUUCGUUGGCCUCUUUUAUUUCCUCACAUGGGACAAUGCUCCAUCAAUGAUGGUCAUCACACUUACAACUCAAAACUUAGAGCAAUGAUGACUCUAUAUGGAAUGCCUUUGAUAGUGUAUCGUGACAAUGAUCUAGCAUGGCAUAGACAUCGAUGGAAACAUCAUGCUAGCUAUCUUAUGAUCAUGCAAUGGCAAUGUAGAAGUGGUGGCACGUGUCAUGGUGGUAGUUGCAUGGCAAUAUAUCUCGGAAUGGCUUUGAAAAAGCCAUAGUAGGUAGGUAUGGUGACUGUUUUGAGGGAGGCUAAUGGUGGGUUUUGUGCACCGGCGAAAGUUGCACGACACUAAAGAAGAUAGUGAUGGUGGAAGGUGAAAGUGCAUCUAAACCAUGGACUCAACAUUAGUCAUGAAGAACUCAUAUACUUGUUGCAAAAGUUUUAGUAGUAAUCGAAACAAAGCAUUCAACGCAUACUCCUAGGGGAAGGGUUGGUAGGUAUAACCAUCGCGCGAUCCCGACCGCCACACAAAGGAUGACAAUCAAUAGACUAAUCAUGCUCAGACUUCAUCACAUAGCGGUUCACCAUACGUGCAUGCUACGAGAAUCACUAACUUUAACACAAGUAUUUCUGGAUCCACAACACCUUACUAGUAUAACUUUAAUAUUACCACAACCACAACUCAAAACUAAUUGAGAUGAAUCAAACUUCUCUAACUAUUCAAUGCACAUGAAGGUGGAAGUUUUCAUAACCCUUUGGAUAACUACCCCUUUUGAGGCUAAUUUCAUAGCAUAGAUCAACUACCACGCCACGCGCUUCCAUGCUCUAAAAUAUAAAAGUGAAACACAUAGAGCAAAAUCAACUAGCUCAAAAGAUAUAAGUGAAACACAUGUGAGCUGAAUUGUCCAACCAAAAGAUAUAAGUGAAGCUCGACAAAAUCAUGGUGAGUGCAUGUAUCUCUCUCUAGGUGUGCAGCAAGGAAGAUUGUGACAAAAAAAAGACUCCUACGAUACAAGACGCUCCAAGAAAAACACAUAACAUGUGGUGAAUAAAAAUAUAGCCCCAAGUAACGUUACCGAUGGAUUAAAGACGAAAGAGGGGAUGCCUUCCCGGGGCAUCCCCAAGCUUAGGCUUUUACGACAUCCUUGAAUCAAAUUGGGGUGCAUUGGGCAUCCACAAGCUUGAGCUCUUGCCACUCUUUAUCUCUUUGUCCAUAAGAACUUCACCCAAAACUUUAAAACUUCACAACACGAAAUUUAAACAGAAACUCAUGAUAUCAUUAGUAUAAGAAAGCAAGCCACCACUUCCUUAGGUACUGUAGCAAACUUAAAUUCUACUUAUGUUGAUGUUGGGUUACUGUAUUUUCAAUCUUCCAUGGCUAAUACCCCCCGAUACUAUCCAUAGUUUCAUCAAAAUAAGCAACCAACUCAAUAAAAACAAAAUCUGUUAACAUCAGACCAGUAUGUAGCAAUCUGUAUACUUCGUAUACUUCUGGUACUUCAAAAAUUCUGAAAAAUUGCGAAAGUAUUAAGAAUUUGCGUAGAAAUCAGAAGAAAAAACAAUCAACUCAAAAUCUCUUACAGAAAAAAAACAAAAAUUCUUUUCGUGAGCAGAAAGUUUUUGUCUUUUCUAGCAUGACCAAAUGAUCAUCCCCAAGACUAAUCAUAACGGUUUUACUUGGCACAACGCAAAAGAAACACGAAAAACACAAUCAUAGCAGAAUUAUGAAAGUGUGGAAAACACAAAACAGAAAGAAAAAGGAUAGAUUCAUUGGGUUGCCUCCCAACAAGCUCUAUUGUUUAACGCCCUUAGCUAGGCAUAAAGUGAUGGAAUCACGCAUAGUCAUCUUUGGUGCUCAAACCAUAAGUAGUGUGAUCAUUUAUUAUCUUACGAUCUUCAUAUUUAUUGGAUGACUCACCACUAGCUUUAGGAAGAAAAACAGACUUGACGGUCUUUUUGAUAGUGAGAUUUGGAGUAUUUUGCACAGCGGCAAAAGCGGAACCCAAGUUGGUUAUGACAUCUUCUAGUUUGCCAAUUCUAGACGAAUUAUUAACUAUAGGUCCCUUCUCCCUUAAAUUUUUCAAGACCAUUCCCACUUUGGAUCCGUGCUGAGUAAUUUGAUUGUGGAUCUUUCUAUCCAAACCCUCAAUAAGUUCAAUUGUGGCAAUUUUGUUUUCAAUAGCGUCAAGCCUUUGCAUCACGUGUUCCAAGGUCAAGGUAGUUCCAUUAACCAUGAGCGAGGGUGAGCCUACCAAAUUCAUGAUAGCUCCAUAGGAGUCAACAGUAUGGAUCCCCAAAAAAUUCCCGCCUACGAUGGUAUCAAGAAUAUACCUAUUUCAAGGAGAGAUUCCAACAUAAAAACUGCGAAGAAGAACGGUAGUGGAUUGCUUACGAGUAGAUCUACUUUGAGCAUUGCAAAUCCUGUACCAAGCGUCCUUUAAAUUUUCUUCCUCAUUCUGCUUGAAAUUGAGAACUUCGUUCUCAGGGGUAUCGUUUGGAGUGGUGGGUCUAGCCAUUGAUGGACUAUCCCACACACAAACGAGCAAGAAGUAAGCAAGUGAAACGGGCAAAAGAGAACGACAAAAAGGCAAAAGAAAAUGGCAAAGGAGAAAGGAAAAUGAAAAUGACAAAGGAGAAAGGCAAAUGAAAAUAACAAAUGUGAAGUGGGGGAGAGGAAAACGAGAGGCAACUGGCAAAAAAGGUAAAUGGAAGAGAUGAGUUUGUGACACCUACUUGGAUAGAUCUUGACUUGAUCUCUCCCCGACAACGGCGCCAGAAAUACUUCUGCUACGGCAACAAAAGACCUUCCGUGGCAACGGUGCCAGGAAUGCUUCUACUACGGGCUACGCCUAUAGGGACUUCCUUGGCAAAUAUGCAAAGGAUUUCCCUGCGGCCUUGGAGCCUUGCGUUGGUGUUCCCUUGAAGAGGAAAGGGUGAUGUAGCACAGCGGCGGUAAGUAUUUCCCUCAGUUUGAGAACCAAGGUAUCAAUCCAGUAGGAGGAUCGAGUCAAGUCACAAGUACCUGCACAAACACAAAGAGCCUGCACCCAACGCUAUGAAGGGGUUGUCAAUCCCUUAUAGAUUGUUUGCAAAGUGAGAACUGAAAGCAAAAAGUAAACAAAGCAAAGUAAAAGUGAAAGUGGAGACGAUAGUUGUGAAUAGACCCGGGGGCCGUAGUGUUCACUAGUGGCUUCUCUCAUGAAAGCAAGUAGACGGAGGGUGAACGAAUUACUGUCGAGCAAUUGAUAGAACCGCGCAAAGUCAUGACGUUAUCUAUGGAAAUGAUCAUAUCUAUAGGCAUCACGUCCAAAACAAGUAGACCGAUACUUUCUGCAUCUACUACUAUUACUCCACACGUCGACCGCUAUCCAGCAUGCAUCUAGUGUAUUGAGUUCAUAAGAACAGAGUAACGCCUUAAGCAAGAUGACAUGAUGUAGAUGGCAAUCUCAAAUCUAUGAUGAAAGCCCAUCUUGUUACCCUUGAUGGCAACAACAUGAUGCGUGCCUUGCUGCCCCUUCUGUCACUCGGAAAGGUCACCGCACGGUAUGAACCCAAACCAAGCACUUCUCCCAUUGCAAGAAUCAUAGAUCUAGUUGUACCAAACAAACCCAAAACUCGGAGAGACUUACAAGGAUAUCAAAUCAUGCAAAUAAGAAAUCAAACAAGACUCAAAUAUAAUUCAUAGAUAANNNNNNNNNNNNNNNNNNNNNNNNNNNNNNNNNNNNNNNNNNNNNNNNNNNNNNNNNNNNNNNNNNNNNNNNNNNNNNNNNNNNNNNNNNNNNNNNNNNNGUUAAGGUAACCACUAUACGGGUUCACAAAUAAUAUGACAAAGAGGUGACCCCUAUAGAAGCUACCAACAAGACCUAUUAAGACAAGUAAGAUAUAGUCACAAGUAAAAGCAAAUACAAAGUAAAGGUUAGAGAUAACCACAAGUGGAACCGAUGGAGACGAGGAUGUGUUACCGAAGUUCCUUCCCUUUGACAGGAAGUACGUCUCCGUUGGAGCGGUGUGGAGGCACAAUGCUCCCCAAAAAGCCACUAAGGCCACCGUAUUCUCCUCACGCCCUCGCACGAUGCAAGGUACCGUGAUUCCACUAUAGGUGCCCUUGAAGGCGGCGACCGAACCUUUACAAACAAGGUUGGGGCAACUCCACACAAAGCUUGGAGGCUCCCAACAAGACCACGAAGCUUCACCACAAUGGAAUAUGGUUUCGAGGUGACCUCAACCGUCUAGGAUGCUCAAACACCCAAGAGUAACAAGAUCCGCAAGGGAUAGGUGGGGGAAUCAACUUUUGUCUUGGUGGAAGUGUGGAUCUAGGCCUUCUCAACCAAUCCCUAAAGAAUCAACAAGUUUGAUUGGCUAGGGAGAGAGAUCGGGCACUUUUAAGCUUGUGGAGCAACAAUGGAGCUUAGAGAGGUAAGAGAUAGGGUUCCUCAGCUAGAAGAACCCUUUAUAUGGUGGGGGGAAAUUCAGACCGUUUUCCCACUCUCUGCCCGAGAUCCAGCGGUACUACCGCUGGGAAGGAGCGGUACUACCGCUGCCUGGCGGUACUACCGCUGGAUGCAGCGGUACUACCGCUGGAUGCAGCGGUACUACCGCUGGGGCUUCCAGCGGUACUACCGCUGGCCCCUUGGUAGUGCAUAAGCACUACUACCGCCGGGAAAGUCUUCGCAAAAGGGUCCGUCCACGAACUACCACUAGGUAGGUGGAACAAGGCACCUGGAGCGGUACUACCGCUGACCAGGGGGUGGUACUACCGCUGGCUAGCGGUACUACCGCUGUCAAGUGGCGGUACCACCGCCAGACAGCGGUACUACCGCUGGCUGCAGCGGUACUACCGCUGGCAGUCCAGCGGUACUACCGCUGGCACCAGCGGUACUACCGCUGGGGACCAUUUUGCAGAGAUGCUCAAGACGAAAGAGGCGAGGGCCGCUCCAAACAAGGAAGGGAAGAAUUGUGAAGUGUGCGUGUGUAAAGAUAGAUUCCACCCAAACCUUUCCACUACGGAUCCCCUCUUAAUAGUACGGCUUUCCUAUGACUCAAAUAAAGAGAAUCGUAGAGAGCGUCGUGUUUCCGUUCCAGAAGAGAGGGGACGUGUCGUCUUGUGCCGUUGACGAGUGUUACUGAAACCUUGACACACACGAUUAGUCCUGUACGGUACUGUCAUCAAUCACCAAAAUUACUUAGGCAUAAACUAUGCCUCAACAAAGAGCAAUGAGCUUCACGAUGAUACCUUCAAGAAGAAAGACGACAUCCAUUAAUGCCGUUACCGUCGGCAUCGACGAGGUAAAUGCAGGAUUUUUAUCCGGAUCCAAGUCUUUCACCAAACAUCCAGGAUCCGAGACCUACCCAGCACCACUAGACAGGAAGAGGCCAAGCACACACUACCAGACACAGAAUCGUCACCGCCGCUCGCAGAACUCAGCGAGCACACGCCAACCUGACCGGUCCGCACCGCCGCUCGCAGGACAUGGGCGAACCAAAUCGGCUUCGGCCAUCCUCAGGCUCCGUGCGCAGAUCUGGGCGAGAAUUCGCACCGCAACGCUCCACAAGACCGGAGAAGAACCAAAACAAACCGGCUCGCACCGCCACGCGCCGAAACAGAGCGAAAAAACAAGCGAAAGCUAACAUGCUCGCACCACCGCGCGCUAGGACUGGACCUCCAUGUUGGAUCUGGUCUGCCCGACCCUUCCUAGCACCAACAGAUUGGAUGCCUGCUCCAGGAGCUGAACGUGCACAUGCUUGAAGGGAGGACCCCCCAACAUCCGUCGUCACAACCAGACGCCACCGGCCGGCAAGAUCUGGCACGUCCGUCGCGAGCCCCGACCGCCGUGGCGCCAACCUCCUCCCGCACCGCCACCCAUGAGAUCCGCGCAGGGGGGCGCCGACCACGCGCAUCUCGCGCCCCGCGGGCAGCAGAGCCGCUUCACCUCCAGCGCACGCCGACCGCGCCGCCCCGCCUCCAGCUCCAGCUCGCGCCGACCGCGGCACCCCGCCUCCCGCUCGCGCCAGCCGCGCCGCGCUCGCCCCCAGCGACCGCGUCGCCAAGCGCCUCUUUUGCCCAGGGGAGCAGCCCCGCACAACUCCAGCACCAACAGGGAGGAGAGAAGGCCCGCCGCCGCCGACGUCGUGCGGGUUUUGCCCGGCAACGCUCGCCAGCGGCGGCGGAGGGAGGGGUUGUGGGGAGGGGUGCGGCUUGUGGCGGCUGGGGUUUCGCGNNNNNNNNNNNNNNNNNNNNNNNNNNNNNNNNNNNNNNNNNNNNNNNNNNNNNNNNNNNNNNNNNNNNNNNNNNNNNNNNNNNNNNNNNNNNNNNNNNNNGGGGGAUGUUAAGAUUAGUUGAAAGAUUACGUAAACAUGUGUAGGUGUACGUAGGUGUAGGACUUUCGACAUGGGCCUGACCCUUUUUUGGCCUCGCGAUCAUGCAGGCGCGAUAGCGUAUACGGCGUUAGCGUGUUCGCAUCUGUUAGCAUGAAGCCAUGAACAUAAUUAAAACAUGCACCAAUUUUUGAAGCAAUCAAGAUGGAAACGUUUAUAGCCGGUGCGGUUCGGCCGGUCGCGCGGGUCGCGCGUGUGGCUGGCCGAGCCACGCAACAUAAUUUGCUAUAAUCGACUUAAAUUUGCUACAAGCGUUUAAUUUACUAUAAUUUGUUUACUAAAAAAGCUGCAUCCAUAUUUGGUUGCAACUUGAGUUCGUUGAUUUUUGUUGCUACAACCAGCGUUUGAUUUUUGCUACAAUCGGUCUCAAUUUUCGUUACAACCGUUCAUUAAAAAAGCUGCAUACACGUUCGUCGGAGUUGCAACCCGUGUUUACCGGGUUAUUUUGCUACAACCCACAUUUUGUUUUGCUACCACGCAUCGUCAGGGUCAUUUUUUUGCUAUAACCACGUUGAUAUUUUUUUGCUACAAACAUAUUUUUGCUGCAUUCGUGGCCAAAAUCUGCUACAUCGCUGCUUAUUUUUAUUACCACCGAAUUGUUUUUACUGCAUGGACGGAUUUAACGAUCAAACCAGAUUCAACCUGACGGAUCUGACGACCCAUUUCAACCGACGUGCCGACGCAAAUCAGCGUUCAAUCAAGAUUAGCAUGUUCUCGGCCGUGCGGACAGAUGCAGAUGUUGUCCGCCUGCAUCACUAGUCUAAUUAUGUCAAGAUCAAGGUUUCCAAUUUCAGUUUAAAUCUCAGCACGAACUGAAAUCAUCGAAAUUCAGUGAAUUUCAGAGAUUUCAGUUUGUGUUUCGGUCAAAAGACCGAAAUAUUCGCUUGAAUUCAAUUAAAUAUUUGAAUAUUUUUGAAAUUAACUUCUAAAAAUAUGUGUAUUCAUGUGUACUACUGAAAGAACAGUAAAUAUUUUAGGCUGAAAGGCAAUAUUCAGUGAUUGCUGAAAUUAAUGAACUGAAANNNNNNNNNNNNNNNNNNNNNNNNNNNNNNNNNNNNNNNNNNNNNNNNNNNNNNNNNNNNNNNNNNNNNNNNNNNNNNNNNNNNNNNNNNNNNNNNNNNNUAAAUAGUUGGGAAAAUGGUUUUUUGGCAGUAGCAUAUGCGCAUUAAUGGUGCCUUGCAUCCACAUGUACCAAAAAAUAAUUAGAGAAAAGUAGCAUGAACAUAUCCCAUCCAAAUGUAUCUUUCAAAAAAAAUGAAUCAAUACUCUUCCAGAUAUCUCGUCCUAUCCCAGACAUUAAGAAGUUAGAAAUAUUUGCUCAUGCAUUGGGGAAAAAGUAAAAUUAUUAAACAAAAACAGAGUAAAUAAAAAUAAAAAUCUUCUAAAAGUUGUUUUGACUACAUUGCUAUUGUUUCCAAAUCCAGAACACAAGAUCUUCUUCCUACUAUCCUGAAGCACUCGCUAAACCCUGCAAUAUGAGAAUCCGAACAUAUGUCAGACAUGCCUCUUUUCAGAUUUUUACAAAGAAAGCAAGUGAUUGAUUACUAUUUUUGCUGAUGCUUCCAACUCCAGUCAACAAGAAAUUCCUACAUUGUUGCAGCAGUCGCAAAUCAAGCAAAUAAUUUCUACUCUACAUUGAAGUUCUGCAUCCUUUUUCAUUGCAUAUUCAUGAUAUGUGGACCUUGCAAGAUUAUGAUUCAUACCAGCUUCUUAACUUGUCAUUGUUGGUAUUUACCUUAGGCCCACUGCUGCCCUUUUCCCUUACCGCUUUCUUCUGUAAUGGUGGAUCUUUUCCCCAGCUCAUGCUUUCAGCUUUCCCUUACUUUUUCUCGGCAUGGAGUGAACCUAAUCUUAAAUCAUGAUUAGGAAAUUAUUUCAAGGUUUUAUGUGUUGAUCGACAUACUGUUUGUUACAGGAGCACCAUAACUCGUGAAAAAAUUGAAGAGCUUUGUGAAGAUUUAUGGGAGCAGGCUAUCACUCCAAUUAAAGAUGUGCUUGCGCAGUGAGGCAUGAAAAWUWGUGACAUCUAUGCUGUAGAGCUAAUAGGAGGAGCUACCAGGGUACCGAAACUGCAGGUGAUUAUUACUCUCUCAUUCAAGACUUACACUUAACUUGCCNNNNNNNNNNNNNNNNNNNNNNNNNNNNNNNNNNNNNNNNNNNNNNNNNNNNNNNNNNNNNNNNNNNNNNNNNNNNNNNNNNNNNNNNNNNNNNNNNNNNGGUGGGGGGAAAUUCAGACCGUUUUCCCACUCUCUGCCCGAGAUCCAGCGGNNNNNNNNNNNNNNNNNNNNNNNNNNNNNNNNNNNNNNNNNNNNNNNNNNNNNNNNNNNNNNNNNNNNNNNNNNNNNNNNNNNNNNNNNNNNNNNNNNNNNNNNNNNNNNNNNGUACUACCGCUGGCCCCUUGGUAGUGCAUAAGCACUACUACCGCCGGGAAAGUCUUCGCAAAAGGGUCCGUCCACGAACUACCACUAGGUAGGUGGAACAAGGCACCUGGAGCGGUACUACCGCUGACCAGGGGGUGGUACUACCGCUGGCUAGCGGUACUACCGCUGUCAAGUGGCGGUACCACCGCCAGACAGCGGUACUACCGCUGGCUGCAGNNNNNNNNNNGCUAGGUAGGUGGAACAAGGCACCUGGAGCGGUACUACCACUGACCAGGGGGCGGUACUACCGCUGGCUAGCGGUACUACCGCUAUCAAGUGGCGGUACCACCGCCAGACAGCGGUACUACCGCUGGCUGCAGCGGUACUACCGCUGGCAGUCCAGCGGUACUACCGCUGGCACCAGCGGUACUACCGCUGGGGACCAUUUUGCAGAGAUGCUCAAGACGAAAGAGGCGAGGGCCGCUCCAAACAAGGAAGGGAAGAAUUGUGAAGUGUGCGUGUGUAAAGAUAGAUUCCACCCAAACCUUUNNNNNNNNNNGGACCAUUUUGCAGAGAUGCUCAAGACAAAAGAGGCGAGGGCCGCUCCAAACAAGGAAGGGGAGAAUUGUGAAGUGUGCGUGUGUAAAGAUAGAUUCCACCCAAACCUUUCCACUACGGAUCCCCUCUUAAUAGUACGGCUUUCCUAUGACUCAAAUAAAGAGAAUCGUAGAGAGCGUCGUGUUUCCGUUCCAGAAGAGAGGGGACGUGUCGUCUUGUGCCGUUGACGAGUGUUACUGAAACCUUGACACACACGAUUAGUCCUGUACGGUACUGUCAUCAAUNNNNNNNNNNNNNNNNNNNNNNNNNNNNNNNNNNNNNNNNNNNNNNNNNNNNNNNNNNNNNNNNNNNNNNNNNNNNNNNNNNNNNNNNNNNNNNNNNNNNGGUGAUGUGAGGGCUAGAUUAUUGACUCUAGUGCAAGUGGGAGACUGUUGGAAUUAUGCCCUAGAGGCAAUAAUAAAUGUAGUUAUUAUUAUAAUUCCUGUAUCAAGAUAAUAGUUUAUUAUCCAUGCUAUAAUUGUAUUGAAUGAAGACUCAUUUACAUGUGUGGAUACAUAGACAAAACACCAUCCCUAGAAUGCCUCUAGUUGGCUAGCCAGUUAGUCAAUGAUAGUCAGUGUCUUCUGAUUAUGAACAAAGUGUUGUUGCUUGAUAACUGGAUCACGUCAUUGGGAGAAUCACGUGAUGGACUAGACCCAAACUAAUAGACGUAGCAUGUUGAUCGUGUCAUUUUGUUGCUACUGUUUUCUGCGUGUCAAGUAUUUGUUCCUAUGACCAUGAGAUCAUAUAACUCACGGACACCGGAGGAAUGCUUUGUGUGUAUCAAACGUCGCAACGUAACUGGGUGACUAUAAAGAUGCUCUACAGGUAUCUCCGAAGGUGUUCGUUGAGUUAGUAUAGAUCGAGACUGGAAUUUGUCACUCCGUGUGACGGAGAGGUAUCUCGGGGCCCACUCGGUAAUACAACAUCACACACAAGCCUUGCAAGCAAUGUAACUUAAUGUAAGUUGCGGGAUCUUGUAUUACGGAACGAGUAAAGAGACUUGCCGGUAAACAAGAUUGAAAUAGGUAUACGGAUACUGACGAUCGAAUCUCGGGCAAGUAACAUACCGAAGGACAAAGGGAAUGACAUACGNNNNNNNNNNNNNNNNNNNNNNNNNNNNNNNNNNNNNNNNNNNNNNNNNNNNNNNNNNNNNNNNNNNNNNNNNNNNNNNNNNNNNNNNNNNNNNNNNNNNGCGGCCACGCUCGGUGAGCUGCAGCAGCUGCAGGGACGGCAUCCCUCUCGCUGCCGCCGGUGCCGCGAGGCGCGACCUCCCGGGAGCAGCAGGCCGGGCGCACGGCCCGAGGGGGAGAAGAUCUUGUAUGCGCACGACACCUCCGGCGGCGACAUCGCCCUCCUUCAUCGGUCCGCGGAGCUCGGCUGCAAAGACCGGCGAGCAGGCCGCGAGCACGCACCGGUGCGCGGAGACCGUCUCGCCGCCGACCUCGAACACCACGUCGGCGUCCUUCUCGGUCUCGAGGAGCUCUCCCAGGUGCCGGCCCAGGUCGCACGGGGGCACGGAGACCAAGCCAGUGGUGUACACAGCGCGGAAAUCCUGGACGACGGCGAUGUCGCACCGGAUGGUGAACGAGUCGUUCCUGAGAUGCUCGGAUGCCUCCAGGUCCGUCCUUUUGAUGAACUGCGCCGCGCAGGCCGACAAGCUUCCCGGGGUAUAGCUUCUCACCUUCUCCAGCGAGAGCAACUCAGCUUGCUCCGCCUCAGUCCCCGCCUCGCCGGCAAGGCAGAACAAGUGCUGCGACUUCGUACGCGUGGUGGUGGAGAACGCGAAUGGAUAAGCUACGAGUGGAGGAGGACAGGGGCUGUUUUGCAAAAAGUUAACGUUUUUUCCACUUAAUUUAGGACCGCAGGUUGAUUACGAAAAAACAGGGGGAUGUUUUUGUAAAAAUACCACGACGGACGACCAGAAACCCUAUUUGCUUUAUUAUUAGGGAGAGAUAUAUAAAAAGCACGAAGAGGCAGAUCCAACUCGCCAUCUUAGCCGUCUAAUCAUGUAAUCAACGGUUUAAAAACGUUGUUAACGAAACUAGCCAGAUUUCGUUAGCGCUAAUUGCCCACCCACAUCUAAAAACGCCGUUAAGCCUCGAUCCCUCGCUCGCACUCGCACCGGCUCCCCCCGCUCUGUCUGCUCGCCGCGCUUCCCCCGCUCGCCGCUGCCGCGCCGUGCCGCUCGCCCCGCUCGCCGGCCGCGCAUCCCCCGCUCGCCGCGCCGNNNNNNNNNNNNNNNNNNNNNNNNNNNNNNNNNNNNNNNNNNNNNNNNNNNNNNNNNNNNNNNNNNNNNNNNNNNNNNNNNNNNNNNNNNNNNNNNNNNNCGUUCCCCAACAGUGGCAUCAUGAGCUAGGUUCAUGCGUAGAUGUCUUCUCGAGUAGAACACAAAAGUUUUUGUGGGCGGUGAUGUGCGUUUUGCUGCCCUCCUUAGUCUUUUCUUGAUUCCCGGUAUUGUUGGAUUGAAGCGGCUUGGACCGACAUUACUCGUACGCUUACGAGAGACUGGUUUCAUCGUUACGAGUAACUCCGUUGCUCAAAGAUGACUGGCAAGUGUCGGUUUCUCCAAUUUAGUUGAAUCGGAUUUGACCGAGGAGGUCCUUGGAUGAGGUUAAAUAGAAACUCAUAUAUCUCCGUUGUGGUGUUUGCGUAAGUAAGAUGCGAUCCUACUAGAUACCCAUGGUCACCACGUAAAACAUGCAACAACAAAAUUAGAGGACGUCUAACUUGUUUUUGCAGGGUAUGCUUGUGAUGUGAUAUGGCCAACGAUGUGAUGUGAUAUAUUGGAUGUAUGAGAUGAUCAUGUUGUAAUAGAUAAUAUCGACUUGCACGUCGAUGGUACGGCAACCGGCAGGAGCCAUAGGGUUGUCUUUAUACUAACGUUUGUGCUUGCAGAUGCGUUUACUAUUUUGCUAGGAUGUAGCUAUAGUAGUAAUAGCAUAAGUAGCACGACAACCCUGAUGGCAACACAUUGAUGGAUGAUCAUGGUGUGGCGCCGGUGACAAGAAGAUCGUGCCGGUGCUUUGGUGAUGGAGAUCAAGAAGCACGUGAUGAUGGCCAUAUCAUGUCACUUAUGAAUUGCAUGUGAUGUUAAUCCUUUUAUGCACCUUAUUUUGCUUAGAACGACGGUAGCAUUAUGAGGUGAUCUCUCACUAAAAUUUCGAGACAAAAUUGUGUUCUCCCCGACUGUGCACCGUUGCUACAGUUCGUCGUUUCGAGACACCACGUGAUGAUCGGGUGUGAUAGACUCAACGUUCACAUACAACGGGUGCAAAACAGUUGCGCACGCGGAACACUCGGGUUAAGCUUGACGAGCCUAGCAUGUGCAGUCAUGGCCUCGGAACACAUGAGACCGAAAUGUCGAGCAUGAAUCGUAUAGUUGAUAUGAUUAGCAUAGAGAUGCUUACCACUGAAACUAUUCUCGACUCACGUGAUGAUCGGACUUGAGAUAGUGGAUUUGGAUCAUGUACCACUCAAAUGACUAGAGAGAUGUACUUUUUGAGUGGGAGUUCUUAAGUAAUAUGAUUAAUUGAACUAAUUGUCAUGAACAUAGUCUAAUGGUCUUUGCGAAUUACGAUGUAGCUUGCGCUAUAGCUCUACUGUUUUAUAUGUUCCUAGAGAAAAUUUAGUUGAAAGUUGAUAGUAGCAAACUUUGCAGACUGAGUCUGUAAAACCGAGGAUUGUCCUCGUUGCUGCACAGAAGGCUUAUGCCCUUAAUGCACCACUCGGUGUGCUGCACCUCGAGCGUCGUCUGUGGAUGCUGUGAACAUCCGACAUACACGUUUCUGAUGACUACACGAUAGUUCAGUACAAAAAUACUUAAUGGCUUAGAAGCAAGGCGCCGAAAACGUUGUAAAACGUCACGGAACAUAAGUGAUGUUCUAAAGAGAUGAAAUUGUGAUUUCAUGCUUGUGCCCUUGUUAAGAGGUACGAGACCUCCGANNNNNNNNNNNNNNNNNNNNNNNNNNNNNNNNNNNNNNNNNNNNNNNNNNNNNNNNNNNNNNNNNNNNNNNNNNNNNNNNNNNNNNNNNNNNNNNNNNNNGAUGCUUGAUACGUCUCAAACGUAUCUAUAAUUUUUUAUGGUUUCAUGUUGUUAUCUUGUCAACUUUGGAUGUUUUAUAUACCUUUUUUUAUCUUUUUUGGGACUAACUUAUUAAUUCAGUGCCAAGUGUCAGUUCCUGUUUUUUCUGUGUUUUUGACUCUUUUCAGAUCUGAUUUUGGAACGGAGUCCAAACGGAAAAAAAUCCCCGAAAUAUUUUUUUUCCAGAAUAGAAGAAGAUCGGGGGACUUGAGGGCCAAGGCAGGAGGCCCAGAGGGAGCCCACAAGCCCUGACGCCGCGGCCAGGGGGCCCGCGGCAACCAGGCUUGUGGCCUCCCUGGCGCUCCCCUGCCCUAGCUCUUUGGCCUAUAAAUUCCCUAAAAUCCCAGAAAAAAUCAGGGCAUCCACGAAAACACUUUUCCGCCGCCGCAAGAUUCCGUUUCCGCGGUAUCUCAUCUGGAGACCCUUCCCGGUGCCCUGCCGGAGGGGACUUUGGAGUUGGAGGGCUUCUACAUCAACAUCAUCGCCUCUCCAAUGACUCGUGAGUAGUCCACUUCAGACCUACGGGUCCGUAGUUAGUAGCUAGAUGGCUUCUUCUCUCUCUUGGAUCUUCAAUACAAAGUUCUCCAUGAUCUUCAUGGAGAUCUAUCCGAUGUAACCCUCUUUGGCGGUGUGUUUGUCGAGAUUCGAUGAAUUGUGGAUUUGUGAUCAGAUUAUCUAUGAAUUAUAUUUGUGUCUUUCCUGAUUUCUUAUUUGCAUGAUUUGAUAUCCUUGUAAGUCUCUCCGAGUUUUGGGUUUUGUUUGGCCAACUAGAUCUAUGAUUCUUGCAAUGGGAGAAGUGCUUGGUUUUGGGUUCUUACCGUGUGGUGACCUUUCCCAAUGACAGUAGGGGCAGCAAGGCACACACCGUGUAGUUGCCAUCAAGGGUAACAAGGUGGGCUCUGUCGUAGAUAUGAGAUUGUCCAUCUACAUCAUGUCAUCUUGCUUAAGGCGUUACUCUGNNNNNNNNNNNNNNNNNNNNNNNNNNNNNNNNNNNNNNNNNNNNNNNNNNNNNNNNNNNNNNNNNNNNNNNNNNNNNNNNNNNNNNNNNNNNNNNNNNNNACCAACCAUAUAACUCGAAUACGCAUAAAACAACGUCGAACCUUAAGUGUGCAGACCCUGCGGGUUCGAGAACUAUGUAGACAUGACCCGAGAGACUCCUCGGUCAAUAUCCAACAGCGGUACCUGGAUGCCCAUAUUGGAUCCUACAUAUUCUCCGAAGAUCUUAUCGGUUGAACCUCAGUGUCAAGGAUUCAUAUAAUCCCGUAUGUCAUUCCCUUUGUCCUUCGGUAUGUUACUUGCCCGAGAUUCGGUCGUCGGUAUCCGCAUACUGCUACGCCAACAAAAGACCUUCCAGCGGCGCCAGAAAUAGUUGUGUUGACGGCACCAGGAAUCCUUCUGCUACGGCUAUGCCUUAAGGGACUUCCUAGGCAAAUAUGCAAAGGAUUUCGCCCGUGGCCUUGGAGCCUUGCGUUGGUGUUCCCUCGAAGUGGAAAGGGUGAUCUAGUGCAGUGGUGGUAAGUAUUUCCCUCAGUUUUGAGAACCAAGGUAUCGAUCUAGUGAAGGAGUAUCACAAGGGCGUGCACAAACACAAAAACUUGCUAUCAACGCUAUGAAGGGGUUGUCAAUCCCUUAUAGAUUGUUUGCCAAGUGAGAACUGAAAGCAACAAAGUAACAAAGCAAAGUAAAAGCGAAAGUGGAAACGAUAGGUGUGAAUAGACCCGGGGGCCGUAGUGUUUACUAGUGGCUUCUCUCAUGAAAGCAAGUAGAUGGUGGGUGAACAAAUUACUGUCGAGCAAUUGAUACAACCGCGCAAAGUNNNNNNNNNNNNNNNNNNNNNNNNNNNNNNNNNNNNNNNNNNNNNNNNNNNNNNNNNNNNNNNNNNNNNNNNNNNNNNNNNNNNNNNNNNNNNNNNNNNNCGCAGAAACGCGAUCUAGAGGAAAAACCGUGGAGGUAUGUGGUCGGGCUGCCGUGGAAAAAUCGUCUCAAAUCAGCCCCAAUACCUCCGUAUAUAUAGGUGGGAGGGAGGGGACCUUGCCUUGGGGCUCAAGGAGCCCCAAGGGGGUCGACCGAGUCCAAGGGGGGAAGGCUCCCCCCCAAACCGAGUUGGACUUGGUUUGGUGGGUGGGAGUCCUUCCCUUCCUUCCCACCUCCCUUUUUUUUCUUUCUCUUUGAUUUUUCUUUGUAUGGCGCAUAGGGCCCUUUUGGGCUGUCCCACCGGCCCACUAAGGGCUGGUGCGCCACCCUUAUGGCCUAUGGGCUUCCCCGGGGUGGGUUGCCCCCCCGGUGAACUCCCGGAACCCAUUCGUCAUUCCCGGUACAUUCCCGGUAACUCUGAAAACCUUCCGGUAAUCAAAUGAGGUCAUCCUAUAUAUCAAUCUUCGUUUCCGGACCAUUCCGGAAAUCCUCGUGAAGUCCGUGAUCUCAUCCGGGACUCCGAACAACAUUCGGUAACCAACCAUAUAACUCGAAUACGCAUAAAACAACGUCGAACCUUAAGUGUGCAGACCCUGCGGGUUCGAGAACUAUGUAGACAUGACCCGAGAGACUCCUCGGUCAAUAUCCAACAGCGGGACCUGGAUGCCCAUAUUGGAUCCUACAUAUUCUACGAAGAUCUUAUCGUUUGAACCUCAGUGCCAAGGAUUCGUAUAAUCCCGUAUGUCAUUCCCUUUGUCCUUCGGUAUGUUACUUGCCCNNNNNNNNNNNNNNNNNNNNNNNNNNNNNNNNNNNNNNNNNNNNNNNNNNNNNNNNNNNNNNNNNNNNNNNNNNNNNNNNNNNNNNNNNNNNNNNNNNNNCCUGGUCAGCGGUAGUACCGCUCCAGGUGCUUUGUUCCACCUACCUAGUGGUAGUUCGUGGACGGACCCUUUUGCGAAGACUUUCUCGGCGGUAGUAGUGUUUGUGCACUACCAAGGGGCCAGCGGUAGUACCGCUGGUGUCAGCGGUAGUACCGCUGGAGGCCGAGCGGUAGUACCGCUGCAUCCAGCGGUAGUACCGCCAGGCAGCGGUAGUACCGCUCCUGCUCGGCGGUAGUACCGCUGGAGCUCGGGCAGAGAGUGGGAAAACGGUCUGAANNNNNNNNNNUCCAGGCAGCGGUAGUACCGCUGGAGCUCGGGCAGAGAGUGGGAAAACGGUCUGAAUUUCCCCCCCACUAUAUAAAGGGUUCUUCUAGCUGAGGAACCCUAUCUCUUACCUCUCCAAGCUCCAUUGUUGCUCCCUAAGCUCAAAAGUGCCCGAUCUCUCUCCCUAGCCAAUCAAACUUGUUGANNNNNNNNNNAACGGAGUAGCAAGUAACAACAUUAGUGAUAGCAACAACAAAGUAACAAGUAACAACAGUAGUGACAGCAACAGCAACAGCAAAGUAACAAGUAACAACAGUAGUGAUAGCAACAGCAAAGUGGCCCAAUCCCUCUUGUAGCAAGGGACAAGCCUAGGCAAAGUAACGUAGCGAGGACCAGUAGUAAGAGACUCGUAGGCAGUGGAUCGGUGAUGGAUGAGUGUGACGAAUGUGAUUCAUCAUGUAACAGCUAUAACACGGAGAUAUAUGUGGCUAGCUCCCGUUCGUCUAUCUAAUGUAGGCAUGUAUUCCGUAUGUAGUCAUACGUGCUUAGGGAAAAGAACUUGCAUGACAUCUAUUGUCCAUCCCUCCCAUGGCAGCGGGGUCCUAAUGGAAACUACGGGAUAUUAAGGUUCUCCUUUUAAUAAAGAACCAGACCAACGCAUUAACACGCGGUGAAUACAUGAACUCCUCAUACUAUGGUCAUCUCCGGGAGUGGUUCCGGCUAUUGUCACUGGGGGGUUGCCGGGUCAUAACACAUAGUAGGUGACUACAACUUUCAUUUGUGCACAAAAACAACACCAUGGCAAUUGUGCUGAAAACAUCGUUAGUCCGGGUUAGCUCCAUUCAAAUCAUGCAAAUUAGAGUCCAAAACAAGGGCAAAAGAGUUCGGAAAAGUAGAUACGACGGAGACAUAUUGUUGGGGCAUAGUUUAUGCCUAAGCAAUUUUGGUGAGUGAUGACAGUACCGUACAGGACUAAUCGUGUGUGUCAAGGUUUCAGGUAACACUCGUCAACGGCACAAGACAACACGUCUCCUCUCUUCUGGAAUGGAAGCACACCGCUCUCUACGAUUCUCUUUAUUUGAGUCAUAGGAAAUCCGUACUAUUAAGAGGGGAUCCGUAGUGGAAAGGUUUGGGUGGAAUCUAUCUUUACACACGCACACUUCACAUUCUCCCUUUCCUUAUCUUUUGGAGAGGCCCUCGCCUAUUCGUCUCGAUUAUCUCUGCAAAAUGGUCCCCAGCGGUAGUACCACUGGUGUCAGCGGUAGUACCGCUGGACUGCUAGCGGUAGUACCGCUGCAGCCAACGGUAGUACCGCUAGCCAGCGGUAGUACCGCCCCUGGUCAGCGGUAGUACCGCUCCAGGUGUUUUGUUCCACCUACCUAGCGGUAGUUCGUGGACGGACCCUUUUGCGAANNNNNNNNNNCUCGCGGUAGUAGUGCUUGUGCACUACCAAGGGGCCAGCGGUAGUACCGCUAGUGUCAGCGGUAGUACCGCUGCAGCCAGCGGUAGUACCGCCAGGCAUCGGAAGUACCGCUCCUGCACAGCGGUAGUACCGCUGGUACUCGGGCAGAGAGUGGGAAAACGGUCUGAAUUUGCCCCCACUAUAUAAAGGGUUCUUCUAGCCGAGGAACCCUAUCUCUUACCUCUCUAAGCUCCAUUGUUGCUCCACAAGCUCAAAAGUGCCCGAUCUCUCUCCCUAGCCAAUCAAACUUGUUGAUUCUUUAGGGAUUGGUUGAGAAGGCCUAGAUCCACACUUCCACCAAGAGAAAAGUUGAUUCCCCCACCAAUACCUUGCGGAUCUUGUUACUCUUGGGUGUUUGAGCAUCCUAGACGGUUGAGGUCACCUCGAAGCCAUAUUCCAUUGUGGUGAAGCUUCGUGGUUUAGUUGGGAGCCUCCAAGCUUUGUGUGGAGUUGCCCCAACCUUGUUUGUAAAGGUUCGGUCGCCGCCUUCAAGGGCACCUAUAGUGAAUCACGGUACCUUGCAUCGUGCGAGGGCGUGAGGAGAAUACGGUGGCCUUAGUGGCUUUUUGGGGAGCANNNNNNNNNNNNNNNNNNNNNNNNNNNNNNNNNNNNNNNNNNNNNNNNNNNNNNNNNNNNNNNNNNNNNNNNNNNNNNNNNNNNNNNNNNNNNNNNNNNNNNNNNNNNNNNNNNNNUUUGUCAUAUUAUUUGUGAACCCGUAUAGUGUUUACCUUAACUUGUUAAGAUUAAUUAAAAAGCGGUCGUUGUCUAUUCACCCCCCCCUCUAGCUAACCAUAUCGAUCCUUUCAAUUGGUAUCAAAUCCACGUCUCUUUAUUAAGGGUUUAACCACCCGAAGAGUAUGGAAGGCGNNNNNNNNNNCGAUCCUUUCAAUUGGUAUCAGAGCCACGUCUCUUUAUUAAGGGUUUAACCACCCGAAGAGUAUGGAAGGCGGAGAGGAAGCUAACCAUGGGCAACCCGAGGACAUGGACUUGACUUCGGUCACAAGGGACGACUUGAAUACGGCUNNNNNNNNNNNNNNNNNNNNNNNNNNNNNNNNNNNNNNNNNNNNNNNNNNNNNNNNNNNNNNNNNNNNNNNNNNNNNNNNNNNNNNNNNNNNNNNNNNNNGGGAGGCCACAAGCCUGGUUGCCGCGGGCCCCCUGGCCGCGGCGUCAGGGCUUGUGGGCUCCCUCUGGGCCUCCUGCCUUGGCCCUCAAGUCCCCCGAUCUUCUUCUAUUCUGGAAAAAAAAUAUUUCGGGGAUUUUUUUCCGUUUGGACUCCGUUCCAAAAUCAGAUCUGAAAAGAGUCAAAAACACAGAAAAAACAGGAACUGACACUUGGCACUGAAUUAAUAAGUUAGUCCCAAAAAAGAUAAAAAAAGGUAUAUAAAACAUCCAAAGUUGACAAGAUAACAACAUGAAACCAUAAAAAAUUAUAGAUACGUUUGAGACGUAUCAAGCAUCCCCAAGCUUAACUCCUGCUCGUCCUCGAGUAGGGAAGUGAUAAAGAAUGAAUUUUUGAUGCUUUCUAUGCUACCUAGCAUAGAUGUCCUUUGUAACUCCUCUUAUGUGACGUGAAUUUUCAGAUCCUUUAGAUUCAAAACAAUAGUUUGCUAUUGACGUGGAGACAAUAAUACUUCAAGCAAACUAGCAAGGUAAUCAUGAACUUUCAAAAUAACAAGGCCAAAAGAAAGUUAUCCCUACAAAAUCAUAUAGUCUCGCUAUGCUCUAUCAUCCUUGCACAACGAAUUUAAAUCAUGCACAACCCCGGUAUUGGCCAAGUAAUUGUUUCACACCUUUACUUUCUCAAACCUUUUUAAUUCUCACGCAAUACAUGAGCCUGAGCCAUGGUUUUAGCACUAUAGAUGGUCUGGAGUGUGGUGGAGGUUGCAAGACAAAAUAAGGAGAAGAUGAUCACAUUAACUAGGCAUAUCAAUGAGCUGUGGAGAUGCUCAUCAAUAGAUACCAAUGUGAAUGGGUAGGGAUUGCCAUACAAAUGAUGCACUAGAGCUAAGAGUAUGUGAAAGCUCUUAAAGAAAACUAGUGGGUGUGCAUCAACUUGCUUGCUCACGGAACCUAAGGCAAUUUUGAGGAAGCCUAUCAUUGGAAUAUACAAGCCAAGUUNNNNNNNNNNUCACACCUUUACUUUCUCAAACUUUUUCAACUCUCACGCAAUACAUGAGCGUGAGCCAUGGUUUUAGCAUUAUAAGUGGAAUGGAGUGUGGUGGAGGUUGCAAGGCAAACAAGGAGAAGAUGGUCACAUUGACUAGGCAUAUCAACGAGCUAUGGAGAUGCUCAUCAAUAGAUAUCAACGUGAAUGAAUAGGGAUUGCCAUACAAAUGAUGCACUAGAGCUAAGAGUAUGUGAAAGCUCUUGAAAACUAGUGGGUGUGCAUCUAACUUGCUUGCUCACGAAGAUCUAAGGCAAUUUUGAGGAAGCCUAUCAUUGGAAUAUACAAGCCAAGUUAUAUAAUGAAAAUUUCCCACUAGCUAUAUGGUGGUGACAAAGCAAGAGACUCUCAAUCAUGAAGAUCAUGGUGCUUAAUAUGCACAAGUGUGGAAAGGUGGUAGCAUUGUCCCUUCUCUCUUUUUCUCUCAUUCUUUUGGGUGGGCUCUUUGGCCUCUUUUUUUUGGUGGGCAUCUUUGGCCUCUUUUAUUUCCUCACAUGGGACAAUGCUCCAUUAAUGAUGAUCAUCACACUUUCAACUCAAAACUUAGAGCAACGAUGACUCUAUAUGGAAUGCCUUCGAUAGUGUACCGUGGCAAUGAUCUAGCAUGACAUAGACAUUAAUGGAAACAUCAUGCUAGCUAUAUUACGAUCAUGCAAUGGCAAUGUAGAAGUGGUGGCACAUGUCAUGGUGGUAGUUGCAUGGCAAUAUAUCUCGGAAUAAAUUUGAAAAAAGCCAUAGUAGGUAGGUAUGGUGGCUGUUUUGAGGUAGGCUAAUGGUGGUUUUUGUGCACCCGCGGAAGUUGCAUGGCACUAAGAAGAUAGUGAUGGUGGAAGGUGAAAGUGCAUCUAAACCAUGGACUCAACAUUAGUCAUGAAGAACUCAUAUACUUUCUUGCAAAAGUUUUAUUAGUAAUCGAAACAAAGCAUUCAAUGCAUACUCCUAGGGGAAGGGUUGGUAGGUAUAAACCAUCGCGCGAUCCCGACCGCCACGCAAAGGAUGACAACCAAUAGACUAAUCAUGCUCAGAUUUCAUCACAUAGCGGUUCACCAUACUUGCAUGCUACGAGAAUCACUAACUUCAACACAAGUAUUUCUAGAUCCACAACACCUUACUAGCAUAACUUCAAUAUUACCACAACCAUAUCUCAAAACUAAUUGAGAUGAAUCAAACUUCUCUAACUAUUCAAUGCACAUGAAGGUGGAAGUUUUCGUAUCCCUUUGGAUAACUACCCCUUUUGAGACUACUUUCAAAGCAUAGAUCAACUACCAAGCCACACACCGCUACGCUCUAAAAGAUAUAAGUGAAGCACAUAGAGCAAAAGUAUCUAGCUCAAAAGAUAUAAGUGAAGCACAUGUGAGCUGAAUUGUCUAACAAAAGAUAUAAGUGAAGCUCGACAACAUCACGGUGAGUGCAUGUCUCUCUCUCUAGGUGUGCAGCAAGGAUGAUUGUGACACAACAAAAAUAAAAGACUCCUACGAUACAAGACGCUCCAAGCAAAAACACAUAACAUGUGGUGAAUAAAAAUAUAGCCCCAAGUAACGUUACCGAUGGAUUGAAGACGAGAGAGGGGAUGCCUUCCUGGGGCAUCCCCAAGCUUAGGCUUUUACGACAUCCUUGAAUCUCUUGGGGUGCCUUGGUAAUCCCUAAGCUUGAGAUCUUGCCACUCUUUUAUCUCUUUGUCCAUAAGAACUUCACCCAAAACUUGAAAACUCCACAACACGAAACUUAAACAGAAACUCAUGAUAACAUUAGUAUGAGAAAGCAAACCACCACUUCCUUAGGUACUGUAGGAAACUUAAAUUCUACUUAUGCUGAUGUUGGGUUACUGUAUUUUCAAUAUUCCAUGGCUAAUACCCCCCCGAUACUAUCCAUAGUUUCAUCAAAAUAAGCAACCAACACAACAAAAACAGAAUCUGUUAACAACAGACCAUCAUGUAGCAAUCUGUAUAUUUCGUAUACUUCUGGUACUUCAAAAAUUCUGAACAAUUACGACAGUCUAAAGAAUUUGCGUAGCAAUCAGCAGAAAAAACAAUCAACUCAAAAGCUAUUACAUAAAAAAAUGAAAAUUCUUUUCGUGAGCAGAAAGUUUCUGUCUUUUCCAGCAUGACCAAACGAUCAUCCCCAAGACUAAUCAUAACGGUUUUGCUUGGCACAAACGCAAAAAGAAACACAAAAAACACAAUCAUAAUAGAAUCAUGAAAGUGUGGAAAACACAAAACAGAAAGAAAAAGGAUAGAUUCGUUGGGCUGCGUCCCAACAAGCGCUUUUGUUUAACGCCCUUAGCUAGGCAUUCAAUGAUGCUCUCACAAAAGACAAGAAUUGAAGCACAACGAGAGCAUCAUAAAGCAUGUGAAAAUCACAUCUAAGUCUAACAUACUUCCUAUGCAUAGGCAUUUUAUAGGAAAACAAAUUGUCAAGACAACCAAUAGCUGCCAUAUGCAAGGAAGAAGAAAGAGACAAGGGCAAUCUCAACAUCACGAGAGGUGAUUUGGUAACAUGAAAGUUUCUACCAAAAUAUUUUCCUUUCUCAUAGCAAUUACAUGUGGGAUCAUAUUCAAACUCAACAAUAUAGCUAUCCCAUAGGAUAUUCUUUUCAUGAUCCACAUGCAUGCAAAGUUGAUGCUCUUAAAAAAUAGUGGGAUUAUUAUCAAAUAAAGUCACGACUUCUCCAAUCCCACUUUCAGUAUUGUUGCAAAUAUCAUAUUCAUCAUGAGGUCUGAACAAAUUUUCAAGAUCAUAAGAAAGAUCACCACCCCAAUCAUGAUUAUUGCAACAAGUAGUGGACAAAGCAAAACUAGCAUCCCCAAGCUUAGGGUUUUGCAUAAUUUUAGCAUGAUUAUCACUAAUAGAAUUUAUAGUGAAACCAAAGCAAUCAUGAUUUUCAUCCAAGGAGACCUCGUGAAUCACUUCAUAAAUUUCUUCCUCGCAAUUUUGAGAUUCAUGCAUCUCAAGCAAAACUCCAUAAAGAUAGUCAAGUGCACUCAACUCACUAGCAAUUCGUUCCACAUAAGUGGGUCUCUUAAAGAGAUUAGCUAGUGGAUGAGGAUCCAUAUCACUAGAUUUUCAGCAAGCGAAGAUGCAAGCAUAUUGAAGGCACAUGGCACACAAGCGAACAAAAAGCAACCGAGAGAAAAGGGCGAACGAAAAGGCAAAGGAGAAAGGCAAAAAGGCAAAUGAAAACGGAAAAUGUGAAGUGGGGGAGAGGAAAACGAGAGACAACUGGCAAAAAAGUAAAUGCAGGAGAUGAGUUUGUGAGACCUACUUGGAUAGAUCUCUCCUUCCCCGGCAACGGCGCCAGAAAUACUUCUGCUACUGCAACAAAAGACCUUCCAACGGCGCCAGAAAUAGGUGUGUUGACGGCACCAGGAAUCCUUUUGCUACGGCUACGCCUUAAGGGACUUCGUAGGAAAAUAUGCAAAGGAUUUCCCCCGUGGCCUUGGAGCCUUGCGUUGGUGUUCCCUUGAAGCGGAAAGGGUGAUGUAGCGCAGCGGUGGUAGGUAUUUCCCUCAGUUUUGAGAACCAAGGUAUCGAUCCAGUGAAGGAGUAUCACAAGGGCCUGCACAAACACAAAAACUUGCUCCCAACGCAAUGAAGGGGUUGUCAAUCCCUUAUAGAUUGUUUGCCAAGUGAGAACUGAAAGCAACAAAGUAACAAAGCAAAGUAAAAGCGAAAGUGGAAACGAUAGGUGUGAAUAGACCCACGGGCCAUAGUGUUUACUAGUGGCUUCUCUCAUGAAAGCAAGUAGACGGUGGGUGAACAAAUUACUGUCGAGCAAUUGAUACAACCGCGCAAAGUNNNNNNNNNNGGGGGCCGUAGUGUUUACUAGUGGCUUCUCUCAUGAAAGCAAGUAGAUGGUGGGUGAACAAAUUACUGUCGAGCAAUUGAUACAACCGCGCAAAGUCGUGACGUCAUCUAUGGCAAUGAUUAUAUCUAUAGGCAUCACGUCCAAAACAAGUAGACCGAUACUUUCUGCAUCUACUACUANNNNNNNNNNNNNNNNNNNNNNNNNNNNNNNNNNNNNNNNNNNNNNNNNNNNNNNNNNNNNNNNNNNNNNNNNNNNNNNNNNNNNNNNNNNNNNNNNNNNAUAUAGGAUGACCUCAUUUGGUUACCGGAAGGUUUUCGUGCAUUACCGGAAAAGUUUCGGGCUCAUCGGUAGUGUACCGGGAGUGCCUGGAGGGGUGCCGGGGACCAUCGGGAGGGGUGUCACGCCCCAAGGGGUCUCAUGGGCUAUGGGAAGAGAUAAACCAGCCCCUAGUGGGCUGGAAUAAGUUCCCACUAAGGCCCAUAAGGUUUGAGAAGGAAAAAACACAAGGUGGAAAGGGUUUCCAAGUGGGAAGAUGAAAUCCUACUCCAAGUAGGAUUGGAGUAGGACUCCUCCACCUCCAAUUUCGGCCAAACCUUUAGGUUUUGAGGCUGCCUCCUCCCCUCCCUCCCACCUAUAUAUACGGAGGUUUUAGGGCUGAUUUGAGACGACUUUUCCACGGCAGCCCGACCACAUACCUCCACGGUUUUUCCUCUAGAUNNNNNNNNNNGUGCUUGGGGGUCCUUGGACCCCAAGGCAAGGCCCCCUCUCUCCCACCUAUAUAUAUGGGGGUUUUAGGGCAGAUUUGAGACGACUUUCUCACGGCUGCCCGACCNNNNNNNNNNNNNNNNNNNNNNNNNNNNNNNNNNNNNNNNNNNNNNNNNNNNNNNNNNNNNNNNNNNNNNNNNNNNNNNNNNNNNNNNNNNNNNNNNNNNUCACAUGGUGAUGUGAGGGCUAGAUUAUUGACUCUAGUGCAAGUGGGAGACUGUUGGAAUUAUGCCCUAGAGGCAAUAAUAAAUGUAGUUAUUAUUAUAAUUCCUGUAUCAAGAUAAUAGUUUAUUAUCCAUGCUAUAAUUGUAUUGAAUGAAGACUCAUUUACAUGUGUGGAUACAUAGACAAAACACCAUCCCUAGAAUGCCUCUAGUUGGCUAGCCAGUUAGUCAAUGAUAGUCAGUGUCUUCUGAUUAUGAACAAAGUGUUGUUGCUUGAUAACUGGAUCACGUCAUUGGGAGAAUCACGUGAUGGACUAGACCCAAACUAAUAGACGUAGCAUGUUGAUCGUGUCAUUUUGUUGCUACUGUUUUCUGCGUGUCAAGUAUUUGUUCCUAUGACCAUGAGAUCAUAUANNNNNNNNNNGUCCCUAGCAAGCCUCUAGUUUGCUAGCCAGUUGAUCAAAGAUAGUCGGUGUCUUCUGAUUAUGAACAAGGUGUUGUUGCUUGAUAACUCGAUCACGUCAUUAGGAGAAUCACGUGAUGGACUAGACCCAAACUAAUAGACGUAGCAUGUUNNNNNNNNNNNNNNNNNNNNNNNNNNNNNNNNNNNNNNNNNNNNNNNNNNNNNNNNNNNNNNNNNNNNNNNNNNNNNNNNNNNNNNNNNNNNNNNNNNNNACCCGCGUUCGGAAUCAUCCGAAUCCGACCCCGCGGUUGGAUCCGGAAUGCGAUUCCGGUUAACCGAGCCCCCCCGUUAGUCUAUAUAUAGCCCCCAUGCCAUUAACUAGAGAGCCACUCCCCCUCUGCCUCGAAAUCCGUGCCACCUACCUGAAACCCUAGCCUCCCACCUGCUCUCUCUCUCCUCCCUCGCGCCGCCGGCCCAGAUCGGGCCCGGCCGAGCCCAUCCGGCGCGCCGCCGCCAACCGCCGCCUCCCGUGCGCCCCGCGCCUCCUGCUGCAGCCGAGCGCAGCCAGCCCAGCUCGUUGCCGGCCGCCGCGGGCAGCCCCACCGCCACCACCGGAGCACCUCGCCCCUGCCUACUCCUCGUGCCCGUCSCCCCCACUGGAGUCUCCCUGCCGGCCGAGCCCGUGGCUGCCCCGCCAGCAACCGCCGGCCUUGCGGCCUGUGCCCCGCCGGCGGCCAGAUCCGGCGAGGUCCGGCCAGAUCCAGCCGGAUCCGGCCCCUCCCGACCGCCUCUGCCUGUAGCCGGCGCCCUCCACCGGCUCCUGGUCGGCGCGCCAUGCCCUCGUGCGCACGGCCAGAGGAGGACGACGAGGUCCUGUGGCUCGCCCUCCCGUGGCACGUGGGCCAGCCUCCCACGCGGCCCUAGUUCGGCCCACCUCGUCGAGACCGACCCCAGGCCCACCUCGAGCCGACCCAAGAAGCCUCCGCUCCAACCGUCAGCCUGUGGCCCGAGGUGAGCUAUCCCUUGCGCGUGCGCUGUUUUGUUAUGUAGCGCCUGCCACUUUCGGCCCGUGUAGGGUNNNNNNNNNNNNNNNNNNNNNNNNNNNNNNNNNNNNNNNNNNNNNNNNNNNNNNNNNNNNNNNNNNNNNNNNNNNNNNNNNNNNNNNNNNNNNNNNNNNNUCGAAGUAAUUUCGCCCCCUGAUGGCCGGAACUGGCCCUCCCUCGUCUGCACAAGACAUACCCAUGGCGCUAACGCAUCACAUAGGAUUUCCCAUGCUGCUUCUGGGCAAGAUUUCAUGUGUCGCCUUGCAGAUCUGCAAUUUUCCACGCUGAAACCCUAGAAGUGCAAUAAAUGUCUCAAAUAUUACAAGCGUGUCAGAAAAAUAUGGGGCCCUCACACGUCUCAUUCGAUGGCCUCCUUUGUGAGCAAAGAAAGUUUCUAGUCCAACGGAGCAGCAGGGCGAGCACUUCCUUCAUAAACCUGACAACUUCCCUCUCGAUACCGAGAGAAUACCUCGGAGAUGGUGCGGUUUACAAACGGCCUUGUGUGAGGCCUAUUCCAAACGCACCAAACUUUUACCACACCCUACAGGGGCCAUGUGAUGACGUCGUGCCAGAUUCCGUGGAUUUCUUGCAUCAUACGAUUUUCCGUUCAUUCAAACGGUUGGACUAGUCAUGUCGUCGAAGUAAUUUCGGCCCCUGAUGGCUACAAAUACCCCUCCCUCAUAUGCAAAAGGGGUACGUGUGUCGCUAAUACAUCACAUAGGAUUUUCCAUGCCGAUUAUGGGCAUGAUUUCAUGUGUCGCCUUGUAGAUCUGCAAUUUCCAACGCAGAAACCCUAGAAGUGCAAUAAAUGACUCAAAUAUUACAAGCGCGUUAGAAAAAUGCGGGGCCCUGACACAUCUCAUUCGAUGGCCUCCUUUGAGAGCGCGGAAAGUUUCGAGGCUAACGGAGCAGCAGGACCAGCACUUCCUUCACAAACCCGACAACUUCCCUCUCGAUACCGAGAGACUACCUCGGAGAUGGUGCGGUUUACAGACGGCCUCAAGUGAGGCCCAUUCGAAAUGUGCCCAAACUUUUAGCACACCCUAGAGGGGCCAUGUGAUGACGCCGUACCAUAUCUCGUGGAUUUCUGGCAUCAUACGAUUUUCCGUUCAUUCAAAUGGUUGGACGACUCAUGUCGUCGAAGUAAUUUCGCCCCCUGAUGGCUGGAACUGCCCCUCCCUCGUGUGCAAAACGGAGACGCAUGUCGCUAAUACAUCACAUAGGACUUUCCAUGCUGCUUCUGGACAUGAUUUCAUGUGUCGCCUUGCAGAUCUGCAACUUCCGACGUUGAAACCCUAAAAGUACAAUAAAUGUCUCAAAUAUUACACGCGCGUCAGAAAAAUGCGGGGCCGUGACACGCCUCAUUCGAUGGCCUCCUUUGAGAGCACGGAAAGUUCUAAGGCCAACAGAGCAGCAGGACCGGCACUUCCUUCACAAACCCGACAACUUCCCUCUUGAUACCGAGAGACUACCUCGGAGAUGGUGCGGUUUACAAACGGCCUCGGGUGAGGCCUAUUUGAAACGCGCCCAAACUUUUACCACACCCUACACGGGCCAUGUGAUAACACCGUGCCAGAUCCCAUGGAUUUCUGGCAUCAUGCGAUUUUACGUUCAUUCAAACGGUUAGACGAGUCAUGUCGUCGAACUAAUUCGCUACGUGAUGGUCGGAACUGCCCCUCUCUCGUCUGCAAAAGGGAGACGCAUGUCGCUAAUACAUCACGUAGGAUUUUCCAUGUCGAUUCUGGGCAUGAUUUCGUGUGUCGCCUUGUAAAUCUGCAAUUUCCGACGCUGAAACUCUAGAAGUGCAAUAAAUUUCCCAAAUAUUAUUGGCGCGUGACAAAAAUGUGGGGUCGUGAUAGUCUCAUUUAAUGGCCUCCUUUGAGAGCAUGGAAAGUUUCGAGGCCAACGGAGCUAGCCAAUGUAUGCAUGGGAUAAUUAAUUAAAUGCUUAGAUUUGUUCCCGUAUUAAAUCUUGGUAAAAAUAAGGGAUACUAAUUUCAGAAUAUAUGCCCGAAAUCAAGGCUAUGAUGGAUUUUGAAAAAUAAUCUGGACCUAGAAUGUUGAAUAUUGUGACAUGGACAGAGUACGUAUAGUGGUAAUUUUUUUCCUUUCCAUAUAAAUGUCUUGUUUUAGUUAGGCUAUGUGUAUCUUUUGCUGCAAAAGUUGGAAGGGUCGGCUCUAUUUUUAUCUAACAAAUUUGUUUUAGUUUAUUUUACACUUACAAUGAGCAGCCGAAAACCUAUGAGUGUAGUACUCACUAUUAGAAAAAGGGCCUUUAGCCACGGUUCGGUCAGCCAUGACUAAUGCUAGCCCCGGUUCGGCCCCGAACCGGGGCUAAAGACCUUCCACGUGGCGGGGCUGGAAGCGAGGGGGAGGAGGGGUAUUAGUCCUGGUUCGUAUUACGAACCGGGGUUAUUUCUUCGUUGUUUCUUUGAGCAAUUUUUAGGGUUUACGGUUUUGCACUAAAUUGGAUGGGGCUAUUUUGCUGCCCCAAUUUUCCCAUUUAUUUGUUUUGGGCACUUUUUAAUUCUUAUUUUGCAUUAAAUUGGAUGGUACAUACACAGCAAUAAAAGAAUAACUAUAUUGCACAUCAUCGUCAUGAAUAUAUUACAUCAUCUCACCCGUCGUGCUUUGUCGAACAUAUUACAAAAUGUAGAGGCGAGUUACACAUAUGCACAUAUGUCUCUUUUACACUAUAACAUUUCAUAACAUUCUCACCGACGAGCAAUAAUAUACUCCCUUCACACCUAGGACCUGUGCAUCUAAGAAUCCGGCAAUUUCCUCUUGAAUUGCUCGUACACGUUGCUGCGGUAGAAGACCGUGAUGACCCACAAGUAUAGGGGAUCAAUCGUAGUCCUUUCGAUAAGUAAGAGUGUUGAAUCCAACGGGGAGCAGAAGGAUUUGACAAGUCGUUUUCAGCAAGGUAAUAUCUACAAGCACUUAAAUUGUCGGUAACAAGUGAUUGUGCGGUGAGAUGAUUCGUAGCGAGCAACAAGUAACAAAAGUAGAAACGGUGCAGCAAAGUGGCCCAAUCCCUUUUGUAGCAAGGGACAAGCCUGGACAAAGUCUUAUAGGAGGAAAACGCUCCCGAGGACACACGAGGAUUUCUGUCAUGCUAGUUUUCAUCAUGUUCAUAUGAUUCGCGUUCGUUACUUUGAUAGUUUGAUAUGUGGGUGAACCGGCGCUUGAGUACAGCCCUUACUUGGACAAGCAUCCCACUUAUGAUUAACCCCUCUCGCAAGCAUCCGCAACUACGAAAGAAGAAUUAAGACAAAGUCUAACCAUAGCAUUAAACUAGUGGAUGCAAAUCAGCCCCUUGCGAAGCAACACAUAAACUAGGGUUUAAGCUUCUGUCACUCUAGCAACCCAUCAUCUACUUACUACUUCCCAAUGCCUUCCUCUAGACCCAAAUAAUGGUGAAGUGUUAUGUAGUCAACGUUCACAUAACACCACUAGAGGAAAAACAACAUACAACACAUCAAAAUAUCGAACGAAUACCAAAUUCACAUGACUACUAUUAGCAUGACUUAUCCCAUGUCCUCAGGAACAAAAGUAACUACUCACAAAGCAUAAUCAUAUUCAUGACCAGAGAGGUAAUGAGUAGCAUCAAGGAUCUGAACAUAAACUCUUCCACCAAGUAAUCCAACUAGCAUCAAGUACAAAGAGUAAUUAACACUACUAGCAACCUUACAAGUAGCAAUCGGAGUCGCGAGACAGAGAUUGGUGACAAGUGAUGAACUAGGGUUUGGAGAUGAGAUGGUGCUCAUGAAGACGUUUAUGGUGAUGAGUCCCCUCCGAUGAGAGGAGUGUUGGUGAUGACGAUGGCGAUGAUUUCCCCCUCCGGGAGGAAAGUUUCCCCGGCAGGAUCAUCCUGCCGGAGCUCUAGAUUGGUUCUGCUCAAGUUCCGCCUCGUGGCAGCGGCGAAUCCAUGAAAAAGCCUCCUUUUGAUUAUUUUUUUCCGGACGAAGCCCUUCAUAUAGCAGAAGAGGGGGGCAGAGGGCCAGCUGGGUGCCCACAAGCCCCCUAGGCACGGCCAGGGGGGUGGUGGAGCCUAGCAGGCUUGUGGCCACCUGCUGGCACCCCUCUGGCACUUCUUCGGCUCAGUAUUUUUUAUAAAUCCCGAAAAAAUCCUCGUUGAUUUUUAUGGAGUUUAGAGUUGCGCAGAAUAGGUAUCUCAAACUUUCUCCACUUUCAGGCCAGAAUUCCAGCUGCCAGCAUUCUCCCUCUUCAUGUAAACCUUGCAAAAUAAGAGAGAAAAGGCAUAAGUAUCGUACCGUGAAGUGAAAUAAUAGCCCAAGAAGCGAUAAAUAUCAACAUGAAAACAUGAUGCAAAAUGGACGUAUCAGACCGUACCGCAAUCGUUCGAUCUAAUUUAAAGAAUGGGUCAAUAUAUAUAUAUAUCAAUGAAACCGAACAUAAUUCACGGUAAUAAAAUAAAGUUGUGAGUAUUGUUUAUCGUACUUCGAUUUUUUUAUGUCCCGGUUUUUCCCCUUCUCAUGGGUCGUCUUGCGAAUGAACUCGCAAACAUAGUAUCCACAUAAAUUGUUCCCAUGUUCCAGCCUCAAGCACUUUACGAAAAGAGAGUUCAAUCAAAAACAUAAUCAAUAAUUAUAAUGGUACUGAAACUAGAAUAAAGAGAUGCACGGAUCUAGCUAGUAGUUACUUACAUCUAUUUGUUUAAAUGUAAGCUCUGGCUUCCAAUCACCCCGAGCUUUGGCGGUGAACCAUUUCCAAGCCCUGCCAAGAAAAGGAAAUGAAUAAAGGUGUUCUAUAUUAAUUCCUUGCUAUCAGGAAAUGAACGAGAAGUUGCCGAUAUAGUGCCAUAAUGAUUGAAAUUACCUCUGGAGGCAUUCUUGCAUGUUCGUCCAUUCAUCGAGGCGUGUGCAUUUCGGGUCCAUGACUAUUACUUCUCCCUUGUCAGGUACAAUGAUUAACAAAAUAAAGUGGAACCUGCGCAUGCAUAAUGAGUCAAUUAUACACUUAUAAUAACAUCGAGUAAGCGAAACUAGAAUGNUGUAGUAACACUCACUUGAAGUUGUAAGGAAAUAGUAUUUCCCUUUUGGUACCGGAAAACCUUAACCCUUGUACCAAGUUAUUCUCUGUAUCGCGGGGACUCGUUGCGAGACUUUGGUGAUGAAUGAAAUAUGGGUUAGUGAACCCAAUGUCAUAGAUUUGUCCUCUUUUGCAUUCGAGAAUCUUCAUUCUGCAAAAUUAAUAUAGUGAUGAGUAAGAUUAUACAUGAAAGAAUGAGCUGAAUAAGACUUUAAUGACAUAAAUUAAUAAUACUUACAAACAAUAGGCACUAAUGAUAGAUUUGUCGAGGGCGUCUUGUUGGUAUAAUUGAAAUAAUUCAUCGAAUUCAAUCAUUACCACGCCGUCUCCAUGCCCGAAAUGAUCGUUUUAAAAUUCAAGGUAUAUCUAGUUUGCCUGUUGAGCACAUGCUUGCAUGUACCAGUCAUGCAAUCUUCGCAUUUUUGUUGGUAGCUCGUUGACUAACUCAGGUUUGACCAGAGGAGCCCCGUACUAGUAUGUGUAUGCUAUGUCAGUGAAUACCUCCAAAUGGUUUAAGUACUCAUCAAUAGACAUGCCUUGAGCCCUGGCCGCUUCUUCGUAUUGUGCAAGAAAUUUUGGAUCGAUGUCAGCUGUUUCAUCAUUCCUCUGUUGGACCGUAGCUCUACUCGAGCACACAUUUGUAUCAGAAUACACUUUGAGCGGGGGGGCACGAUUGGUUUUUCUGUUGUCUGAGAUGGGCAAUUGAUUUCCCGCUGGCGUACUACUCUUCAACCGCUUCUUUUUUUCCUGAGCCGACUUGAUAAUAGAGCGUUCAUAGUCUGCUGGCAACGGUGGCGGGGAUCUGUAAGGUUUUUCAGCAUUUUCACGCACGCGGCGUGUUCUUCUCGGGUGUCCGGGAACUCUGGCUCUUUCGGUUUCUUCUUGUUAGACACUUGAGCCUUCCACUGUUCAUGUUGGGCAUCUACCCUCUUAAUAUUGUCCUCUCCAGUGUAGUCACAAGGUCUCUUCUCCAUAUUCUUAUGAGGUACUUUUGGGAGGGGCGACAACUUACGUUUUGGUGAUCGGAUACCCUUUCUGCCGCCACUAUUAGCGGGGUUACUUUUACGCUUUUUGCUCUGAUCCUCGGUGGAUGGAGACGGCUGACGGGGAGGUGGAGACGGCUGAUGCGGCGGUGAAGACGGAUGCGCUGGAGACUGGUGAGGCGGCAAAGACGACGGUUGCGCUGGAGAUUGGUGAGGCGGCGAAGACGACCGUUGCGCUGGAGACUGGUGAGGUGGAGGCGAAGAAGGAUUGCUGGUAUGAGGAGUCGGUGGCCUUGGCAUCCAAUUUGGAAGCCAGAUGUGCUCCUUUGUCCAUACAACGGCUUGUUUCUUGACUUCUCCAAGUUGAGUCAAAUCCCUAUCUUCCCCUGCAGGGUGGUCGAGCUUCAGCUCCUCAUAAUCUUUCAUCACUUCAUCCACCACCACGACAGCGUACUCUUGUGGAACCGGAGAGCAAUGCCAAGUUGGAUUACGUCCAAUUGGUAUGGCCAUGCCGACUAAUACGUCUCCAUCGUAUCUACUUUUCCAAACUCUUUUGCCCUUGUUUUGGACUCUAAUUUGCAUGAUUUGAAUGGAACUAACCUGGACUGACGUUGUUUUCAGCAGAAUUGCCUUGGUGUUAUUUUUGUGCAGAAAUGAAAGUUCUCCAAACUUCCUAAAAAUUUACGGAGAUUAUUUCUGGAAAAUAUGAAAAAUACCUGCACAAAGAUCCACCGAAGGGGGUGGGCCAGUGGGCCAGAAGCCCAGUAGCCGCCACCCCUGGUGGUGUCUAGCAAGCUUGUGGGGCCCAUGUGGCUCUGCCGCCCCCAAUCUCAGCUCUAUAAGUUCACUUUCGUCCGAGAAAAAAUCAAGAGAGAAGAUUUCGUCGCGUUUGCGAUACGGAGGCGCCGCCACAUCCUGUUCUUCAUCUGGAGGGCAGAUUUGGAGUCCGUUUUGGGCUCCGAAGAGGGGAAAUCGUCGCCAUCGUCAUCAUCAACCUUCUUCCCUCUCCAAUUCCAUUAAGCUCUUCAUCGUUCGUGAGUAAUCUAUUCGUACGCUCGCUGGGCGGUGAUGAGUAGGAUGAGAUCUAUCAUGUAAUCGAGUUAGUUUUGACGGGGAUUGAUCCCUAGUAUCCACUAUGUUCUGAGAUUGAUGUUGCUACUACUUUGCCAUGCUUAAUGCUUGUCACUAGGGCCCGAGUGCCAUGAUUUCAGAUCUGAAAUUAUUAUGUUGUCACCAAUAUAUUAGUGUUUUAGAUCCGAUCUUGCAAGUUGUAGUUACCUACUAUGUGUUAUGAUCCGGCAAUCCCGGAGUGACAAUAACAAGAACCACUCCCGGUGAUGACCAUACUUUGAGGAGUUCAUGUGUUCACCAAGUGCUAAUGCGUUGGUCCGGUUCUUUAUUAAAAGGAGAACCUUAAUAUCCCGUAGUUUCCUUUUGAACCCCGCUGCCACGGGAGGGGUGGACAAUAGGUGUCAUGCAAGUUCUUUUCCCUAAGCAUGUAUGACGACACACAGAAUGCAUGCCUACAUCACAUUGAUGAACGGGAGCUAGUCACAUAUAUCUUCGUGUUAUAACUGUUGCAUGAUGAAUAUUAUCCAAACAAAUCACCGACCCAUUGCCUACGAGUUUGUCCCACUACUGCUGUUACUUGUCUUGCUCUGCUGCUACUGAUGUUACUUGUCUUGCUUUCUGCUACUGCUGUUACUUGUCUUGCUCUGCUGCUACUGUUGUUACUUGUGUUGUUCUGCUGCUACUCUUGUUACUAGUGUCGCUUGCUACUGUUGCUACUUGCUACUAUUGUCACUACUAAUGUUCCAUGCCACUGCUAUUACUCGUUACACUGCUGCUACCUGCUACAAUUUUGGUUCGCUGGUCGUUGACGGGAACAGACAAUUUCCGUCAACAGGCAACUUCUGGCGUCAUUGAUACAAUCCUUAGGAAUAGUCUGCCGUCAAUAGAUCGUUUCUGACACCGUUGUUAUCAUACUACUUUGCUGUUGAUACUUUGCUUGCAGAUAUUAAUCUUUCAGGUGUGGUUGAAUCUCACUCAUUCAGCUGCUAAUACUUGAGAGUAUCCUCUCACUUCCCUUGGCGAAUCAACAAAUUGGGUUGAAUACUCUACCCUUGAAAACUACCUCGAUCCCACGCGUUGGUGGGCCAUCAACAACAUUCUUCUAGUUUCAUUGUUGGGGAGUGCUAGCAGCAUUCUUCUGGUGCCGUUGCAGGGGAAGGUCUGUUGACACGGAGUCAGCAUUUUUCUGACACCGUUGCCGGGGAAGGUCUGUUGACACGGAGUCAGCAUUUUUCUGGCGCCGUUGCCGGGGAGGUAUUGCUAUAUUCUCUGAGUCACUUGGGAUUUAUAUCUGUUGAUCACUAUGAAGAAUUUGAAGGACCCAAAAACCAAAGUCUUGCCCUCAACUACGAGGGGAGGUAAGGAACUACCAUCUAGCUCUGCACUUGAUUCACCUUCAGUUAUGAGUAAGUUUGCGACAUCACCUCCUGCUAGAAAUUCUCAUAUGUCGCAUGUGCUUGAUGAUGCUUAUGAUGCUACUGCUAGAGAUGCUAUGCUUGAUACUAUGUCUGAUGAUACUAUGCUUGAUACUAUGCCUGAUGAUGCUAUGCCUGAUACUGCUAGAGAUGCUAUGCCUGAUACUGGUUUGCCUGAUACUGCUAGAGAUACUACUUUGCCUGAUGUUCCACUAGGGGUGUUCCUUGAUGCUCAUAUUGCUAGAGUUACUGCCAAUGCUCGUGAUGCUUCUGAUACUGCCGAUACUAUUGAGAUAGAACCUGCUUUUGCUCCUGCUAGAUCUAGCUCUCCUAGAUAUGAAUUGCCUGAUAUACCUGACGGUUACAUUAUGGAGGGAGAGAUAGCUGAGGAUUUUAUUGCGUGUAAGGAUGCCUAUGACGCUGAGAAAUUACUUAUCAAGUGGAAGGAAAAAUAUCUGAAAGCUAGGAUGAAAUACGACCCGAAGUUUGCGACUUCACCUAUCUUUAUCACCGAUAAGGAUUAUGAAUUCUCGGUCGAUCCUGAGAUAAUCUCUCUAGUCGAAUCUGAUCCUUUUCACGGUUAUGAGUCUGAGACGGUCGUGUCCCAUCUUACCAAACUACACAAUAUAGCCACCCUUUUCACUAGUGAGGAGAAGAUCCGCCACUACUACAUCCUUAAGUUGUUUCCUUUCUCUUUGAAGGAUGACGCUAAAGCCUGGUUCACCUCUCUUGCUCCUGGAUGUGUGAGUAGUCCCCAGGAUAUGGUCUAUUACUUCUGUGAGAAAUAUUUCCCUGCCCAUAAGAAGCAAGUUGCCUUGCAGGAAAUAUACAACUUUGCUCAACUCCGAGAAGAGAGUCUCCCACAAGCAUGGGGGAGGCUCGUCCAGCUACAGAAUGCUUUGCCUGAUCACCCUCUUAAGAAGAACGAGAUACUUGAUAUCUUCUAUAACGGACUUACCGAUGCCUCCAGAGACCACCUAGAUAGUUGUGCCGGUUGUGUUUUUAGGGAACGAACUGUAGAACAAGCUGAGACCCUACUGAAUAACAUCUUGAUCAAUGAUAAUGCUUGGACUAUUCCCGAACCACCUCCUAAGCCAACUCCGAAGAAAAGAGGUAUUCUAUUCCUCAGUCCCGAAGAUAUGCAAGAAGCCAAGAAAUCUAUGCAAGAGAAAGGCAUUAGAUCUGAAGAUAUCAAAAAUCUACCACCUAUCGAAGAGAUCCAUGGUCUCGAUAACCGGAUACGAGUAGUAGAAGUGAAUUCUCUAUGUAGGUUUGAUGAGAGUGAUAUUCCUUUUGACAAACCUGCUAGCCUAUGCUUUGAUGAAUUUGACAACUUUGUUGCCAAACAACAGAGUUUCAAUGAUUAUGUUAGCAGACAUUUGGAACAAAGUACUCAUAUGCUUAGCCAUUUAAGUGCUUGUGUAGACAGAAAUGUCAAUGAUCUGAAGCUUCUGAGUAAACAUGCCUCUAUGAUUACUACUCAGGUAGAACAAGUACUUAAAGCUCAGAAUGACUUGCUCAAUGAAUUAAAUGACAACUCUGUCAGAGUCAUUACUAGAGGAGGCAAAAAUGACUCGGGAACCUUUGUAUCCUGAAGGUCAUCCUAAGAGAAUUGAUCAAGAUUCUCAAGGAAUUAAUUGUGAUACACACAGUCAUCCUAAGGAGAAUAGGAAGGAUGAUAGAAACCUACAUGCCAGUUCACCAAAUACUAUCACACCUGAAGAACCUAAUGAUAUUUCUGUGUCUGAUGCAGAAACACAAUCUGGUGAUGAACAUGAACCUGGUGACAAUAUGGACAGUGAUGUUCAUAAUAAUGCUCAACCUAGCAAUGAUGAGGAUGUGGAGAUUGAACCUAUGGUUAAUCCUGAUAACCCACAACCUAAGAGAUACGAUAAGAAUGACUUCACUGCUAGGAAGCAUGGUAAAGAAAGGGAGCCAUGGGUUCAGAGAUCUAUGCCCUUUCCUCCUAAGCCAUCCAAGAAAAAGGAUGAUGAGGAUUUUGAGCGCUUCGUUGAGAUGAUAAGACCCAUCUUUCUGCAGAUGCCGUUAACUGAUAUGCUCAAAAUGUCUCCGUAUGCCAAGUACAUGAAAGAUAUCGUGACUAAUAAACAGAAGAUACCAGAUCUUGAGAUCUCCACCAUGCUUGCCAAUUACACUUUCAAAGGUGGAACUCCUAAGAAACUUGGUGAUCCCGGAGUGCCCACUAUACCUUGCUCCAUUAAAGGAAACUACGUAAGAACUGCCUUAUGUGACCUUGGAGCCAGUGUUAGUGUUAUGUCGCUCUCUCUUUAUCGUAGACUUGAAUUGGAUAAGUUGACACCCAUUGAAAUUUCUCUGCAAAUGGUCGACAAAUCAACUGCUUUCCCUAUCGGCAUUUGCGAGGAUGUGCCUGUUGUGGUUGCUAACACCACUAUCUUAACAGACUUUGUUAUCUUGGAUAUUCCCGAGGAUGAUUCCAUGGCUGUCAUCCUCGGAAGACCCUUUUUAAACACUACAGGGGCUGUUAUAGAUUGCAACAAAGGCAAUGUCACUUUCCAUGUCAACGGUAAUGAGCACACAGUGCACUUUCCGAAGAAACGAUAUCAAGUACAUUGCAUCAAUGCUAUCGAAAAGACUUCAUCGAUUCUCAUUGGGAGCUUUGAAUGCCCUAUUCCUCGUGUCAAGCUGAAGUAUGAUUUGCUUGUUGGGGACAUACAUAUCCCCAUUGAGGUGACUUAGUGGCUAUUCGAAAAUUCUCCAUUCUCUCUUGCGAUUCGAGAAGGUUUUGUCAUGAGGACUUGAUCAACCCCAUUGACGGAUUUCUUUCGAUGACCAUGAAAUGGAUGAAUCAAAGAGUCACAUACCUUUGUUUUGAGCUUUCAUUUUUUGUUGCUUCGAAGAAAAAUGAUAGAAUUAGUUUAGUUUUUCCUGUUUUCCGUUUUAGCGUCCCGGAGAAAAAUACCCCGGAAAUAAAAGUUCUCCGAUGGUCCUGAAAAUUUAGUAUGAUUUUUUCUGGAUUAUUUGAAAAAUACUGGGCCUGAGAGCUAGCCUGGGGGCCUGACCAGUGGGCCACAAGCCCUACAGCCCCCCCUGGUGGCGGCUAGCAAGCUUUUGGGGCCCACAGGGACCCCCUCCACUCAUUCCAGCUCCCAUCCUCUUCUUCCACCUCCAGAAAAAAUUGUUUCGCAGCUCAAACCCGUGUUCUUGCUCAUUUGGCUGGGAUUUUCGAUCUCCUUGCUCAAAGCACCUUUCUCCGUACCGUUUUGGGGAAAUUACUCCUUGGUAAGUGACUCCUCCAUUGGUCCAAUUAGUUUUUGCACUAGUGCUUUAUCCUUCGCGUAUUCUUGCUACCUUGGUGACCCUGUUCUUGAGCUAGAAAUGUUGAUUUUAGCUCGCCCCAAGUAGUUCUAGCGCGUGAUACAGUCUCUAGGCACUAGUAGGAGUAGUUGCUACGAUUUGGGUUAAUUCUUAUUCACUUUUCUUUCGAAGUCUCUAAAAAUUUCAGAAUUUUUCAGAGCUAGAAAAAGAAAAGAUGAGGAGGUUCUUAAGAGGCUCUUCAAGCCAUAACCCCAAGGAGGAUGAGAAGAACCACCCCAAUUACGUAGUCCCUUGAGUCACACAAGUUCGAGCGUGCGAGUGGCCAAGUGAUGAAUUUUUGCGCGCCGCUGGGCUUUAUGAAGACUUUUAUUACUUAGUGGAGAACGCAGGUCUUACUGCGUUCGUUGAAGAUAAGUGCUCACAAUACCUCCUCCUCACCAAUAUUUUCAUUCAAAGCUUCAACUUUUAUCCAAGGAAGAAUCCUCCCAUGGUUGAGUUCAUGUUGUACGAUAUCCCCCAGUGCAUGACGCUACAGGAUUUUUGCAAUGUAUGCAAAUUACCUUAUGUUGGGGAUAUUCGUGACCCUCGUCCACGGGAUUUGGAGGAUUUCAUUGGUACUAUUGCUGUUGGAGAGGAGAGAGGAGUGUCUCGCGCUAGAAUUGCUAGCAUACAUUUUCCUGUGCUUCGGUACUUCUCAUUAUUUGUGGGAAAAUGUUUGAUUGGCCGUGGGGAGGCUGGAUCACUUAGUUCUCUAGACCUUGCGGUUCUGCGCGAAGGCCUAUAUAACGAUAAGACUUAUAGCCUAGGUGCUAUAGUAGCCAGCGGUUGAACACCAACCGUUCCAAGAGUGUCGUCUAUGGAGGUAUCUAUGCUACCCGUCUUGCCAGACACUUUGAGAUACCCGUUAGACUAGGAGAGGAAGGAGAGAUGCUUCUCCCUGAGAAAUAUCUGGAUUAUGACAACAUGGUUCGCCAUGAUUUUGUGGAUAGAGAUGCUAGUAGACGGAUGAUUUAUAACCUGGUAUUUAGUCAAGGUACUCGAGAGACUAUUACUUUGCCUGCUCCUUCUUUGUUCGAUCUUCAUGCAGGCAGGUACACUAUUACGCCCUCAGACAUCUACGCAUAUUGGGGCUUGGCCCAACCACAGGUGCCUAUGCCCGAGCCGCCAUUCGAGUACCAGACGCCAGUUUAUCAGUGGGAGCCAGAGGAGCUCACACAGCAGUGGCAUCCACAGUCUGCUCUAGAGUACCCCGGAGCUGGUUAUUUCCCACCUUGGGAGUAGACCAAGUUAGGCCAAAAUGCUAAGCUUGGGGGAGUACGUGUUCUCACUGACAUUACAUUCAUGCUUAUGCUUUCACUUUGUUAGUCGGUGUUUACACUUUGCCACUUACUAUCCAUGCUAGUUUAUUUUCGUUUUCUUGUUUUGUGUUCUUUUGAGAAAAACCAAAAAGAUUUUCCUUUCUUCUGUUGCUUGUUGGGAGCUUUCCCGUGUAAAUAGUUUUCUUUUUCUUUGGGUCAAGGUAGAAGAUAUUGGUUACAAUGUUUAGUGGUUCUUGCAUGCAUACCUGUUUAGCUUUCAAAGAGCCAUAUUACUUUGUCUUCUCCUUUGUGUUUGCCUGCAGAUUCAGCUUAGUCCAUUGCACGAGCACUCUUAUUAUUAUUCACAUCGUUCGAUCGUGCAAAUGAAAGGCAAUAAUGAUGAUAUAUGAUGAAGUGACUGAGACUGGAAAAGCUGGUAUGAACUCUAUUUAUUUUGUUUUUGUAAAUAUGACUAGCUUGUCAUCCCAGAUUCAGCUUUGUUGUGAGAGAACCAUGUUUGCAAUGACAACUUAGAGAUCAUAGUUUCUGAUGCCAUGCUUAUUUAGCUAGGAGCUUAUAAUGGUUUGUCUUGAAUGCCAACAUAGAUUUUGAGAUGACUAUGAUGUAGUAUGAUAGGAUGGUAUUCUCCUUUGAAUGAUUCAAGUGGCAUGACUUGGCGCAUGUUCAUGCAUGUAGUUGAAACAAAAUCAACAUAGCCUCUAUGAUGUUCGUGUUCAUGGUGAUUUAUAUCCUGUUCAUGCUUGCAUUCACUGUUAGUCAAACUCAUUGCAUCUUGAUGACUGUUGUCGCUCUCUAGUUGGUCGCUUCCCAGUCUUUUGCUAGCGUUCACUUGUACUAAGCGGAAGACUGCUUGUGCAUCCACUUCCAUAAACCCAAAAGUUUUUCCAUGAGAGUCCACCAUACCUACCUAUUUGCGGUAUCUACCUACCAUUCCAAGUAAAUUUGCAUGUGCCACUCUCUAAACCUUUAAGAAAUAAUCUGUUUUGCAUGCCCGAACCGCUCAUGUGGUGACAGGGGGCUAUUGGUAUCUUCCAUGCUAGGAGUGUUAUCAUCGAGAUGUGUUUAUUCACUGUCAGUCACGAGAAAGGGACUGGUAAUUGGUAUGCCCAGUUUCACGCUUAAAUCAAAAGCAUAACUGUAAAACAAGACUCCCCCCGGAUUGAUGUUAAUAUGGACAGUACCCAAGGAUUCGGCUAGCCGUGGAGUGUGAUUGAUUGAUGGUGGGGGAGUUAAAACUUUACUUUUCUGUUUGGGAACCGCCUAUAGCAUGAGUAGCAUGGAAUAUAUUGAGAACUCUUGGUCAUUGCGUUGACAAUGAAAGCAUGCCACCCAAAAUUAUUAUCUCUAUUUUCAAAGCUUGAGCUCUGGUACCUCUGCAAAUCAAUGCUUCCCUCUGCAAAGGGCCUGUCUAUUUAUUUUCCUGUUAAGUCAUCCUCCUCUUUUAUAAGCACCAUUUUUAUGCUUUGCUUUUGAUUGAUAUUGAGUAUGACUAUGACUGGAUCUUCGUUGCUAUGAAUUACAAUGUUUAGUCAGCCCUUGAUCUUUGAAAGUGCUCUGCAUUUAUGCUUUGCUAUCUCAGAAAGAGCUAGCACGAUACUACCUAUUCAUAUUGCUUCAUGCUUGUUUUGAUUGAAGUGUUGGUAUUUGAAACUCAUUAUUAUUUGCUCGUUAGCUGAUUAUGCCAUUGAUAUUAGUUUACCGUGAGACCUUUGUGUCACUUGCUUAUGUGGUUAACUUUUGAUCUUGUUGAAAUUCUGGUUAUGAGUUAGACAUACUUGCAACAACAAGAUCAAACAGAGUUUGUCAAAGUUUUUCUUUCUCUCUCAGUUUGUCAACUGAGUUGCUUGAGGACAAGCAAGGUUUUAAGCUUGGGGGAGUUGAUACGUCUCCAUCGUAUCUACUUUUCCAAACUCUUUUGCCCUUGUUUUGGACUCUAAUUUGCAUGAUUUGAAUGGAACUAACCUGGAUUGACGUUGUUUUCAGCAGAAUCGCCUUGGUAUUGUUUUUGUGCAGAAAUGAAAGUUCUCCAAAUGUCCUGAAAAUUUACGGAGAUUAUUUCUGGAAAAUAUGAAAAAUACCUGCGCAAAGAUCCACCGAAGGGGGUGGGCCAGUGGGCCACAAGCCCUGUAGCCGCCACCCCUCCCCCCCCCCAAGGGGNCCCCCAAGGUGGCGGCUAGCAAGCUUGUGGGGCCACGUGGGUCUUCCGCCCUCAUUCUCAGCUCUAUAAGUUCACUUUCAUCCCAGAAAAAAUCAGGAGAGAAGAUUUCGUCGCGUUUGCGAUACGGAGGCGCCGCCACAUCCUGUUCUUCAUCUAGAGGGCAGAUCUAGAGUCCGUUUUGGGUUCCGGAGAGGGGAAAUCGUCGCCAUUGUCAUCAUCAACCUUCUUCCCUCUCCAAUUCCAUGAAGCUCUUCGUCGUUUGUGAGUAAUCUAUUCGUAGGCUUGCUGGGCGUUGAUGAGUAGGAUGAGAUCUAUCAUGUAAUCGAGUUAGUUUUGACGGGGAUUGAUCCCUAGUAUCCACUAUGUUCUGAGAUUGAUGUUGCUACUACUUCGCGAUGCUUAAUGCUUGUCACUAGGGCCCGAGUGCCAUGAUUUCAGAUCUGAAAUUAUUAUGUUGUCACCAAUAUAUGUGUGUUUUAGAUCCGAUCUUGCAAGUUGUAGUUACCUACUAUGUGUUAUGAUCCGGCAACCCCGGAGUGACAAUAACCGGAACCACUCCAAGUGAUGACCAUAGUUUGAGGAGUUCAUGUGUUCACCAAGUGCUAAUGCGUUGGUCCGGUUCUUUAUUAAAAGGAGAACCUUAAUAUCCCGUAGUUUCCUUUUGGACCCCGCUGCCACGGGAGGGAUGGACAAUAGAUGUCAUGCAAGUUCUUUUCCCUAAGCACGUAUGAUGACACACGGAAUGCAUGCCUACAUCACAUUGACGAACGGGAGCUAGUCACAUAUCUCUUCGUGUUAUAACUGUUGCAUGAUGAAUAUCAUCCAAACAAAUCACCGAUCCAUUGCCUAAGAGUUUGUCCCACUACUGCUGUUACUUGUCUUGCUCUGCUGCUACUACUGUUACUUGUCUUGCUCUGCUGCUACUGUUGUUACUUGUCUUGCUUUGCUGCUACUGAUGUUACUUGUCUUGCUCUGCUGCUACUGUUGUUACUACUGUCGCUUGCUACUGUUGCUACUCGCUACAGCUGUCACUAUUGUUGUUCCUUACCACUGCUAUUACUCGUUACACUACUGCUACCUAAUACAAUUUUGGUUCGCUGGUCGUUGACGGGAAUAGACAAUUUCUGUCAAAGGGCAACUUCUGGCGCCAUUGAUACAAUCAUUAGGAAUAGUCUGCCGUCAACAGAUCAUUUCUGACACCGUUGUAUCAUACUACUUUACUGCUGAUACUUUGCUUGCAGAUAUUAAUCUUUCAGGUGUGGUUGAAUCUGACACAUUCAGCUGCUAAUAAUUGAGAGUAUCCUCUCACUUCCCUUGGUGAAUCAACAAAUUGGGUUGAAUACUCUACCCUCGAAAACUGCCUCGAUCCCAUGCGCUGGUGGGCCAUCAACAACAUUCUUCUAGUUUCGUUGCUGGGGAGUGCUAGCAGCAUUCUUCUGGUGCCGUUGUAGGGGAAGGUAUGUUGACACGGAGUCGCCGACCGUCACCGUCAACCUUAACUUAGGAAGUUUCACCUUAGCUCACAAGGUGUGCUCUCUGUGAUAUCAUCCGCUGGGUAGCGACGAGGAGGAUACGUCGUCGGUGCAUCAUCACCCUCAUCCUGGAGCUGCGUGGAAGCGACACUGCUUUUCCGAUUCGAUGCAGCUUCUAUCAUGAGCCGCUCAGAUUGGCCGCUACCUUGUUGUCUGCCGAUUUGAUCCUGCUACAGCCGCUUUACUGCUUCUUCUAGAUUAUGCAGUCGGUCUGCCUCAGCCGCUUUAUCAGGGGGGGGGGGCCUCUGAUGGCUUCUAUCGGGAAAUCACUUCCUUUCCUCGGAGAACACAAGAAUCCAUGGCGGGGAGCCUGGUAAGCCUCGUGCUCGCCCUUUGUGUUCCUUAUUCAGAAGGGCGCGUGUGAGCUUGUCGUUCUCUCUAUCGGGUAAGAACCAUCCCUCUUCAACAUCUUGUAUUGCACGUCUAAUCUCCUCGAUGGGUAGGGUAUUAUCUUUGUGUCCUUGGUUAUAUAUUGCCUUCCCUUCUGCGUCCAACAAGCCCACAUGCCCGUAAAACCAGUUUCUUGCCCGUUUGAGCCAUCUUAAGGGCUCUUGAGUGAUAUUUUUGUCCAGAUAUGAUGCCUCAAGUUCUUCCCACUUAGCCAUCUUACUGUGUAGCCACCAGGCCCCAUAAUAUGGUGGUACUUCUUCUUACCUCCAUUCGUCUUAUUUGUUGCAGACUUUUUCAAGGCGUCCUCUGAUUUCUUGUACGCCACAAAUUCAGCCGAGUAGUCUUUAAUAUUCUCAUAGUCGUGAUCGAAAUCUGGAGUCUUAUCUUUCAAGAUAAAAUCCUGGUGCAAUCUUUUUUUCCAUCCCCUGAAUAGAUCGGCCAUCUUCUUAAGAGACCACUCCUUGACUUUUUUCUCUAGGGCCUCUUUUCGCCUAUUCAUUUCAUCCUCAUUUGGCUCCUCCUCAUCUGGAUCAAGCUCUGGCGCCGGCAGGGUGAAAUGAAGCAUGAGCUUUCUCCAAAGUUUUCUUUGGCUGUUGUGCCGACAUAUCAGACUCCUUCCUCCCUUGGCUUAAUCCAUUAUCGAGUUGUGAUAGGGAUGUGGUCCCUAACAACAAAUCUGCAUGCCGUCACAAACUUCUGGUUGGGCCUCCUUUCGUCCGUACUGAGCUCACUUUGAAUUUAGGUUGAAUUUUCUCCAUAAAUUCUCAUAUAUUUUCAAUUUUUUCCAUUAUUUUUGUUUUGUUAUUUGCUUUAUUUAUUUUGGCUUUUUCUACUUACACCUAAAUACUUACACCUAAAUAUUUAGUUUUCAAAUUUGAAUUCUUUGAAAUUUGUGAAUAACUUACUUUCAUUUUUUCAUAUUAAAGAUUUUUUUCUCUUCUAUUUUAGUUUUCUAUUAAAGAUUUUAACGAAAAACUUUAUGAAAAUUCUUUUGAGUUGAUCUUUUUUUGUUUCUUUUUAGUUAAUGUUUUACUUGAAUCUUUUUAACAAAUAAGCACUUUGAUAACUUUAGUUGAUUAUUUUUAAUNUUAGUUGAUUCUUUUUAGUUGGCUAUUUUUUUGUUUUCUAUUAAAUAUUUUAACAAAUUUUUAACAAUUUGUGACUUCAUUUGGUAUUUUUCGUGCAUUUACUUUUUUUUAGCUGGUUGACCCUGAAAUUGAAAAGCACUACAAAUGAACUCUGAAAAUGUUGAAAGUUGGCAUGGUAUCAUCAUUUCACCCACAUUGCAUGUGCUAAAAAGUCGAGAGGGUUACGACAAAAACUGGUUACACUUCGUGUACAAAACGGAUAAUCUCUCUCGAAGUAUGAGGGUUUCGAACGAGAACUCAUCUUUACAAAGGGAUUUCAUUAUUUUGAACUUAUUUGAACUACAUACUUUUUGUGUGUUCAAAAUGCACCAUUCAAAGGCACAUCACAAAUUUUCAACAAUUUCUGACUUCAUUUGGUAUUUUCCGUGCAUUUACUUUUUUUAGCUAGUUGACCCUAAAAUUGAAAAGCACUACAAAUGAACUCUGGAAAUGUUGAAAGUCGGCAUGGUAUCAUCAGUUCACCCACAUAGCAUGUGCUAAAAAGUUGAGAGGGUUACGACAAACACUGGAUGCGCUUUGUGUACAAAACGGACAAUCUCUCUCGAAGUAUUAGUGUUUCGAAUGAGAACUCAUCUAUUACAAAGGGAUUUCAUUUUUUUCAACUUAUUUGAACUCCAUACUUUUUGUGUGUUCAAAAUGCACCAUUCAAAGGCACAUCACAAAUUUUCAAUAAUUUCUGACUUCAUUUGGUAAUUUCCGUGCAUUUACUUUUUAGUUUAGCUAGUUGACCCUGAAAUUGAAAAGCACUACAAAUGAACUCUGAAAAGGUUGAAAGUUGGCCAUGUAUCAUCAUUUCACCCACGUAGCAUGUGCUAAAAAGUUGAGAGGGUUACGACAAAAACUGGAUGCACUUCGUGUACAAAACGAUCAAUCUCUCUCGAAGUAUCACGGUUUCAAACGAGAACUCAUCUGUUACAAAGGGAUUUCAUUUUUUUCAACUUAUUUGAACUCCACAGUUUUUAUGUGUUCAAAAUGCACCAUUCAAAGGCGCAACACAACUUUUCAACAAUUUCUGACUUCAUUUGGUAUUUUCCGUGCAUUUACUUUUUUUGAGCUAGUUGACCCUAAAUUGAAAAGCACUACAAAUGAACUCUGAAAAUGUUGAAAGUUGGCAUGGUAUCAUCAUUUCACCCACAUAGCAUGUGCUAAAAAAGUUGAGGGUUACGACAAAAACUGGAUGCACUUCAUGUACAAAACGGACAAUCUCUCUCGAAGUAUCAGGGUUUCGAACAAGAACUCAUCUGUUACAAAAGGAUUUUAUUUUUUUGAACUUAUUUGAACUCAGUAAUUUUUGUGUGUUCAAAAUGCACCAUUCAAAGGCACAUCACAAAUUUUCAACAAUUUCUGACUUCAUUUCGUAUUUUCUGUGCAUUAACUUUUUUUGAGCUAAUUGACCCUGAAACUGAAAAGCACUACAAAUGAACUUUGAAAAUGUUGAAAGUUCGCAUGGUAUCAUCAUUUCACCCACAUAGAAUGUGCUAAAAAGUUGAGAGGGUUACGACAAAAACCGGAUGCACUUCGUGUACAAAAUGGACAACCUCUCUCGAAGUAUCAGGGUUUCGAACGAGAACUCAUCUUUUACAAAGGGAUUUCAUUUUUUUGAACUUAUUUGAAUUCCAUACUUUUUGUGUGCUCAAAAUGUACCAUUCAAAGGCACAUCACAAAGUAUCAUUAGUACACAUCACAUAAAGUUUAAUACAUUAGUACACAUCACAUAAAGUUUAAUACAUUACAUAGAUUUAUAUUUUGAUCCCUUGCAUAUGAUCGCUUUGGCCGUAACCAUGGAGCAUCUUCAUUAUCUAACGGGAUGCUUGGGUCAAUUCUCACUAUGAAGGGCGGAAUUUCAUCAAACUUAUUAUAAUCUGCUGACAUGUCUGUCUUGUCCUCAAUCCCCAUGAUGUUUCUUUUCCCUGAAAGAACUAUGUGACGCUUUGGCUCAUCGCNNNNNNNNNNNNNNNNNNNNNNNNNNNNNNNNNNNNNNNNNNNNNNNNNNNNNNNNNNNNNNNNAUCCUGAGCCACAUCAUUGGCUAGGACAAAUGGCUCGUCUGUGUAACCAAGAUUCUUGAGAUCAACUGUUGUCAUUCCGUACAACUGGUCUACCUUUACCCCUUCUGCAUUCAUGUUCACCCAACUACACCGAAACAAAGGGACCUUAAAAGUAGGUCCGUAGUCAAGUUCCCAUAUCUGCUCUAUGUAACCAUAGUAUGGGUCCUCUUUCCCAUUCUCGUCUGUCGCAUCAUAGCGGACACCACUGUUUUGGUUGGUGCUCUUUUUAUCUUGGGCGGUCGUGUAAAUUGUAUUCCCGUUUAUCUCGUACCCUUGGAAAUGUAAUACAGUCGAAGAAGGUGACGCGGCCAACAAGUAGAGUUGAUCUCCAAUAGUGUUGUCAUUCAUGAGACGUGCUCGUAACCAACUACUGAAAGUAUCCAUGUGUUUUUCUUCAAUCCAGGAGAUAGCCUUCCCUGGGAACUCGGGGCGUACAAAAUUCUUGUGGUCCUCGAUAUACGAAGCCGUGAAGGUGGAACAUUUUAGAACUGUGCACUGUGCUUGAGUGAAAGAAUGCCCAUCCCUACAUAUCAUCUCUUUUUUUCCUAGUGUGCCUUUUCCACUUAGUCUCCCCUCAUGUCGCGAUUCAGGAACACCAAUCGGCUUAAGGUCAGGAAGAAAGUCUACACAGAACCCAAUGACCUCCUCUGUUCCAUAGCCCUUGGAGAUGCUUCCUUCUGGCCUAGCACGGUUAUGAACAUAUUUCUUUAAGACUCCCAUGAACCUCUCGAAGGGGAACAUAUUGUGUCGAAAUACAGGACCGAGAAUGGAAAUCUCGUCGACUAGGUGAACCAGGAGAUGCGUCAUAAUAUUGAAGAAGGACGGGGGGGAACACCAACUCAAAACUGACAAGACAUUGGACGUUCUCGAUCCUUCUGUAGCCUUUCCAGACGUUUUCGGUCGAUUACCUUCUAAGAUAUGGCAUUGAGGAAUGCACAUAGCUUCACAAUGGGUAAUCGAACAUCUUCUGGUAGAAGCCCCCUCAAUGCAACCGGAAGCAACUGCGUCAUAAUCACGUGGCAAUCAUGAGACUUCACGUUCUGGAAUUUUUUUGUGCCAUAUUUAUUAUUCCCUUUAUAUUAGAUGAGAAGCCAGAGGGGACCUUCAUACUGCUCAGGCAUUCAAAAAAGAUUUCCUUCUCUGCUUUGGUAAGAGCGUAGCUACUUAAGUAUUGACACACUUUAUCAGUCUUCUUGGCGUAUGGGUCUUUCAUACAUUGCUGCUCCUCCCAUGCUUCUAUUGUAUCUUUUUUCUUUCCAUACACUCCCAGGAAGCCUAGCAGGUUCAGGCAAAGAUUCUUCGUCACGUGCAUCACGUCGAUUGAAGACCGGGCCUCUAGGUGUUUCCAAUAGGGUAGCUCCCAAAAUAAAGAUUUCUUUUUCAACAUGGGCACGUGUCUGGUAAUGUCGUCUUUCGGAACAAAUUGACCGCCAGGACCCUUUCCAAAGAUUACUAUUUGAUCCAAAUACUUGACCAUAGCCAAUAACUCAUCACCAGUAGGGAGGUUAGGCUUCUUCCAGUGAUGUGCCUCACCGUUGAAAUGCUUGCCUUUAUUUCCUACGGGAUGAUUGGUCGGAAGAAAUUGACGACACCCCAAGUAGACAACCUUAUUAGAUUUUUCCAAAUAUGUACCUUUAGUCUUAUCUAAACAGUGUGUGCAUGCAUUUUAUCCCUUGUUUGACUAUCCUGAAAUGUUACUAAGAGCAGGCCAAUCAUUGAUAGUUACGAACAACAAUGCCCAUAGGUCAAAUUCCUGCUGUUUGUGCUCAUCCCACACAUCUACACCUGGUUUGGCCCACAACUGCAAAAGUUUAUCAACUAAUGGCCUUAGGUACACAUCAAUGUCGUUGCCGGGUUGCUUCGGUCCAUGGAUGAGCACUGGAAUCAUAAUGAACUUCCGCUUCAUGCACAACCAAGGAGGAAGGUUGUAGAUACAUAGAGUCAUGGGCCAGGUGUUGUGUCUGCAGCUCUGCUCCCCAAAAGGAUUCAUGCCGUCUGUACUUAGACCAAGCCAUAAGUUCCUUGGGUCAUCUGCAAAGUUCGGACACUCCCUCUCGAUUUUCCUCCACUGCGACCCAUCUACGAGGUGUCUCAACUUUUUCCCGUCUUUCUUACGCUCGUGUUUGUGCCAUCGCAUCAACUUGGCAUGCUCAUUGUUUCUGAACAGACAUUUCAACAGUGCUAUUAUAGGAGCAUACCACAUAACCUUAGCAAGAACCUUCUUCCUGGGGGGCUCGUCAUCGCCCUCAACAUCACCAGGUUCAUCCUAUCUGAUCUUGUACGGACAUGCAAUGCAUACCGGGCAUUUAUCCAUAUUCUCGUACUUCUCACCGCGGUACAGGAUGCAGUCAUUAAUGCACGCAUGUAUGUUAUGCACAUAUAAUCCAAGAGGACAGAUAGCCUUCUUUGCUUCGUACGUAGUCUCGGGCAAUUCGUUAUCCUUUGGAAGCUUCGGCUUCAAUAUUUUCAGUAACUUAUCAAAUCCCUUGUCAGAUAAACCAGUUUCUGCCUUCCAUUUCAACAGUUCCGGUGUGGUACCGAGCUUUGUGUUGUCAUCUUCGCAAUUUGGGUACAACAACUUUUUAUGAUCCUUUAGCAUGGCCUCCAAUUUCAGCUUCUCCUUUUGUGUAUCGCAUUCUCUCUUUGCAUCAGAAAUGACCCGACCAAGACCAUCAGCGGGCUCAUCUAAUGUCGGUUGUUCUUCACCUCCUUCUUCUUCAUUGUCUUCCAUUGUAGUAUCACCGUAUUCUUCAGUGAACAUAGGAUAGUUGUCAUCAUCUUGUUCUUCUUCAUUGUCUUCCAUCCUAACCCCUCUUUCUCCGUGCAUGGUCCAACAAUAAUAUGUGGGCAUGAAACCUCUCUGAAGCAAGUGGAGAUGAAUGUUUUUCGAGCUAGAGUACUCCUUCAUGUUUCCAUAGACUACACAUGGACAAGGCAUAAAAUUAUCCACUUUGUUUGCCUCGGCCACAUUGAUAAAUUUAUGUAGGCCUUUUAUAAAUCCGGAACCGCGUCAUUCGCCGUACAUCCAUUGCUUCCGUGCAUCGAUCUAGCAUCAUACAUGAAUAGUGAAAUGACCACCGUACAUUGACACAUGCAAUAUUUUUGUAUCAAUUACAGAUGAAAAGGAUAAGGUUGCUAACCUCGGUCGAGGAUACCAUUUUGUGUGAACUUAGUGUGCCUCGGGCAUUAGUCUCGGUUCAUAAUGUACUUCGAAGUACGUCGGUCACCGUACAUCCAUUGGCGGUUCAUCUCUAUUAUGAAACUAAGUAUAUAAAAAACCACUGCAGAGCAUAUAUGACCAAAUUAAUACAAGUUCAUCAUCACAUUAAAACCAAAGCACAGUAGUGAUCAAAUGUUAUUAUUGGAAAAAAUAAAUACAUAAAGUUCUCUCAUAAAACAACAUACAACUAUGUAAAACAUUUAAAUGCAACAACAAAUGCGAUCAAAAUCGUAACUAAGGUAACAAUUGACCCAACAGCAUAAUGAUACCAAGCCUCUUUAUCAAUGGCAUAUUUUCUAAUAUUCCAAAUCUUCAAGCGCAUUUCAUCCAUCUUCAAGCGCAUUGCAUCCAUCUUCAACUGCAUCGCAUCAAUCUUCAUCUUGCGAUCAUCGAUGACAUCGGUGACAUGCAACUCCAGUUCCAUAUUCUUCUCCUCAAUUAUUUUCAAUUUUUCCUUCAAGUAUUUUCUUUCUUUUUCAACCAAAUUUAACUUCUCGACAAGAAUUUCUAUGUGGGUCGGAAUUUCUGGUUCACAUACCUCCUAGAUUAAAAUAUAUAUGUCACGUUGGUCGUCAUAAUUGUCAUAAACACUAAAUGAAAAAAUAGUUAUAAAAGAUAAUAUAUACCACAUCUGAAUCAUAGACAGGACGAGGGCCGGCGGAGGCGGAUACUAAAACCAUCGUACUAUAUAAUAACAAAAAAUAAUGAAACUAAGUAAUUUAUACAAGUAUGUAUCUAAAUCAUACAAGUAAGAUUUUUUUUCUUUUAAAAAGAAGACAAGAACAAGAGGCUCACCACGGUGGUGCUCGCGACGAGAUCGGCGCGAGCGAUCGUCAAAGGUGAGGACGGGCACGGGACGACACCCUACACAUGUGCAGACUCUAAGAAGUUAAUUUGAGCAUUUGAAAUGAUCUAGUGACAGAUGAAAGGAUGAAGUAGCUACCCUUUUAAAACACUUGUGCAGUUGGUGCACGGGCAAACCUAGACAAAUAUUGAGGAAAAUGGAGUUUGGAGGUCGAGCUUGGAGAGGAGACAGCUUAAGUAGUGUGGCUCGGGCAUUUCAUCGAACACUUCAUGUGCAUGAGCUAGAGGGGCAAGAGCCUNUGGUCACACUUCAACAGCCAAAAAACAGAGGAGACGGUGGGCAGGGGCGAGGGUUUAUAUAGGCAACACUUUAGUCCCGGUUUUUGUCUAAAACCGGGACUAUCAGCCUACCCUUUAGUCCCGGUUAUUGCCACAAACCGGAACUAAUACUCUACGGCAAGCCGCAUGGCAGUCGCUGGAUCUUUAGUCCUGGGUUUUGCCCUAAACCGGGACUAAUGCCCCGGCAAACCGAACCGGGACCAAUGCCUGGCAUUGGUCCUGAUUUUCGUUUGAACCGGGACUAAUGGUCUUUGGGCCCUCGCAGAAAGACCCUUUUUCUACUAGUGUAUUGUGUGUAGAGUUUGCAUGAAUGAUGAUCUAAUCUAUUUUCCGUACUGUUUCAUUUCUUCAAAUAGCAUAUGUCGAGAGCACGCCGUUGGGGGAACAAAAUUUAAACCGACAAAACAUGGUAUGAGCAUCACGCCUGAUCCUUUACCACUAAAGUGUGAUAUUAAUUAAAAUACAUGUGAUUAUCAUAUAAAUUAGGAUCGGGAGGACAGGAUACGGAAGCAUCUACAAAACCCAAAAUUCUUGCCAUCGACGUAUAACACGGCAUGGGUAGCUAUGGUUCCAUUGCCGGGUUCUGUUGGAAUUUGGGCCCAUAUUUGGGGUAGCCCAACUAGCAAAUCCUCAAAUCUCAAAGUGGCCCAUGUGUACAAGCAAGUGGUGGGAGUGGUAAGUUUAGUCCCACAUGGAAAGUUGGAGGAGAUGUACACUGCUACUACAACAAAAGACUUUCCAAUGCCGCCAGAACUAGCCGUGUUGACGGGAGAUUGUUCUUGAUACUCCUCAGCAACGGCACGAGGAAUCCUUCUGCUACCGCUACGCCUUAAGGGACUUCCUAGGCUAAUAUGCAAAGGAUUUCCCCCAUGGCCUUGGAGCCUUGCGUUGGUGUUCCCUCGAAGCGGAAAGGGUGAUGUAGCGCAGCGCUGGUAAGUAUUUCCCUCAGUUUGAGAACCAAGGUAUCGAUCUAGUGAAGGAGUAUCAGAAGUGCCUGCACAAACACAAAAAGCUUGCUCCCAACGCUAUGAAGGGGUUGUCAAUCCCUUAUAGAUUGUUCGCCAAGUGAGAACUGAAAGCAACAAAGUAACAAAGCAAAGUAAAAGCGAAAGUGGAAACGAUAGAUGUGAAUAGACCCGGGGGCCGUAGUGUUUACUAUUGGCUUCUCUCAUGAAAGCAAGUAGACGGUGGGUGAACAAAUUACUGUCGAGCAAUUGAUAGAACCGUGCAAAGUCGUGACGUCAUAUAUGGCAAUGAUUAUAUCUAUAGGCAUCACGUCCAAAACAAGUAGACCGAUACUUUCUGCAUCUACUACUAUUACUCCACACGUCGACCGCUAUCCGGCAUGCAUCUAGUGUAUUAAGUCCAAAAGAAUAGAGUAACGCCUUAAGCAAGAGGACAAGAUGUAGAUGGACAAUCUCAUAUCUACGACAAAGCCUACCUUGUUACCCUUGAUGGCAACUACACGAUGUGUGCCUUGCUGCCCCUACUGUCACUUGGAAAGGUCACCACACGGUAAGAACCCAAAACCAAGCACUUCUCCCAUUGCAAGAAUCAUAGAUCUAGUUGGCCAAACAAAACCCAAGACUCGGAGAGACUUACAAGGAUAUCAAAUGAUGCAUAAAAGAAAUCAGGAAAGACUCAAAUAUAUAUCAUAGAUAAUCUGAUCACAAAUCCACAAUUCAUCGGAUCUCGACAAACACACCGCCAAAGAGGAUUACAUCGGAUAGAUCUCCAUGAAGAUCAUGGAGAACUUUGUAUUGAAGAUCCAAGAGAGAGAAGAAGCCAUCUAGCUACUAACUAUGGACCCGUAGGUCUGAAGUGAACUACUCACGAGUCAUUGGAGGGGCGAUGAUGUUGAUGUAGAAGCCCUCCAACUCCAAAGUCCCCUCCGGUAGGGCACCGGGAAUGGUCUCCAGAUGAGAUCUCGCGGAAACGGAAGCUUGCGGCGGCGGAAAAGUUUUUUCGUGGAUCUCUUGAUUUUUUUCUGUAUUUUAGGGAAUAUAUAGGCGAAGGACAGGGAGGCCACAAGCCUGCUGGCCGCCCCCCUGGUGGCGAAAAGGGGGCUUGUUGGCCCCCUGUAGCCCUCCUGGCUUGGCCCUCAAGCCCCCUGAUCUUCUUCCGUUCGGGAAAAAAUAAUUUCGGGGAUUUUAUUUUGUUUGGACUCCGUUCCAAAAUCAGAUCUAAAAAGAGCCAAAAACAAAGAAAAAACAGGAACUGGCACUUGGCACUGAAUUAAUAAGUUAGUCCCAAAAAAGAUAUAAAAGGUACAUAAAACAUCCAAAGAUGACAAGAUAACAGCAUGAAACCAUCAAAAAUUAUAGAUACGUUUGAGACGUAUCAAGCAUCCCCAAGCUUAGCUCCUGCUCGUCCUCGAGUAGGGAAGUGAUAAAGAAUGAAUUUUUGAUGCUUUCAUGCUACCUAGCAUAGAUGUCCUUUGUAACUCCUCAUAUGUGACGUGAAUGUUUAGAUCUAUUAGAUUCAAAACAAUAGUUUGCUAUUGACGUGGAACCAAUAAUAAUUCAAGCAAACUAGCAGGGUAAUCAUGAACUUUCAAAAUAACAAGGCCAAAAGAAAGUUAUCCCUACAAAACCAUAUAGUCUGGCUAUGCUCUAUCAUCAUUGCACAACGAAUUUAAAUCAUGCACAACCCCGGUAUUGGCCAAGUAAUUGUUUCACACCUUUACUUUCUGUAACAUUUUCAACUCUCACGCAAUACAUAAGCGUGAGCCAUGGUUUUAGCACUAUAAGUGGUGUGGAGUCUGGUGGAGGUUGCAAGACAAAAUAAGGAGAAGAUGAUCACAUUAACUAGGCAUAUCAAUGAGCUGUGGAGAUGCUCAUCAAUAGAUAUUGAUACGUCCAUUUUGCAUCAUGCUUUCAAGUUGAUAUUUAUUGCUUUAUGGGCUUUUAUAUUACUUUGUGGUACCAUAUUUAUGCCUUUUCUCUCUUAUUUUGCAAGGUUUAUUUGAAGAGGGAGAAUUCAGGCAGCUGGAAUUCUGGACUGGAAAAGGAGCAAAUCUUUGUCCACUGUUUUGCACAUCUCCAAAUGCCCUGAAAAGUUACGUGGAUUUUUUGGGAUUAUAUAAAAAAAUACUGGGCGAAAGAAUUAUCGGAGGGAGGCUGCCAGGGCGACACAAGCGGAGUGGGGGCUUGUGCGCUCCCUAACGACCCACUAGCCCCCCUCUUUUUCUAUAUGAAGGGUUUUGGUCCAGAAAAAAUCAAUAGGGAGCUUUUUCGUGGUUUUGCGGCCGCCACGAGGCGGAACUUGAGCAGAUCCAAUCUAGAGCUCCGGCAGGACGAUCCUGCCGGGGAAACUUCCCUCCCGGAGGGGGAAAUCAUCGCCAUCGUCAUCACCAACACUCCUCUCGUCGGAGGGGAGGCAUCUUCAUCAACAUCUUCAUCACCACCAUCUCCUCUCGAAUCCCUAGUUCAUCUCUUGUAAUCAAUCUCUGUCUCACGACUCCGAUUGGUACUUGUAAGGUUGCUAGUAGUGUUGAUUACUCUUUGUAGUUGACGCUAGUUGGAUUACUUGGUGGAAGAGUUUAUGUUCAGAUCCUUGAUGCUAUUCAUUACACCUCUGAUCAUGAUUAUCAUUAUGCUUUGUGAGUAGUUACUUUUGUUCCUGAGGACAUGGGAUAAGUCAUGCUGAUAAUAGUCAUGUGAAUUUGAUAUUCGUUCGGUAUUUUGAUAUGUUGUAUGUUGUUUUUCCUCUAGUGGUGUUAUGUGAACGUCGACUACAUAACACUUCACCAUAUUUGGGCCUAGAGGAAGGCAUUGGGGAGUACUAAGAAGAUGAUGGGUUGCUGGAGUGACAGAAGCUUAAACCCCCAGCCUAUGUGUUGCUUCCUAAGGGGCUGAUUUGAAUCCACUAGUUUAAUGUUAUGGUUAGACGUUGUCUUAAUUCUUCUUUUGUAGUUGCGGAUGCUUGCGAAAGAGGUUAAUCAUAAGUGGGAUUCUUGUCCAAGUAAGGGAAGUACCCAAGUGCCGGUCCACCCACAUAUCAAACUAUCAAAGUAACAAACGCGAAUCAUAUGAACAUGAUGAAACUAGCAUGACAGAAAUUCCCAUGUGUCCUCGGGAGCGUUUUUCCUCCUAUAAGACUUUGUUCAGGCUUGUCCCUUGCUACAAAAGGGAUUGGCCCACUUGCUGCACCGUUGCUACUACUUGUUACUUGUUAAUUUUUGCUUGCUACGUUUCACCUCGCUACACAAUCACUUGUUACCGCUACUUUCAGUGCUUGCAGUUAUUACCUUGCUGAAAUCUGUUUAUCAGAGCCUUCUGCUCCUCGUUGGGUUCGACACUCUUACUUAUAGAAAGGACUACAAUUGAUCCCCUAUACUUGUGGGUCAUCAAGACUCUUUUCUGGCGCCGUUGCCGGGGAUCGAAGCGCCUUUCGUAAGUGGAAAUUGGUAAGGAAACAUUUAUAUACUGUGCUGAAAUUUAUUGUCACUUGUCACUAUGGAAACUGUUCCUUUGAGGAGUUUGUUCGGGGUAUCUUCACUACGAACAGAAGCACGAGGAGUUGUUCCUCAACCUAAGGUACCUACUGAAAAUAUCUUUUAUGAAAUUCCUUCGGGUAUGCUUGAGAAACUGUUGGCUAAUCCUUUCAAAGGAGAUGGAUCUGCACAUCCAAACUUGCAUCUAAUCUAUGUAGAUGAAGUUUGUGUUUUAUUUAAGCUUGCGGGUUUGCCCGAGGAUGAGGUAAAGAAGAAAGUCUUUCCUUUAUCUUUGAAGGAUAAGGCAUUGACAUGGUAUAGGCUAUGUGAUGAUACUAGAUCACGGGGCUACAAUCGGUUGAAAUUGGAAUUUCAUCAAAAGUUCUAUCCUAUGCAUUUAGUACAUCAUGAUCGGAACUUUAUUUAUAACUUUUGGCCUCGUGACAGGAAAAGCAUAGCUCAAGCUUGGGGGAGGCUUAAAUCAAUGCUAUAUUCAUGCCCUAAUCAUGAGCUCUCGAGAGAAAUCAUCACUCAAAACAUUUAUGCUCGGCUUUCUCAUGAAGAUCGCUCCAUGCUUGACACUUCUUGUACCGGUUCUUUUAUGAAGAAGGAUAUUGAUCACAAGUGGAAUUUAUUGGAAAGAAUCAAAUGCAACUCUGAGGAUUGGGAGCUGGAGGAAGGUAAGCAGUCAGGUAUGAAUUUCAAGUUUGAUUGCGUUAAAUCAGUUGUUGAGACAAACACUUUUAGAGAUUUUAGCGCCAAGUCUGGACUUGACUCUAAGAUAGUAGGUUCUCAUUGUGAAUCUAUUGCUGCUCAUUUUGAUCUUCCCAAAGAGAAGUGGUUUAAAUAUCAUCCUCCUGUAGAAAGCAACAUAGCCAAAACCAAUCUAGUUGAGGAGAAAUUCAUUUCUUUUAGUGAUCAUGUUGUUCCUUGUGCUUACACUGAGAAACCACCAUACCCUGCUAGGAUAAAGGAUUAUUCUAAAGCUCCAACUGUGAUACGUAGGGGUUACAUUAGACCACUUGCACCCCCUGAGGAGAUUAGAGUUGAACCUAGUGUUUCCAUUAUCAAAGAUCUCUUAGCCGAAGACAUAGAUGGGCAUGUUAUCAAAUUUUGUGAGGACUCCGCUAGAAUUGCUAAACCUCACGUAGAGGACAAAUACGGACCUGUAGUUGGCUUUCCCGUUGUUUCUGUCAAGAUAGGAGAUCACUGUUACCAUGGUUUAUGUGAUAUGGGAGCUAGUGUUAGUGCAAUACCCCGUUCUCUAUAUGAUGAAAUCAAAGAUGAGAUUGCACCUGCUGAGUUAGAACCCAUUGAUGUCACUAUUACGCUAGCUAAUAGAGACACUAUCUGCCCCCUGGGAAUUGUGAGAGACGUAGAAGUCUUGUGUGGUAAGACGAAGUAUCCUACUGAUUUCCUUGUCCUUGGUACUGCACAAAAUAACUUUUGUCCCAGCAUAUUUGGUAGACCCUUCCUCAACACUGUCAAUGCUCACAUUGAUUGCAUUAAGCAGACUCUCACAGUUAGUUUCGAGGGUGUGCCUCAUGAAUUUAACUUCUCUAAGUUUGGAAGACAACCCCAUGAAAGAGAGUCGUCUGGAAGGGAUGAAAUUAUUGCUCUUGCCUCUAUUUCCGUACCUCCUACGGAUCCUUUCGAGCAAUAUCUUCUUGAGCAUGAAAAUGAUAUGCAUAUGGAGGAGAGAGAUGAGAUAGAUAAAAUUUUCUUAGAACAAUAUCCUGUUCUCAAGAAUAAUCUGCUUGUUGAACUGCUUGGGGAUCCUCCCCCACCAAAGGGUGAUCAUGUGUUCGAGCUUAAACAGUUGCCUGAUACUCUUAAGUAUGCCUAUCUUGAUGAGAAGGAGAUAUAUCCUGUCAUUAUUGGUGCUCUCCUCUCAGAGCGCGAAGAGAAGAAGUUACUAAAAACUCUGAGGAAGCACCGAGCUGCUAUUAGAUAUACUCUUGAUGAUCUUAAGGGUAUUAGUCCCACUCUAUGUCAGCACAAGAUUAAAACUGAUCCUGACUUCAAACUAGUUGCUAAUCGUCAAAGGAGAUUGAAUCCUAAGGUGAAAGAGGUCGUUAGAAAAGAAAUAUUAAAGCUUCUGGAAGCAGGAAUCAUUUAUCCUGUUGCUCAUAGUGAUUGGGUAAGUCCAGUACAUUGCGUACCUAAGAAGGGAGGUAUCACCGUCGUUCCUAAUGAUAAGGAUGAACUAAUCCCACAAAGGUUAUUACCGGCUAUAGGAUGGUGAUAGACUUCCGGAAACUGAACAAGGCAACCAGGAAAGAUCAUUAUCCUUUGUCGUUUAUCGAACAAAUUCUAGAAAGGCUAUCAAAGCACACACACUUCUGCUUUCUAGACGGUUAUUCAGGUUUCUCGCAAAUACCUGUUGCACAAUCUGAUCAAGAGAAACCACUUUCACCUUCCCCUUCGGUACCUUUGCUUAUAGAUGUAUGCCUUUUGGCUUAUGCAAUGCACCUGCCACCUUCCAAAGAUGUAUGAUGGCUAUAUUCUCUGACUUCUGUGAAAAUAUUGUCGAUGACUUCUUCGUUUACGGGUCUCCCUUUGAUGAUUGCCUCAACAACCUUGAUCGAGUCUUACAAAGAUGCGAAGAUAUCAACCUUGUCUUGAAUUGGGACAAGUGCCACUUUAUGGUUAAUGAAGGCAUCGUCUUAGGACACAAAAUCUUUGAAAGAGGCAUUGAAGUUGAUAAGGCUAAGGUUGAUGCAAUUGAGAAAAUGCCUUGCCCCACAGAUAUCAGAGGUAUACGAAGUUUCCUAGGUCAUGUUGGUUCCUAUAGAAGGUUCAUUAAAGACUUCUCUAAGAUUUCUAGGCCUCUUACCAACCUCUUGCAGAAGGAUGUUCCUUUUUGUUUUUGAUGUGGAUUGUGAGGAAGCCUUUGAAAUACUUAAGAAGACUUUGAUAACCGCACCUAUUGUUCAACCACCUGACUGGAACUUGCCCUUUGAAAUCAUGUGCGACGCUAGUGAUUAUAGUGUUGGUGUUGUUCUAGGACAAAGAGUUGACAAGAAGUUGAAUGUUAUUCACUAUGCUAGUAAAACUCUAGACAGUGCCCAAAGAAACUAUGCCACUACAGAGAAGGAAUUUUUAGCAGUCGUGUUUGCAUGUGAAAAGUUCAGAUCUUAUAUAGUUGACUCCAAAGUCUCUAUUCACUCUGAUCAUGCUGCUAUUAAGUACCUCAUGGAGAAGAAGGACGCUAAGCCUAGACUGAUCAGACGGGUUCUCCUGCUACAGGAAUUUGAUUUGCACGUCGUUGACCAAAAGGGUGCUGAUAACCCUGUAGCAGAUAACUUGUCUAGGCUAGAGAAUGUCCUUGAUGACCCACUACCUAUUGAUGACAGCUUUCCUAAUGAGCAACUAAAUGUCAUCCGCACUUCACAUAGUGCACCGUGGUAUGCCGAUUACGCAAACUAUAUCGUAGCCAAAUACAUACCACCCAGUUUCACCUAUUAGCAAAACAAAAAAAUCUUCUUUCAUUUGAGACACUUUUUUUGGGAUGAUCCUCACCUUUAUAAGGAAGGAGUAGAUGGUGUUAUUAGACGUUGUGUGCCUGAACAUGAACAGGGACAGAUCUUGCAUCAGUGUCAUUCCGAAGCCUACGGAGGACACCAUGCUGGAGAUAGAACUACCCAUAAGGUAUUGCAAUCAGGUUUCUAUUGGCCCACUCUCUUCAAGGAUGCCCAUAAGAUUGUCUUGUCUUGGGACAAAUGCCAAAGAAUAGGGAAUAUCAGUAAGCGUCAAGAAAUGCAUAUGAACUAUUCACUUGUCAUUGAACCAUUUGAUGUCUGGGGCUUUGAUUAUAUGGGACCCUUCCCAAGUUCCAAUGGGUACACUCACAUCUUAGUUGGUGUGGAUUAUGUCACUAAGUGGGUAGAAGCUAUCCCCACUAAAAAUGCUGAUCACUACACCUCCAUUAAGAUGCUUAAAGAAGUCAUAUUCCCAAGAUUUGGAGUCCCUAGAUAUCUGAUGACUGAUGGCGGUUCACACUUCAUUCAUGGUGUUUUCCGCAAGAUGCUCGCUAAGUAUGAUGUCAACCAUAGAGUUGCAUAUCCUUAUCAUCCUCAGUCUAGUGGUCAAGUGUAGUUGAGUAAUAGGGAGAUCAAAUUGAUCCUACAAAAGACCGUCAAUAGAUCUCGAAAGAAUUGGUCUAGAAAACUUGACGAUGCACUAUGGGCUUAUAGGACUGUUUAUAAGAAUCCCAUGGGCAUGUCACCGUAUAAAAUGGUUUACAGUAAGCCCUUCGUUUACCUCUUGAGCUGGAACACAAAGCUUAUUAGGCAAUCAAAGAGCUCAACUUUGAUUUCAAACUUGCCGGUGAGAAGCGGUUGUUUGAUAUCAGCUCGAUAGAUGAAUGGAGGGCCCAGGCAUAUGAGAAUGCCAAGUUGUUCAAGGAAAAGGUUAAGAGAUGGCACGACAAAUGAAUACAGAAACGGGAGUUCAAUGUAGGUGAUUAUGUCUUGCUAUACAAUUCUCGUUUGAGAUUCUUUGCAGGCAAGCUUCUCUCUAAAUGGGAAGGUCCCUAUGUUAUCGAGGAACUAUAUCGUUCUAGUGCCAUCAAAAUCAAUAACACGGAAGGAAAUUUUCCUAGAGUGGUCAAUGGGCAAAGAAUCAAGCAUUACAUCUCUGGUACUCCCAUAAAUGUUGAGACCAAUAUCAUCAAUGUCAUAACUCCAGAGGAGUACAUAAGGGAUGUUUAUCAGCCUGUUUCGGACCCUGAAAACGAAGAGCUAUCUGUUUCGGUAAGAAAUUGGACUCCGAUGCUUUUCCAAUAGGAAAUUUCCUCCGUUUUGGAAUUUUUGGAAAAUUAGAAAAAAAAGCAGUCUGGAGAGCACACGAGGCGGCCACAAGCCCUGCCACUGCCCCUACCCCCUGGUGGCGGAGGGCAAGCUUGUGGGCACCUCGUGUGCCUCCCGGACUCCGUUUUCUUGCAGUGCACUCCUUUUGGUCCAGAAAAAAUCAAUAUAUACUCGCUCGAAGGUUUUGAUCUCCGUAUCGCGCAGUUUUCCUAUGUUUUUGUUUCGAGCUUAUUGUGUGCCGCAGAUUUAGAGCAAAGAUGUCUCAGGAAUCUGUUGGGGAGAAUGAUCUUCUCAAGAUUCAUAAGAAGAGAUCUAUGUGGCCGAUGAUCGUGCUAACUCUAGGAUUAAUGGGGACUUGGAACCAUGUGGCUGGACCACUGAUGAGGAAGAGGACUAUGAGCCCAAAGGGAAGGAACAAACGAGUUCCGAUGAAGAGGAGGCUCCUCUACCUCAACCUCGACGCACUCAUGCGGAGUUCAAGAAGUCAAGCCUCCCUGACCAUAGGAAGAAGCCUAAGACCUUGUUUAUCCCUUCUCGUUUCUUGCGGGAGAGUAAACAGGAACUUUCCCAUAGAGUGUUCAAACUUGAGGAGGAAAAUGACGAUAUAAGUGAGCAGAACUUUUUGCUCAAGUGGAAAUUAGACAAGCUCAAGACUGCUUCAACAACUCCACCACCAUCACCACCGAAGGAAGAAAACUAAGCAUUGGUAUCGGCAAUCCCCUUGGCUUCUACCAAGCUUGGGGGAGUUGCCCUGGUAUCGUAUCACCUUUAUAUCUUUUGCUUUUACCAUUGUUUUAGUUCUUUCCUUUUCAGUUUUUAUUUCUUCUCUUAGAGGAAUAAGUCUUUAGUGUUUAGUUUGAGUCUUUUGCUUUUGUCUCUCCCUCGAUGUAUUCGAGCUUACGAGCUAUAUAAUAAAGAGUAUCUUAGUCAAGGGCUUUGCUUUGUGAAGUGAUCAAUAGUAUGAAAAGAACGAUAGCAUGAAAGAUCAUGAGACGAUCUUAUGGAAAGUGAUAACUUCACUUAUGACACGUACGACGAUUGAAACUUGUUGAGAAUAAAUCAACACAGACCUCAGUCAUUGUUGCAAUUAAUAAGAAGUAAUAAGGAAAGAGAGGUUCACAUACAAAUAUAUCAUCUUAGACACUUUUUACAAUUGUGAGCACUCACCAAACUAUUACAUGCUUAGGAGUAGAUGUUGGACAAAGAAGACAACAUAAUGAAUUGUGUUUGCUUGGUUCCAAAAAAUGUUAUAUGAUUAGAGAUCCCUUAGCAUGUGACCAUUGCUUCCACCUCAUAUUAGCCAAAACUCCCGCACCAAGUAGAGAUACUACUUGUGCAUCCAUAAACCUCCAACCCAGUUUUGCCAUGAGAGUCCACUAUACCUACCUAUGGAUUGAAUAAGAUCCUUCAAGUAAGUUGUCAUCUGUGCAAGCAAUAAAAAUUGCUCUCUAAUAUGUAUGAUCUAUUAGUGUGUGGAAAAUAAGCUUUGUACGAACAUGUGAUGAGGAAGACAUCAAAGCGACAGACUGCAUAAUAAAGUUCUUCAUCAGAGGAGGCAAUAUAAAGUGGCAUUCCUCUGCACUAAGAGGACACACAUUCAAACCUCAAAACCGCAUGACAACCUCUGCUUCCCUCUGCGAAGGGCCUAUCUUGUACCUUUACAUUUUGCCCUUGUAAGAGUCAUGGUGAUCUUCACCAAUUCCCUAUUUUUGCCUUUUUCUUGGCUACCGUCACAUGCUUGGGAAAGAUCUAUAUUCAUAUAUCAACUUGGAGUUGAGUACUUAUGCUUUAUUAUUGUUGACUUUACCAUUGAGGUAAAUCGUUCGGAGGCAAAACUACAAGCCCCUGUCUUCCUUUGUGUCCAGCUGAAACUUUGACACCAUGAGUACCACGUGAGUUUUAACAAUUGUGGAAAACAAAAGAGAUGAUUGAGUAUGUGGGUUUGCCUUACAAGCUCUUAUUUGACUCUUUCUGAUGUUGUGAUAAAUUGCAAUUGCUUCAAUGACUAUGGAUUAUUGUUGGUUACUUCUCGGUAAGGUUUUUGCUUCAUGCUUUGCUUUGUGAAGGAAUUAUUACUCUCCCAUAAGAAUCUUUAUGAUGUAUUGAUGUUCUUUGUGUGAUCAUGAUGCCGUCAUGUAUGUAUUAUGUUUUAUCGACACCUUUGUCCCUAAACAUGUGGACAUGUUUAUGGAACUUGGUUUUCGCUUGAGGACAAGUGAGGUCUAAGCUUGGGGGAGUUGAUACGUCCAUUUUGCAUCAUGCUUUCAUGUUGAUAUUUAUUGCUUUAUGGGUUGUUAUAUUACUUUGUGGUACCAUAUUUAUGCCUUUUCUCUCUUAUUUUGCAAGGUUUAUUUGAAGAGGGAGAAUUCAGGCAGCUGGAAUUCUGGACUGGAAAAGGAGCAAAUCUUAGUCCACUAUUCUGCACAUCUCCAAAUGCCCUUUAAAGUUACGUGGAUUUUUUUGGGAUUAUAUUAAAAAAAAUUGGGCGACAGAAGUACCGGAGGGGGGCUGCCAGGGCGCCACAAGCCCUACCACCGCCACCCCCUGGUGGCGGAGUGGGGGCUUGUGGGCUCCCUGACGGCACACUAGCCCCCCUCUUUUGCUAUAUGAAGGGUUUUGGUCCAGAAAAAAUCAAUAGUGAGCUUUUUCGUGGUUUCGCCGCCGCCACGAGGCGGAACUUGAGCAGAUCCAAUCUAGAGCUCCGACAGGACGAUCCUGCCGGGGAAACUUCCCUCCCGGAGGGGGAAAUCGUCGCCAUCGUCAUCACCAAGACACCUCUCGUUAAAGAGGAGGCAUCUUCAUCAACAUCUUCAUCAGCACCAUCUCCUCUCCAAUCCCUAGUUCAUCUCUUGUAAUCAAUCUCCGUCUCACGACUCCGAUUGGUACUUGUAAGGUUGCUAGUAGUGUUGAUUACUUUUUGUAGUUGAUGCUAGUUUGAUUACUUGGUGGAAGAGUUUAUGUUCAUAUCCUUGAUGCUAUUCAUUACACCUCUGAUCAUGAUUAUGAUUAUGCUUUGUGAGUAGUUACUUUUGUUCCUGAGGACAUGGGAUUAGUCAUGCUGAUAAUAGUCAUGUGAAUUUGAUAUUCGUUCGGUAUUUUGAUAUGUUGUAUGUUAUUUUUCCUCUAGUGGUGUUAUGUCAACGUCGAGUACAUAACACUUCACCAUAUUUGUGCCUAGAGGAAGGCAUUGGGGAGUAGUAAGUAGAUGAUGGGUUGCUGGAGUGAGAGAAGCUUAAACCCCAGUCUAUGCAUUGCUUCGUAAGGGGCUGAUUUGGAUCCACUAGUUUAAUGCUAUAGUUAGACGUUGUCUUAAUUCUUCUUUUGUAGUUGCGGAUGCUUGCGAGAGAGGUUAAUCAUAAGUGGUAUAAUUGUCCAAGUAAGGGCAGUACCCAAGCGCCGGUCCACCCACAUAUCUAACUAUCAAAGUAACGAACGCGAAUCAUAUGAACAUGAUGAAACUAGCAUGACAGAAAUUCCCGUGUGUCCUCGGGAGCGUUUUUCCUCCUAUAAGACUUUGUUCAGGCUUGUCCCUUUCUACAAAAGGGAUUGGGAAACUUGCUGCACCGUUGCUACUACUUGUUACUUGUUACUUUUUGCUUGCUACGUUUCACCUCGCUACACAAUCACUUGUUACCGCUACUUUCAGUUCUUGCAGUUAUUACCUUGCUGAAAUCCGUUUAUAAGAGCCUUCUGCUCCUUUUUGGGUUCGACACUCUUACUUAUCGAAAGGACUACGAUUGAUCCCCUAUACUUUUGGGUCAUCAGAUAUCAAUGUGAAUGAGUAGGUAUUGCCAUAAAAAAAGAUGCACUAGAGCUAAGAGUAUGUGAAAGCUCUUAAAGAAAACUAGUGGGUGUGCAUCCAACUUGCUUGCUCACGAAGACCUAAGGCAAUUUUGAGGAAGCCUAUCAUUGGAAUAUACAAGCCAAGUUAUAUAAUAAAAAUUUCCCACUAGCUAUAUGGUGGUGACAAAACGAGAGACUCUCAAUCAUGAAGAUCAUGGUGCUUAAUAUGCACACAAGUGUGGAAAGGUGGUAGCAUUGUCCCUUCUCUCUUUUUCUCUCAUUUUUUGUGGGAUCUUUGGCCUCUUUUUUUAUUUUCUUAUUUCUAUUUUGGUGGGCAUCUUUGGCCUCUUUUAUUUCUCACAUGUGACAAUGCUCCAUCAAUGAUGAUCAUCACACUUUCAACUCAGAACUUCGAGCAAUGAUGACUCUAUAUGGAAUGCCUUUGGUAGUGUACCGCGACAAUGAUCUAGCAUGGCAUAGACAUCAAUGGAAACAUCAUGCUAGCUAUAUUAUGAUCAUGCAAUGGCAAUGUAGAAGUGGUGGCACAUGUCAUGGUGGUAGUUGCAUGGCAAUAUAUCUCGGAAUGACUUUGAAAAAGCCAUAGUAGGUAAGUAUGGUGGCUAUUUUGAGGGAGGCUAAUGGUGGGUUUUGUGCACCGGCGAAAGUUGCACGGCACUUAGAAGAUAGUGAUGGUGGAAGGUGAAAGUGCAUCUAAACCAUGGACUCAACAUUAGUCAUGAAGAACUCAUAUACUUGUUGCAAAAGUUUUAUUAGUAAUCGAAACAAAGCAUUCAACGUAUACUCCUAGGGGAAGGGUUGGUAGGUAUAAACCAUCGCGCGAUCCCGACCGCCACGCAAAGGAUGACAAUCAAAAGACUAAUCAUGCUCAGAUUUCAGCACAUAGCGGUUCACCAUAUGUGCAUGCUACGGGAAUCACUAACUUCAACACAAGUAUUUCUAGAUCCACAACACCUUACUAGCAUAACUUCAAUAUUACCAAAACCACAACUCAAAACUAAUUGAGAUGAAUCAAACUUCUCUAACUAUUGAAUGCACAUGAAGGUGGAAGUUUUCGUAUCCCUUUGGAUAACUACCCCUUUUGAGACUACUUUCAAAGCAUAGAUCAACUACCAAGCCACGCACCGCUGUGCUCUAAAAGAUAUAAGUGAAGCACAUGGAGCAAAAGUAUCUAGCUCAAAGGAUAUAAGUGAAGCACAUGUGAGCUGAAUUGUCUACCAAAAGAUAUAAGUGAAGCUCGACAAAAUCACGGUGAGUGCAUGUCUCUAUCUCUUGGUGUGCAGCAAGGAUGAUUCUGACACAACAAAAAUGAAAGACUCCUACGAUACAAGAUGCUCCAAGCAAAAACACAUAACAUGUGGUGAAUAAAAAUAUAGCCCCAAGUAACGUUACCGAUGGAUUGAAGGCGAAAGAGGGGAUGCCUUCCCGGGGCAUCCCCAAGCUUAGGCUCUUACGGCAUCCUUGAAUCUCUUGGGGUGCCUUGGUCAUCCCCAAGCUUGAGCUCUUGCCACUCUUUAUCUCUUUUUCCAUAAGAACUUCCCCCAAAACUUGAAAACUUCACAACACGAAACUUAAACAAAAACUCGUGAUAACAUUAGUAUAAGAAAGCAAACCACCACUUCCUUAGGUACUGUAGCAAAAUUAAAUUCUACUUAUGCUGAUGUUGGGUUACUGUAUUUUCAAUCUUCCAUGGCAAAUACCCCCCGAUACUAUCCAUAGUUUCAUCAAAAUAAGCAACCAACACAGCAAAAACGGAAUCUGUUAACAGAAGACCAGUCUGUAGCAAUCUGUAUACUUCGUAUACUUAUGGUACUUCAAAAAUUCUGAAAAAUUACGGAAGUCCGAAGAAUUUGCGUGGCAAUCAGCAGCAAAAAGAAUCAACUCAAAAUCUCUUACAGAAAAAAAAGAAAAUUCUUUUCGUGAGCAGAAAGUUUCUGUCUUUUCCAGCAUGACCAAACGAUCAUCCCCAAGACUAAUCAUAACGGUUUUGCUUGGCACAAACGCAAAAAGAAACACAAAAAACACAAUCAUAACGGAAUUAUGAAAGUGUGGAAAACACAAAACAGAAAGAAAAAGGAUAGAUUCGUUGGGUUGCCUCCCAACAAGCGUUAUUUUUUAACGCCCUUAGCUAGGCAUUCGAUGAUGCUCUCACAAAAGACAACAAUUGAAGCACAACGAGAGCAUCCUAAAGCAUGUGAAAAUCACAUUUAAGACUAACAUACUUCCUAUGCAUAGGCAUUUUAUAGGAGAACAAAUUGUCAAGACAAUCAAUAGCUGCCAAAUGCAAGGAAGAAGAAAGAGACAAUAGCAAUCUCAACAUAACGAGAGGUAAUUUGGUAACAUGAGAGUUUCUACCAAAAUAUUUUCCUCUCUCAUAGAAAUUACAUAUGGGAUCAUAUUCAAAUUCAAUAAUGUAACUAUCACAAAGGAUAUUCUUUUCAUGAUCCACAUGCAUGCAAAGUUGACGCUCUUCAAAAAUAGUAGGAUUAUCAUCAACUAAAGUCAUGACUUCUCCAAAACCACUUUCAAUAUCAUUGCAAAUAUCAUAUUCCUCAUGAGGUUUAAACAAAUUUUCAAGAUCAUAAGAAAGAUCAUCACCCCAAUCAUGAUUAUUGCAACAAGUAGUGGUCAUAGCAAAACUAGCAUCCCCAAGCUUAGGGUUUUGCAUAUUUUUAGCAUGAUUAUCACUAAUAGAAUUUAUAGUGAAACUGUUGCAAUAAUGCUUUUCAUCCAAGGAGCCCUCGUGAAUCACUUCAUAAAUUUCUUCCUCGCAAUUUUCAGAUUCACGCAUCUCAAGCAAAACUCCAUAAAAAUAGUCAAGUGCCCUCAACUUACUAGCAAUUGGAUCAACAUAAUUGGAUCUCUUAAAUAGAUUAGCAAGUGGUUGAGGAUCCAUAUCACUAGAUUUUCAGCAAGCGAAGAUGCAAGCAUAAUGAAGGCACAUGGCACACAACCGAACAGAAAGCAAGCGAGAGAAAAGGGCGAACGAAAAGGCAAACGAAAAAGGCAAAGGAGAAAGGCAAAUGAAAACGGCAAAUGUGAAGUGGGGGAGAGGAAAACGAGAGGCAACUGGCAAAAAAGUAAAUGCAAGAGAUGAGUUUGUGAGACCUACUUGGAUAGAUCUCUCCUUCCCCGGCAACGGCGCCAGAAAUACUUCUGCUCGUGCAACAAAAGACCUUCCAAUGGCGCCAGAAAUAGGUGUGUUGACGGGAGAUUGUUCUUGAUACUCCUCAGCAACGGCACCAGGAAUCCUUCUGCUACGACUAUGCCUUAAGGGACUUCCUAGGAAAAUAUGCAAAGGAUUUCCCCCGUGGCCUUGGAGCCUUGCGUUGGUGUUCCCUCGAAGCGGAAAUGGUGAUGUAGCGCAGCGGUGGUACGUAUUUCCCUCAGUUUGAGAACCAAGGUAUCAAUCCAGUGAAGGAGUAUCACAAGUGCCUCCACAAACACAAAAAGCUUGCUCCCAACGCUAUGAAGGGGUUGUCAAUCCCUUAUAGAUUGUUCGCCAAGUGAGAACUGAAAGCAACAAAGUAACAAAGCAAAGUAAAAGCGAAAGUGGAAACGAAAGAUGUGAAUAGACCCGGGGGCCGUAGUGUUUACUAGUGGCUUCUCUCAUGAAAGCAAGUAGACGGUGGGUGAACAAAUUACUGUCGAGCAAUUGAUAGAACCGCGCAAAGUCGUGAUGUCAUCUAUGGCAAUGAUUAUAUCUAUAGGCAUCACAUCCAAAACAAGUAGACCGAUACUUUCUAUAUCUACUACUAUUACUCUACACGUUGACCGCUAUCCAGCAUGCAUCUAGUGUAUUAAGUCCAAAAGAACAGAGUAACGCCUUAAGCAAGAUGACAUGAUGUAGAUGGACAAUCUCAUAUCUACGACAAAGCCCACCUUGUUACCCUUGAUGGCAACUACACGAUGUGUGCCUCGUUGCCCCUAUUGUCACUCGGAAAGGUCACCACAUGGUAAGAACCCAAAACCAAGCACUUCUCCCAUUGCAAGAAUCAUCGAUCUAGUUGGCCAAACAAAACCCAAGACUCGGAGAGACUUACGAGGAUAUCAAAUCAUGCAUAAAAGAAAUCAGCGAAGACUCAAAUAUAUAUCAUAGAUAAUCUGAUCACAAAUCGACAAUUCAUCGGAUCUCGACAAACACACCGCCAGAGAGGAUUACAUCGGAUAGAUCUCCAUGAAGAUCAUGGAGAACUUUGUAUUGAAGAUCCAAGAGAGAGAAGAAGCCAUCUAGCUACUAACUACCCCCCCCUAGGUCUGAAGUGAACUACUCACGAGUCAUUGGAGGGGCGAUGAUGUUGAUGUAGAAGCCCUCCAACUCCAGAGUCCCCUCCGGCAGGGCACCGGGAAGGGUCUCCAGAUGAGAUCUCACGGAAACGGAAGCUUGCGGCGGCGGAAAAGUAUUUUCGUGGAUCCCUUGAUUUUUUUUCUGUAUUUUAGGGAAUAUAUAGGCGAAGGAGUUAGGUCAGGGGGGCGCCAGGGAGGCCACAAGUCUGCUGGCCGCCCCCCCCCCCCCNCCCCCCCCCCCGGUGGCGGAUAGGGGGCUUGUGGUCCCCAUGUAGCCCUCCUCGCUUGGCCCUCAAGCCCCCUGAUCUUCUUCCGUUCAGGAAAAAAUCAUUUCGGGGAUUUUAUUCCGUUUGGACUCUGUUCCAAAAUCAGAUCUGAGAAGAGCCAAAAACACAGAAAAAACAGGAACUGGCACUUGGCACUGAAUUAAUUAGUUAGUUCCAAAAAAGAUAUAAAAGGUACAUAAAACAUCCAAAGGUGACAAGAUAACAACAUGAAACCAUCAAAAAUUAUAGAUACGUUUGAGACGUAUCAUACACCACCUUAUAAGGUGGAGUAUUGUAGCACUUGUAAGUGAGUGAGAAGAGGAGAGCCUCUCGCGACUCCUCCUCCUCCUCCUCCGUUAAUGUUUUCUGAACCGCACUAUAAAAGGCACGCGCCGUGGGCGCUGUAUACACACCGAAACCAAUCUAGGGUUUUGCCACUCCUCGUUCCUUGCACCGCCACCAUAGUCUAUUCCAUCCCGAGCGCCGGCGUCCACCGGCGAACAGGAGAGCAGGUCUUCGGAACCAGCCGCCUUUGUGAUCUGUACGGGAGAGGGAAAAUUAGUUUUUUGGGAAGCACUCUACGCGACUACUCGCUGCUUCCACAACGGGUCGUCUACCUAGCAAGUCGGGCGGUGUUGCGUACCACCGCCUCAAGCGUCGUCUACUUCGUCCCGUCAUUGUCAACAACAUAGCUGCACCGAACAAGUCUGCUUCAUCUGCAAAUGGUCGAUAUGUGCGUCGUGUUCCCGUUGGCCUGAUGAACAUGUUAGAUGUGUACAUGUUUUGCUAUACUGUGUUGCUGCUAUUCAUGUUGUCUACUGCAUCUAGUAUGUUAGAGUUUCACAUGUUAGUAGCUAGUAUCGUCAUGCUUUAUAUUCUGGAAUUAAUCAUGGAAAUUUUGCCUAUUUAUUCAACAAUCCAAAAACCUAAUUAUUGUUAUAGGCAAUUUCCUGAGUUAAGCAUGGGACAUCUAUCUGAUGCUUUGAGGCCGGACAAGUUUACCGGUUUGGACUUUAAGAGAUGGCAGUACAAGACCACGUUGUGGUUGUGAUCUCUGAAUGUGUUCGAGGCUAGUCAGCGUUUACCUGAAAAAACUAUAUCUGACGAGGAUCAGAACAAGUUGAAGGAAACCAAUACUGCCUUUGUGGGACUUGUUUUGAGUGCUCUUAGCAACAAGUUGGUCGAUGUGUACAUGCACAAUACAGAUGGCAAAGAGCUCUGGGAGGCACUGAUCGCUAAGUUCGGUGUAGCAGAUGCUUGGAGUGAACUGUACAUCAUGGAGAGCUUCCAUGACUUCAAGAUGGCUAACAGCCGUUCUGUAGUCGAACAGGCUCAUGAGAUAUAGUGCAUUGCUAAGGAACUUGAGCACUCUAAGUGUGACUUACCUAAAAAGUUUGUGGCUGGCUGCAUUAUUGCUAAGCUACCUUCCUCGUGGAGGAAUUUCGCCACAACUCUCAAACACAAGAGACAGGAGAUAUCGGUUGAAAACCUGAUAGCAUCUCUUGAUGUUGAGGAGAAGGCUCGGGCUAAGGACACUGCUGAGAGAGGUGGUGAAGGUCAGUCUAGCGCCAACAUGGUGCACAAAAACCAUCACCACGGCCAGAGCAAGGCUAAGAGAAAACCUGCCUUCAACAUGUCCACCAAGACUACUUCUUUCAAGAGGAAGAAGAUGAUGAUGAACAAAGCUGAGCUAAAGUGCUACACUUGUGGAGAGCCCGGCCACUUCUCUGUGGACUACCCAGAUCGUGCAGACAAGAAAGGGAAGGCCAAGAAUGUCAAUAUGGUGACCGUUAGCAAUACUGAUGGGUAUGGUAAUUUACCGUAUGUGCUUUCAGUUUUUCAAUCUCCUUGCUGGUGGAUUGAUACGGGUGCUAAUGUUCAUGUGUGUGCUGACAUUUCUAUGUUCACUUCUUAUCAGGUCGAACAGGAUUCUUCCGUCUUAAUGGGGAAUGGAUCACAUGCUACUGUUCGUGGUGUUGGCAUGGUAGAUCUGAAGUUUACUUCGGGGAAGAACGUGCAGCUGAGGAACGUGCAGCAUGUCCCCACUAUGAACAAGAAUCUCGUUAGUGGAUCUCUUCUUUGCAGAGAUGGAUUUAAGUUAGUCUUGGAGUCCAAUAAAGUAUGUGACAAAGUUUGGACAAUUUAUUGGUAAAGGGUAUGAGUGCGGAGGCUUGUUCCGCUUUUCAUUAUCGGAUUUUUGUAAUAAGUCAGUAAACCAUAUUUGUGGCAGUGUGGAUUCGGAUGCUAAUGUGUGGCACUCUCGUUUAUGUCAUAUUAAUUUUGGUUUAAUGAGCAGACUUUCCAGCUUUAGUUUAAUUCCUACUUUCACCGUUGCCAAAGGUUCUAAGUGACAUAGCUGUGUGCAAUCUAAGCAACCUCGAAAGCCUCACAAGGCAGCCGAGGAGAGAAAUUUGGCACCUCUAGAACUCAUACAUUAUGAUAUGUGCGAGAUGAAUGGUGUGUUGACAAAAGGUGGAAAUAGAUAUUUCAUGACGUUAAUUGAUGAUGCUACUAGAUUCUGCUAUGUUUAUUUGUUGCAAACUAAGGAUGAGGCUUUAGACUACUUUAAAAUCUAUAAGGCUGAAGUAGAAAAUCAAUUAGAGAGAAAGAUCAAGCGUCUUAGGUCGGAUCAUGGUGGAGAGUAUUUCUCUAAAAUCUUUGAUGAAUUCUGUGAGGAACACGGUAUUAGUCAUGAGAGGACGCCUCCCUAUUUGCCCCAAUCAAACAGGAUUGCUGAGAGGAAAAACCGCACGCUGACCGACUUGGUGAAUUCCAUGUUGGACACUGCUGGUUUAUCUAAGGCAUGGUGGGGGAGGCUUUAUUGACUUUGUGUCAUGUCCUAAAUAAAGUUCCAAACUAGAACAAAGAGAAAACCCCUUAUGAGGAGUGGGUUGGGAGAAAACCAUCACUUUCGUAUUUGCGCACUUGGGGAUGCUUGGCGAAAGUCAACGUUCCAAUUCCAAAGAAACGCAGACUCGUACCAAAGACAGUGGAUUGUAUCUUUCUAGGCUAUGCUCAGCGUAGCAUUGGUUAUAGAUUUUUAGUGGUUAAAUCUGAGGUACCCGAUAUGCAUGUUGAUACUAUUAUGGAAUCUCGUGAUGCAACAUAUUUUGAGAAUAUGUUUCCUAUGAAAGAUAUGCAUAGCUUUGCUGAAUUUUCUUCUGAGUUAAUUCCUAAAUCUAGUACAUCUAAUGAUUACUCUGAACAACCACAUGUUGAGAAAGUCCUUGAGAAGUAUGAUAAUGAAGCUCCUAAACGGAGUAAGAGACAGAGGGUUGAAAAUUCCUUUGGUGAUAACUUCAUUGUGUACCUUGUGGACAAUACUCCUACGUCCAUUGUAGAGGCAUUUGCAUCUCAAGAUGCAGAUGACUGGAAAGAAGUUGUCCAUAACGAGAUGGACUCCAUUCUUUCUAAUGGAACGUGGUAAUUAUCUGAGCGACCAUAUGGUUGUAAGCCAGUGGGUUGUAAGUGGGUGUUCAAGAAGAAGCUAAGGCCUGAUGGUACUAGUGAGAAGUACAAGGCACGACUUGUAGCCAAGGGCUACACUCAGCGAGAAGGCGAAGAUUACUUUGACACAUAUUCACAUGUUGCUAGACUAACCACCAUUCGUGUACUACUUUCCCGGGCUGCCUCUUAUGGUCUGAUCGUUCAUCAAAUGGACGUAAAGACAGCUUUCCUUAAUGGAGAGUUCGAAGAGGAAAUCUAUACGGAUCAGCCUGACGGGUUUAUGGUAAAAGGUGAAGAGAAAAAGGUGUGCAAAUUGUUAAAAUCUUUUUAUGGGCUGAAGCAAGCACCUAAGCAAUGUCAUGAGAAGUUCAACAGAACUUUAACUUCUGCGGGCUUUGUCAUUAAUGAGGCUAAUAGGUGCGUUUACUACCGCCGUGGUGGGGGCGAUAGUGUUAUAUUGUGCUUGUAUGUUGAUGACAUACUGAUUUUCGGUACAAGCAUGAGUGUGAUAAACGAGGUCAAGUCUUUCCUAUCAAAGUGCUUUGAUAUGAAGGAUCUGGGAGAAGCUAAUGUAAUUCUGAACAGUAAGCUUAUUAAGGAUGAGAGUGGGAUUACGUUAACGCAAUCACACUAUGUUGAGAAGAUCUUGAGUUGUUUCGGCUUUACUGAUAGCAAGCAUUCUCCAACACCUUAUGAUCCGAGCAUGACACUUUGAAAGAACAAGAGGAUAGAGAGAGAUCAAUUGAGAUACUCUCAAAUAAUCGGUUCACUCAUGUACCUUGCGAGCGCGAUUGGGCCUGACAUCUGCUACUUCUCAAACAACAGCGCCAGAAAUUGACACGUUGAUGGAGAUUGGGCUUGCGUUGGUUUUUCCCUUGAAGAGGAAAGGGUGAUGCAGCACAGGAGCAGUAAGUAUUUCCCUCAGUUUGAGAACCAAGGUAUUGAUCCAGAAGGAGGGUCUCGUCAAGUCCAACGUACCUGCGCAAACACAAACAAACUUGCACCCAACGCUUCAAAGGGGUUGUCAAUCCCUUCAAGAUUGUUUGCAAAAGUGAGAUAUUAAGGCGGAAAGUCCAACGUAGUAAAAAGUGUAAGGCUGAAAAUAUGGUGAGGAGUAGACCCUGGGGGCCAUAGUGUUCACUAGAAACUUCUCUCAAAAUAGCAAGUAUUACGGUGGGUGAACAAAUUAUUGUCGAGCAAUUGAUAGAACCGUGCAAAGUCAUGACGAUAUCUAAGGCAGUGAUCUAGCAUAUAGGCAUCACGUCCGAGACAAGUAGACCGAUACUUUCUCCAUCUUCUACUAUUAAUCCACACAUCGAUCGCUAUCCAGCAUGCAUCUAGUGUAUUGAGUUCAUGACGAACAGAGUAACGCUUUAAGCAAGAUGACAUGAUGUAGAGGGAUAAUCUCAAACCAAUGAUGAAAACCCCAUCUUUUUACCCUUGAUGGCAACAACACGAUACGUGCCUCGCUACCCCUUCUGUCACUUGGUGAGGUCACCGCACAGUAUGAACCCAAAACCAAGCACUUCUCCCAUUGCAAGAAUCGUAGAUCUAGUUGGCCAAACAAAACCCACAACUCGAAGAGAAUUACAAGGAUAUGAAAUCUUGCAUAAGAGAGAUCAGAAGAAACUCGAAUAAGAUUCAUAGAUAAUAUGAUCAUAAAUCCACAAUUCAUCGGAUCUCGACAAACACACCGCAAAAUAAGAUUACAUCGGAUAGAUCUCCAUGAAGAUCAUGGAGAACUUUGUAUUGAAGAUCCAAGAGAGAGAAGAAGCCAUCUAGUUACUAGCUAUGGACCCGUAGGUCUAUGGUGAACUACUCACGCAUCAUCGGAGAGGUCAUGGUGUUGAUGGAGAAUCCUUCCGUGUCUGAAUCCCCCUCUGGCAGGGCACCAGGACGUGCCCCAGAUGGGAUCUUGCCAAGACAGAAGCUUGUGGCGGCGGAAAAGUGAUUACGAUGCUCCCCUGAUUUUUUUUGGGAAUAUUUGGGAAUUUAUAGGCACAAGAUCUAGGUCAGGGGACCUCCAGGGGGCCGACAAGCCUGCAUGGCGCGGCCCCUGAUACGUCUCCAUCGUAUCUACUUUUCCAAACUCUUUUGCCCUUGUUUUGGACUCUAAUUUGCAUGAUUUGAAUGGAACUAACCUGGACUGACGCUGUUUUCAGCAGAAUUGCCAUGGUGUUGUUUUUGUGCAGAAAUGAAAGUUCUCGGAACGUCCUGAAAAUUUACGGAGAAUAUUUCUCGAAAAUAUGAAAAAUACCUGCGCAAAGAUCCACCGGAGGGGAUGGGCCAGAGGGCCACAAGUCGUGUAGCCCCCUCUGGUGGCGGCUACCAAGCUUGUGGGGCCCACAUGGCUCUGCUGCCCCCAAACUUAGCUCUAUAAAUUCACUUUCAUCCCAGAAAAAAUAAAGAUAGAAGAUUUCGUCGCGUUUGCGAUACGGAGACGCCGCCACAUCCUAUUCUUCAUCUGAAGGGCAGAUGUGGAGUCCGUUUUGGGCUUCGGAGAGGGGAAAUCGUCGCCAUCGUCAUCAUCAACCUUCUUCCCUCUCCAAUUCCAUGAAGCUCUUCAUCGUUCGUGAGUAAUCUAUUCAUAGGCUCGCUGGGCGGUAAUGAGUAGGAUGAGAUCUAUCAUGUAAUCGAGUUAGUUUUGACGGGGAUUGAUCCCUAGUAUCCACUAUGUUCUGAGAUUGAUGUUGCUACUACUUUGCCAUGCUUAAUGCUUGUCACUAGGGCCCGAGUGCCAUGAUUUCAGAUCGGAAAUUAUUAUGUUGUUAGCAAUAUAUGUGUGUUGUAGAUCCGAUCUUGCAAGUUGUAGUUACCUACUAUGUGUUAUGAUCCGGCAACCCCGGAGUGACAAUAACCGGAACCACUCCCGGUGAUGACCAUAGUUUGAGGCGUUCAUAUGUUCACCAAGUGCUAAUGCGUUGGUCCGGUUCUUUAUUAAUAGGAGAACCUUAAUAUCGGUAGUUUCCUUUUGGACCCCACCGCCACGGGAGGGAUGAACAGUAGAUGUCAUGCAAGUUCUUUUCCCUAAGCACGUAUGACGACACACAGAAUGCAUGCCUACAUCACAUUGACGAACGGGAGCGAGCCACAUAUCUCUCCGUGUUAUAACUGUUGCAUGAUGAAUGUCAUCUAAACAAAUCACCGACCCAUUGCCUACGAGUUUGUCCCACUGCUGUCGUUACUUGUUUUGCUCUGCUGUUGUUACUACUGUUGCUGCUGCCGUUACUUGUUUUGUUGUGCUGCUGUUACUACUGUUGCUGAUGUCGUUACUUGUUUUGCUCUGCUGCUGUUACUACUGUUGUUGCUUCCAUUACUUGUUUUGCUCUACUGCUGUUACUAUUGUUGCUGAUACUGUUACUUGCUGCUACUGUUACUUGCUUUGUCGUGCUGCAACUCCUACUUGCUACUGUUGCUACUUGCUACUGCUGUCACUACUGUUGUUCCUUGCCACUGAUGUCACUUCUGCUACCUGCUACAAUACUUUUUCUUGCACCGUUGCCGGGAAAGAAUAUUUCCCGUCCACGGGCAACUUUUGGCGCCAUUGAUACGACAGUUAGGAAUAGUCUUCCGUCAAGAGAUCGUUUCUGGCACCGUUGUUACCAUACUACUUUGUUGUUGACACUUUUCUUGCAGAUACUAAUCUUUCAAGUGUGGUUGAAUCUGACACAUUCAGCUGCUAAUACUUGAGAAUAUACUUUCACUUCCCGUCGUGCGAACCAACAAAUUUGGGUUGAAUAGUCUACCCUCAAAAACUGCCUCGAUCCCACGCGAUGGUGGGCUAUUGCAAGACAAUUUCUAAUUGUUGAGCAAUCAAGAAUAGCAUUUUUCUAGCCAUUGCCAGGGAUCUGCUAACAGCAUUUUUCUGGCGCCGUUGUUGGGGAGGCGAUUGCUGUAUUCUCUGAGUCACUUGGGAUUUAUAUCUGUUGAUCACUAUGAAGAAUCUAAAAGAUCCAAAAACCAAAGUUUUGCCCUCAACUACGAGGGGAGGUAAGGAACUGCCAUCUAGCUCUACACUUGAUUCACCUUCAGUUAUGAGUUAGUUUGCGACACCACCUCCUGCUAGAAAUCUUGAUAUGUCGCCUGUGCUUGAUGAUGCUUAUGAUGCUGCUAUGCCUGACACUGUUAGAGAUGCUAUGCCUGGUGAUGCUAGAGAUGCUAUUUUGCCUGAUGAUGUUAUGGUUGAUACUGCUUUGCCUGAUGAUGCUAGAGAUGCUAUUUUGCCUGAUGAUGCUAUGCUUGAUACUGCUAGAGAUACCACUUUGCUUGAUAUGCCACUAGGGGUAUUCCUUGAUGCUCAUAUUGCUAGAGUUACUGCCAAUGCUCGUGAUGCUUCUGAAACUGCCGAUACUAUUAGAUAGAACCUGCUGUUGCUCCUGCUAGAUCUAGCUCUCCUAGAUAUGAAUUGCCUGAUAUACCUGAGGGUUAUGUUAUGGAGGGAGAGAUAGCUGACGAUUUUCUUGCGUGUAAGGAUGCCUAUGACGCUGAGAAAUUCUCUGUCGACCCUGAGAUAAUAUCUCUAGUCGAAUCUGAUCCUUUCCACGGUUAUGAGUCUGAGAUGGCCGUAGCCCAUCUUACCAAACUACACGAUAUAGCCACCCUUUUCACUAGUGAGGAGAAGAUCCGCAACUACUAUAUCCUUAAGUUGUUUCCUUUCUCUCUAAAGGAUGACGCUAAAGCCUGGUUCACUUCUCUUGCUCCUGGAUCUGAAGGAUAUGGUCUGUUACUUCUGUGAGAAAUAUUUCCCAGCCCAUAAGAAGCAAGCUGCCUUGUAGGAAAUAUACAACUUUUCUCAACUCAAAGAAGAGAGUCUCCCACAAGCUUGGGGAAGGCUCAUCCAGCUACAGAAUGCUUUGCCUGAUCACCCUCUUAAGAAGAACGAGAUACUCGAUAUCUUCUAUAACGGACUUACCGAUGCUUCUAGAGACCACCUAGAUAGUUGUGUCGGUUGUGUUUUUAGGGAACGAACUAUAGAACAAGGUGAGGUCCUUCUGAAUAACAUCUUGAUCAACGAUAAUGCUUGGACUAUUCCCGAACCACCUCUUAAGCCAACUCCUAACUAAAGAGGUAUUCUAUUCCUCAGUCCCGGAGAUAUGCAAGAAGCCAAGAAAUAUAUGCAAGAGAAAGGCAUUAGAUCUGAAGAUGUCAAAAAUCUACCACCUAUCGAAGAGAUCCAUGGUCUCUAUAACCCGAUACAAGUAGUAGAAGUGAAUUCUCUGCGUAGGUUUGAUGAGAGUGAUAUUCCUUUUGACAAACCUGCUAGCCUAUGAUUUGAUGAAUUUGACAACUUUGUUGCCAAACAACAGAGUUUCAAUGAUUAUGUUAGCAGACAUUUGGAACAAAGUACUCUUAUGCUUAGGCAUUUAAGUGCUUGUGUUGACAUAAAUGUCAAUGAUCUGAAGCUUCUGAGUAAACAUGCCUCUAUGAUUACUACUCAGGUAGAACAAGUACUUAAAGCUCAAAAUGACUUGUUCAAUGAAUUAAAUGACAACUCUGUCAGAGUCAUUACUAGAGGAGGCAAAAAGACUCAGGAACCAUUGUAUCCUGAAGGCCAUCCUAAGAGAAUUGAUCAAGAUUCUCUAGGAAUUAAUGUUGAUACACCCAGUCAUCCUAAGAAGAAGAAGGAUGAUAGAAACCUACAUGUCAGUUCACCAAAUACUAUCACACCUGAAGAACCAAAUGAUAUUUCUGCGUCUGAUGCAGAAACACAAUCUGGUGAUGAACAUGAACCUGGUGACAAUAUGGACAGCGAUGUUCAUAAUAUUGCUCAACCUAGCAAUGAUGAGGAUGUGGAGAUUGAACCUACGGUUAAUCCUGAUAACCCACAACCUAAGAGAUACGAUAAGAAUGACUUCACUGCUAGGAAGCAUGGUAAAGAAAGAGGGCCAUAGGUUCAGAGACUCAUGCCCUUUCCUCCUAAGCCAUCCAAGAAAAAGGAUGAUGAGGAUUUUGAGCGCUUCAUUGAGAUGAUAAGACUCGUCUUUCUGUAGAUGCGAUUAAUUGAUAUGCUCAAAAUGUCUCCAUAUGCCAAGUACAUGAAAGAUAUCGUGACCAAUAAACAGAAGAUACCAGAUCUUGAGAUCUCCACCAUGCUUGCCAAUUACACUUUCAAAGGUGGAACUCCUAAAAACCUUGGUGAUCCCGGAGUGCCUACUAUACCUUGCUCCAUUAAAGGAAACUACGUAAGAACUCCGUAUGUGACCUUGGAGCCGGUGUUAGUGUUAUGCCGCUCUCUCUUUAUCGUAGACUUGAACUGGAUAAGUUGACACCCACUGAAAUUUCUCUACAAAUGGCCGACAAAUCAACUGCUUUCCCUAUCGGCAUUUGGGAGGAUGUUCCUGUUGUGGUUGCUAACACCACUAUCUUAACAGACUUUGUUAUCUUGGAUAUUCGCGAGGACGAUGCCAUGGCUGUCAUCCUUGGAAGACCAUUUUUAAACACUGCAGGGGCUGUUAUAGAUUGCAACAAAGGCAAUGUCACUUUCCAUGUCAACGGUAAUGAGCAUACAGUGCACUUUCCGAAGAAACGAUAUCAAGUACAUUGCAUCAAUGCUAUCAAAAAAAAUUCAUCGAUUCUUAUUGGGAGCUUUACAUGCCCUAUUCCUCGUGUCAAUAUGAAGUAUGAUUUGCUUGUUGGGGAGAUACAUAUCCCCAUUGAGGUGACUUAGUGGCUAUUCGACAAUUCUCCGUUUCCUCUUGCGAUUUGAAAAGGUUUUUGUCAUGAGGAUUUGAUCAAUCCCAUUGACGGAUUUCUUUCGAUGACCAUGAAAUGGAUGAAUCAAAGAGUCACAUACCUCUGUUUUAAGCUUUCACUUUCUAUUGCCUAGAAGAAAAAUGAUAGAUUUAGUUUAGUUUUUCCUGUUUUAGCGUCCCGGAGAAAAAUACCUCGAAAAUAAAAGUUCUCCGAUGGUCCUGAAAAUCUAGUAUGAUUUUUUCUGAAAUAUUUGAAAAAUACUGGGACUAAGAGCUGGUCUGGGGGCCACGCCAGUGGGCCACAAGCCCUGUAGCCGUCGCCCCCCCCCUCCCCCCUUGGUGGCGGCUACCAAGCUUGUGGGGCCCACAGGGACCCCCUCCACUCAUUCCAGCUCCCAUCCUCUUCUUCCACCUCCAGAAAAAUCGUUUCACAACUCAAACCCGUGUUCUUGCUCAUUUGGCUGUAAUUUUCGAUCUCCUUGCUCAAAGCACCAUUCUCCUAACCGUUUUGGGGAAGUUACUCCUUGGUAAGUGACUCCCCCAUUGGUCCAAUUAGUUUUUGCUCUAGUGCUUUAUCCUUCGCGUAUUCUUGCUACCUUGGUGACCCUGUUCUUGAGCUUGAAAUGUUUAUUUUAGCUGGUCCCCAGUAGUUUUAGCGCGUGAUACUGUCUCUAGGCACUAGUAGGAGUAGUUGCUACGAGUUGGGUUAAUCCUUACUCACUUUUCUUUCGAAGUCUCUAAAAAUUUCAGAAUUUUUCAGAGCUAGAAAAGGAAAAGGAUGAGGAGGUUCUUGAGAGGCUCUUUAAGCCGUACCCCCAAGGAGGAUGAGAAGAACCACCCCAAGUACGUAGUUCCUUGAGUCACAGAAGUUCGAGCGUGCGAGUGGCCAAGUGAUGAAUUUUUACGCGCCGCUGGGCUUUAUGAAGACUUUUAUUACUUGGUGGAGAACACAGGUCUUACCGCGUUCGUUGAAGAUAAGUGCUCACAAUACCUCCUCCUCACCAAUAUUUUCGUUCGAAGCUUCAACUUUUAUCCGAGGAAGAAUCCUCCCAUGGUUGAGUUCAUGUUAUACGACAUCCCCCAAUGCAUGAUGCUACAGGAUUUUUGCAAUGUAUGCAAAUUACCUUAUGUUGGGGAUAUUCAUGACCCUCGUCCACGGGACUUGGAGGAUUUCAUAGGUAUUGUUGUUGUUGGAGACGAGAGAGGAGUGUCUCGCGCUAGAAUUGCCAGCAUACAUUUUCCUGUGCUUCGGUAUUUCUCAUUAUUUGUGGGAAAAUGUUUGAUUAGCCGUGGAGAGGCUGGAUCACUUAGCUCUCCAGACCUUGCGGUUUUGCGCGAAGGCCUUUAUAAUGAUAAGACUUAUAGCCUAGGUGCUAUAGCAGCUCAGCGGUUGAACACAAACCGUUCCAAGGAUGUCGUCUAUGGAGGUAUCUAUGCUACCCGUCUUGCCAGACACUUUGAGAUACCCGUUAGACUGGGGGAGGAAGGAGAGAUGCUUCUUCCUGAGAAAUAUCUGGAUUAUGACAGCAUGGUUCUCCAUGAUUUUCUGGAUAGAGAUGCUAGUAGACGGAAGAUUUAUAACCUGGUAUUUAGUCAGGGUACUCGAGAGACUAUUACUUUGCCUGCUCCUUCUUCGUUUGAUCUUCAUGCAGGCAGAUACACUAUUAUGCCCUCGGACAUCUACGCAUAUUGGGGCUUGGCCCAACUGCUACUGCAACAAAAUACCUUCCAACGGCGCCAGAAACACAUGCUGAUGGGAGACUAUUCUUGUCUUGAUUCUCCUCAGCAACGGCACCAGGAAUCCUUCUGCUACGGCUACGCCAUUAGGGACUUCCUAGCCAAAUAUUCAAAGGAUUCCCCCGUGGCCUUGGAGCCUUGCGUUGGUGUUCCCUCGAAGUGGAAAGGGUGAUGUAGCGUAGCGGUGGUAAGUAUUUACCUCAGUUUUGAGAACCAAGGUAUCAAUCCAGUGAAGGAGUAUCACAAGUACCUGCACAAACACAAAAAGCUUGCUCCCAACACUAUGAAGGGGUUGUCAAUCGCUUAUAGAUUGUUUGCCACAUGAGAACUGAAAGCAACAAAGUAACAAAGCAAAGUAAAAGCGAAAGUGGAAACAAUAGGUGUGAAUAGACCCGGGGGCCGUAGUGUUCACUAGUGGCUUCUCUCAUGAAAGCAAGUAGAUGGUGGGUGAACAAAUUAUUGUCGAGAAAUUGAUAGAACCACGCAAAGUCGUGACAUCAUCUAUGGCAAUGAUUAUAUCUAUAGGCAUCACGUCCAAUAUAAGUAGACCGAUACUUUCUGCAUCUACUACUAUUACUCCACACGUCGAUCGCUAUCCAGCAUGCAUCUAGUGUAUUAAGUCCAAACGAACAGAGUAACGCCUUAAGCAAGAUGACAUGAUGUAGAUGGACAAUCUCAUAUCUACGACAAGCCCAUCUUGUUACCCUUGAUGGCAACUACACGAUGUGUGCUUGCUGCCCUUUCUGUCACUGGGAAAGGUCACCACAUGGUAUGAACCCAAAACCAAGCACUUCUCCCAUUGCAAGAAUCAUAGAUCUAGUUGGCCAAACAAAACCCAAGACUCGGAGAGACUUACAAGGAUAUCAAAUGAUGCAUAAAAGAAAUCAGGAAAGACUCAAAUAUAUAUCAUAGAUAAUCUGAUCACAAAUCCACAAUUCAUCGGAUCUCGACAAACACACUAUCAAAGAGGAUUACAUCGGAUAGAUCUCCAUGAAGAUCAUGGAGAACUUCGUAUUGAAGAUCCAAGAGAGAGAAGAAGCCAUCUAGCUACUAACUGCGGACCCGUAGGUCUGAAGUGAUCUACUCACGAGUCAUUGGAGGGGUGAUGAUGUUGAUGUAGAAGCCCUCCAACUCCAAAGUCCCCUCCGGCAGGGCACCGGGAAGGGUCUCCAGAUGAGAUCUCGCGGAAACGGAAGCUUGCGGCGGCGGAAAAGUGUUUUCAUGGAUUCCUUGAUUUUUUCUGUAUUUUAGGGAAUAUAUAGGCGAAGGAGCUAGGUAGAGGGUCCUCAGCUAUCUCCCCCUGUAGCUCUCUUGGCUUGGCCCUCAAGCCCCCUAAUCUUCUUCCGUUCGGGAAAAAAUUAUUUCGGGGAUUUUAUUCCGUUUGGACUCCGUUCCAAAAUUAGAUCUGAAAAGGGCCAAAAACACAGAAAAAACAGGAACUGGCACUUGGCACUGAAUUAGUAAGUUAGUCCCAAAAAAGAUAUAAAAGGUACAUAAAACAUCCAAAGAUGACAAGAUAACAGCAUGAAACCAUCAAAAAUUAUAGAUACGUUUGAGACGUAUCAAGCAUCCCCAAGCUUAACUCCUGCUCGUCCUCGAGUAGGGAAGUGAUAAAGAGUGAAUUUUUUAUGCUUUCAUGCUACCUAGCAUAGAUGUCCUUUGUAACUCCUCUUAUGUGACGCGAAUGUUCAGAUCCAUUAGAUCCAAAACAAUAGUUUGCUAUUUACGUGGAAACAAUAAUACUUCAAGCAAACUAGCAAGGUAAUCAUGAACUUUCAAAAUAACAAGGCCAAAAGAAAGUUAUCCCUACAAAAGCAUAUAGUCUGGCUAUGCUCUAUCGUCAUUGCACAACGAACUUAAAUCAUUCACAACCCCGGUAUUGGCCGAGUAAUUCUUUUCACACCUUUACUUUCUCAAACCUUUUCAACUCUCACGCAAUACAUGAGCGUGAGCCAUGGUUUUAGCACUAUAAGUGGUGUGGAGUGUGGUAGAGGUUGCAAGACAAACAAGGAGAAGAUCAUCACAUUAACUAGGCAUAUCAAUGAGCUGCGGAGAUGCUCAUCAAUAGAUGUCAAUGUGAAUGAGUAGGUAUUGCCAUACAAAUGAUGCACUAGAGCUAGGAAUAUGUGAAAGCUCUUAGAGAAAACUAGUGGGUGUGCAUCCAACUUGCUUGCUCAUGAAGACCUAAGGCAAUUUUGAGGAAGCCUAUCAUUGGAAUAUACAAGCCAAGUUAUGUAAUGAAAAUUUCCCACUAGCUAUAUCGUGGUGACAAAACGAGAGACUCUCAAUCAUGAAGAUCAUGGUGCUUAAUAAGCACAAGUGUGGAAGGAUAGUAGCACUGUACCNACUUAGAGCAACGAUGACUCUAUAUGGAAUGCCUUCGGUAGUGUACCGUGGCAAUGAUCUAGCAUGGCAUAGACAUUAAUGGAAACAUCAUGCUAGCUAUCUUACGAUCAUGCAAUGACAAUGUAGAAGUGGUGGCACAUGUCAUGGUGGUAGUUGCAUUGCAAUAUAUCUCGGAAUGACUUUGAAAAAGCCAUAGUAGGUAGGUAUGGUGGCUGUUUUGAGGGAGGCUAAUGAUGGGUUUUGUGCACCGACGAAAGUUGCACGGCACUAAGAAGAUAGUGAUGGUGGAAGGUGAAAGUGCAUCUAAACCAUGGACUCAAAAUUAGUCAUGAAGAACUCAUAUACUUGUUGAAAAAGUUUUAUUAGUAAUCGAAACAAAGCAUUCAACGCAUACUCCGAGGGGAAGGGUUGGUAGGUAUAAACCUCAUGCGAUCCUGACCGCCACGCAAAGGAUGACAAUCAAUAGACUAAUCAUGCUCAGAUUUCAUCACGUAGCGGUUCACCAUACGAGCAUGCUACGGGAAUCAUUAACUUCAACACAAGUAUUUCUAGAUCCACAGCACCUUACUGGCAUAACUUCAAUAUUACCACAACCACAACUCAAAACUAAUUGAGAUGAAUCAAACUUCUCUAACUAUUGAAUGCACAUGAAGGUGGAAGUUUUCAUAUCCCUUUGGAUAACUACCCCUUUUGAGACUACUUUCAAAGCAUAAAUCAACUACCAAGCCAUGCACCGCCGUGCUCUAAAAGAUAUAAGUGAAGCACAUAGAGCAAAAUCAACUAGCUCAAAAGAUAUAAGUGAACCACAUGUGAGCUGAAUUGUCUACCAAAGGAUAUAAGUGAAGCUCGACAAAAUCACGGUGAGUGCAUGUCUCUCUCUCUAGGUGUGCAGCAAGGAUGAUUGUGACACAACAAAAAUAAAAGACUCCUACGAUACAAGACGCUCCAAGCAAAACACAUAACAAGUGGUGAAUAAAAAUAUAGCCCCAAGUAACGUUACUGAUGGAUUGAAGACGAAAGAGGGGAUGCCUUCCCGGGGCAUCCCGAAGCUUAGGCUUUUACGGCAUCCUUGAAUCUCUUGGGGUGCCUUGGGUAUCCCCAAGCUUGAGCUCUUUCCACUCUUUUUCUCUUUGUCCAUAAGAACUUCACCCAAAACUUGAAAACUUCACAACACGAAACUUAAACAGAAACUCGUGAUAACAUUAGUAUAAGAAAGCAAACCACCACUUCCUUAGUUACUAUAGCAAACUUUAAUUCUACUUAUGUUGAUGUUGGGUUACUGUAUCUUCAAUCUUCCAUGGCUAAUACCCCCCCCCCCCCGAUAAUAUCCAUAAUUUCAUCAAAAUAAGCAACCAACACAGCUAAAACAGAAUCUGUUAACAGCAGACCAGUCUGUAGCAAUCUGUAUACUUCGUAUACUUAUGUACUUCACAAAUUCUGAACAGUUACGACAGUCUGAAGAAUUUGCGUAGCAAUCAGCAGCAUAAAGAAUCAACUCAAAAGCUCUUACAGAAAAAAAAAUUCGUGAGCAGAAAGUUUCUGUCUUUUCCAACAUGACCAAACGAUCAUCCCCAAGACUAAUCGUAACGGUUUUGCUUGGCACAAACACAAAAAGAAACACAAAAAACACAAUCAUAACAGAAUUAUGAAAGUGUGGAAAGCAUAAACCAGAAAGAAAAAGGAUAGAUUCGUUGGGUUGCCUCCCAACAAUCGCUUUUGUUUAACGCCCUUAGCUAGGCAAAAGAUGAUGGAAUCAUGUAUAGUCAUCUCUUGUUGCUCAAACCAUAAGUAGCCCUCAUCGUAGAUUCAUAAGGCAAUCUUAUUUUAUUUCUAGGAAAGUGCUCCAUGCCCUUCUUUAGAGGAAAUUGAAAUCUAAUAUUCCCUUCCUUCAUAUCGAUGAUAGCACCAAUAGUCCUUAGGAAAGGUCUACCAAGAAUAAUGGGACAUGAAGGAUUGCAAUCUAUGUCAAGUACAAUGAAAUCCAUGGGUACAUAGUUCUUAUUUGCAACAAUAAGAACAUCAUCGAUCCUUCCCAUGGGUUUCUUGACAGUAGAAUCCGCAAGAUGCAAAUUAAGAGAACACUCUUCAAUCUCAUGAAAACCAAGAAUAUCACAUAAAGACUUUGGAAUCGCGGAAACACUAGAACCCAAAUUACAUCAAGCAUUGCACUCAUAUUUUUUUAUUUUGAUUUUGAUAGUAGGUUCCCACUCAUCAUGAAGUUUUCUAGGUAUAGAGACUUCUAGUUCGAGCUUCUCUUCAAGAGAUUUCAUCAUAGCAUCUACGAUAUGCGCGGUAAAGGCUUUGCUUUGGCUAUAAGCACGUGGAGAGUUUGCAAUGGAUUGCAUCAAAGAAAUGCAUUCAAACAAGGAGAAAUUAUCAUAAUUGAAUUCCCUGAAAUCCAAAGUGGGAGUUUCAUUACUACCCAAAAUUUUGAUUUCUUCUACUCCACUCUCCACAACUUUAUCAUCAAGAUGGGUGGACUCCGAAUCAUUGGGGCGUUUUUCAACCAAAGUGGAUUCAUAUCCAUCCCCUUCAUCAAUAGGUUUGACACGCGAAAACAAAGACUCAAGAGGAAUCACACCAAGCACUUUAAGAUCUUCGUGAUUUGCAUCACUAGGACGCACCCUUUUAAACCAUUCAUGCCUAGCGCGAAUUUGGGCGUUCUUUCUUUGCUCGCAUUCAUGGAGACACGCAUAGCUUUCAAAGUUUCGUCCAAGUUGACCUUGGGAGGAGCACAUCUAACUUUCAAAGCAUCAAUAUCACAAGACAUCCUACCAACAAAGUUUCCUCUAAAAGCAUUGUUGUUGCACAAAUUGUUCCUACCAACAAAGUUAACGUCCAAACUAGCAUUGCUACUCUCAAUCAAGGAAGAUAGUUGCAUGUCAUUAGGAUCUAAAGGAGAGUUUCUACUAGCAACCAAAUUCAUCAACUCGUCCAUCUUAGCACUAAGCGAGUUAAUUUCUUCUAUAGCGUGUACCUUUUUGCUAGCACGUGACCUUUCAGUGUGCCACUGAGAGUAGUUGGUCAUGAUAUUGUCUAGGAGUUUUGUAGCGUCUCCUAACGUGAUUUCCAUGAACGUUCCACCUGAGGCGGAGUCCAAGAUAUUGCGAGAAGCGAAAUUCAAGCCAGCGUAAAAGAUUUGUAUAAUCAUCCACAAACUCAAGCCAUGAGCGGGACAAUUUCUAAUCAUAAGCUUCAUCCUCUCCCAAGAUUGUGCAACGUGUUCAUGAGCAAGUUGCUUGAAAUUCAUGAUAUCAUUACGUAAGGAUAUAAUCUUAGCCGGCGGAAAAUACUUGGAUAUGAAAGCAUCUUUGCACUUAUCCCAAGAAUGGAUACUAUUUUUAGGCAAAGAAGAAAACCAAGUUUUUGCGCGAUCUCGCAACGAGAAAGGAAAAAGCUUCAACUUAAUCACGUCAUUAUCCACAUCUCUUUUCUUUUGCAUAUCGCAAAGCUCAAUGAAGGUAUUGAGAUGGGAUGCGGCAUCUUCACUAGGAAGGCCAGAGAAUUGCUCUUUCAUAACAAGAUUCAGCAAGGCUGCGUUGAUUUCAUACGAUUCCGCACUAGUGGCAGGAGCAAUCGGAGUACUAAUAAAAUCAUUAUUAUUGGUACUCGGGAAGUCGCAAAGUUUGGUGUUUUCAGCCAUGAUGACUUCAACAAACAAGCAAGCACACAAGCAAGCAAGAAAACCAGCAAAGGAAAACGGCAAAAAGGCAAAUGGCAAAAGAAAACGGAAAAGGAGAAAGGCAAAUGAAAACGGCAAAUGUGAAGUGGGGGAGAAGAAAACGAGUGGCAACUUGCAAAAAAGUAAAUGCAAGAGAUGAGUUUGUGAGACCUACUUGGAUAGAUCUCUCCUUCCCCGGCAACGGUGCCAGAAAUACUUCUGCUACUGCAACAAAAGACCUUCCAACGGCGCCAGAAACACGUGCUGACGGGAGACUAUUCUUGUCUUGAUUCUCCUCAGCAACGGCACUAGGAAUCCUUCUGCUACGGCUACGCCUUUAGGGACUUCCUAGGAAAAUAUGCAAAGGAUUCCCCCGUGGCCUUGGAGCCUUGCGUUGGUGUUCCCUCGAAGUGGAAAGGGUGAUGUACCGUAUCGGUGGUAAGUAUUUCCCUCAGUUUUGAGAACCAAGGUAUCGAUCCAGUGAAGGAGUAUCACAAGUACCUGCACAAACACAAAAAGUUUCCUCCCAACGCUAUGAAAGGGUUGUCAAUCCCUUAUAGAUUGUUUGCCAAGUGAGAACUGAAAGCAACAAAGUAACAAAGCAAAGUAAAAGCGAAAGUGGAAAUGAUAGGUGUGAAUAGACCCGGGGGCCGUAGUGUUCACUAGUGGCUUCUCUCAUGAAAGCAAGGAGACGGUGGGUGAACAAAUUACUGUCGAGCAAUUGAUAGAACCGCGCAAAGUCGUGACAUCAUCUAUGGCAAUGAUUAUAUCUAUAGGCCAAAACAAGUAGACCGAUACUUUCUGCAUCUACUACUAUUACUCCACACGUCGACCGCUAUCCACCAUGCAUCUAGUGUAUUAAGUCCAAAAGAACAGAGUAACGCCUUAAGCAAGAUGACAUGAUGUAGAUGGACAAUCUCAUAUCUACGACAAAGCCCAUCUUGUUACCCUUGAUGGCAACUACACGAUGUGUGCCUUGCUGCCCUUUCUGUCACUGGGAAAGGUCACCACACGGUAUGAACCCAAAACCAAGCACUUCUCCCAUUGCAAGAAUCAUAGAUCUAGUUGGCCAAACAAAACCUAAGACUCGGAGACACUUACAAGGAUAUCAAAUCAUGCAUAAAAGAAAUCAGAAAGACUCAAAUAUAUAUCAUAGAUAAUAUGAUCACAAAUCCGGAAUUCAUGGGAUCUCGACAAACACACCGCCAAACAGGAUUACAUCAGAUAGAUCUCCAUGAAGAUCAUGGAGAACUUUGUAUUGAAGAUCCAAGAGAGAGAAGAAGCCAUCUAGCUACUAACUACCCCCCCCUAGGUCUGAAGUGAACUACUCACGAGUCAUUGGAGGGGCGAUGAUGUUGAUGUAGAAGCCCUCCAACUCCAAAGUCCCCUCCGGGCACCGGGAAGGGUCGCCAGAUGAGAUCUCACAGAAACGGAAGCUUGCGGCGCCGGAAAAGUGUUUUCGUGGAUUCCCUCAUUUUUUCUGUAUUUUAGGGAAUAUAUAGGCGAAGGAGCUAGGCCAGGGGGCGCUAGGGAGGCCACAAGCCUGCUAGCCGCCCCCCUGGUGGCGGCUAUAGGGCUUGUGGGCCCCCUGUAGCUCUCCUGGCUUGGCCCUCAAGCCCCCUGAUCUUCUUCCAUUCGGGAAAAAAUUAUUUCGGGGAUUUUAUUCCGUUUGGACUCCGUUCCAAAAUCAGAUCUGAAAAGAGCCAAAAACACAGAAAAAACAGGAACUGGCACUUGGCACUGAAUUAAUAAGUUAGUCCCAAAAAGAUAUAAAAGGUACAUAAAACAUCCAAAGAUGACAAGAUAACAGCAUGAAACCAUCAAAAAUUAUAGAUACGUUUGGGAUGUAUCACCAACCACAGGUGCCCGUGCCCGAGCCGCCAGUCGAGUACCAGACGCCAGUUUAUCAGUGGGAGCCAGAGGAGCUCACACAGCAGUGGCAUCUACAGUCUGCUCCGGAGUAUCCUGGAGCUGGUUAUUUCCCGCCUUGGGAGUAGACCAAGCUGGGCCAAAAGCCUAAGCUUGGGAGAGUACGUAUUCUCACCGACCUUACAUUCAUGCUUAUGCUUUCACUUUGUUAGUCGGUGUUUACACAUUACCACUGUAUUAUCCAUGCUAGUUUAUUUUCGUUUUCUUGUCUUGUGUCCUUUUGAAAAAACCCAAAAAGAUUUUUCUUUCAUCUCUUGCUUGUUGGGAGUUUUCCUGUGUAAAUAGUUUUCUUUUUCUUUGGGUCAAGGUAGAAGAUAUUGGUUACAAUGUUUAGUGGCUUUUGCAUGCAUACCUGUUUAGCUUUCAAAGAGCCAUAUUACUUUGUCUUCUCCUUUGUGUUUGCCUGCAGAUUCAGCUUAGUCCAAUGCACGAGCACUCUUAUUAUUGUUCUCGUUCGAUCGUGCAAGUGAAAGGCAAUAAUGAUGAUAUAUGAUGAAGUGACUAAGACUGGAAAAGCUGGUAUGAACUCUAUUUGUUUUGUUUUUGUAAAUAUGACUAGCUUGUCGUCCCAGAUUCAGCUAUGUUGUGAGAGAACCAUGUUUGCAAUGACAACUUAGAGAUCAUAGUUUCUCAUGCCAUGCUUAAUUAGCUGAGAGCUUAUAAUGGUUUGUCUUGAAUGCCAACAUAGAUUUUGAGAUGACUAUGAUGUAGUAUGAUAGGAUGGUAUUCUCCUUUGAAUGAUUCAAGUGGCUUGACUUGGCGCAUGUUCAUGCAUGUAGUUGAAACAAAAUCAACAUAGCCUCUAUGAUGUUCGUAUUCGUGGUGAUUUAUAUCAUGUUCAUGCUUGCACUCAAUGUUAGUCAAACUCAUUGCAUCUUGAUGACUGUUGUCGCUCUCUAGUUGGUCGCUUCCCAGUCUUUUGCUAGCGUUCACUUGUACUAAGCGGAAGACUGCUUGUGCAUCCACUUCCAUAAACCCAAAAGUUUUUCCAUGAGAGUCCACCAUACCUACCUAUUUGCGGUAUCUACCUGCCGUUCCAAGUAAAUUUGCAUGUGCCAUUCUCUAAACCUUCAAGAAAUAAUCUGUUUUGCAUGCCCGGACCGCUCAUGUGGUGACAGGGGGCUAUUUGUAUCUUCCAUGUUAGGCGUGUUAUCCUCGACAUGUGUUUAUUCACUGUCAUUCACGAGAAAGGGGCCGGUAAUUGGAAUGCCCAAUUCCACGCUUAAAUCGAAAACAUAACUGUAAAACACGACUCCCCCCGGAUUGAUGUUAGUAUGGACAGUACCCGAGGAUUCGGCUAGCCGUGGAGUGUGAUUGAUUGGUGGUGGGGGAGUUAAAACUUUACUUUUCUGUUUGGGAACCACCUAUAGCAUGAGUAGCAUGGAAGAUAUUGAGAACUCUUGGUCAUUGCAUUGACAAUGAAAGCAUGCCACGCAAAAUUAGUAUCUCUGUUUUUAAAGGUUGAGCUCUGGCACGUCUGCAAAUCAAUGCUUCCCUCUGCGAAGGGCCUCUCUAUUUAUUUUCCUGUUGAGUCAUCCUAAGGUCCAAUUAGAGCGCACCUCUAUCAUUUUUAUGCUUUGCUUUUGAUUGAUAUUGAGUAUGACUAUGACUGGAUCUUCGUUGCUAUGAAUUACAAUGUUUAGUCAGCCCUUGAUCUUUGAAAGUGCUCUGCAUUUAUGUUUUGCGGUCUCAGAAAGAGCUAGCGAGAUACCACUUAUUCAUAUUGCUUCAUGCUUGUUUUGAUUGAAUUGUUGGUAUCUAAAACUCAUUAUUAUUUUCUCGCUAGCUGAUUAUGCCAUUGAUAUUAGUUUACCGUGAGACCUUUGUGUCACUUGCUUAUGUGGUUAACUUGUGAUCUUGCUGAAAUUAUGGUUAUGAGUUAGACAUAGUUGCAACAACAAGAUCAAACAGAGUUUGUCAAAGUUUUCCUUUCUCUUUCAGUUUGUCAACUGGGUUGCUUGAGGACAAGCAAGGUUUUAAGCUUGGGGGAGUUGAUACGUCUCCAUUGUAUCUACUUUUCCUAACUCUUUUCCCUUGUUUUGGACUCUAAUUUGCAUGAUUUGAAUGGAACUAACCUAGACUGACGUUGUUUUCAGUAGAAUUGCCAUGGUGUUGUUUUUCUGCAGAAAUGAAAGUUCUCGGAACGUCCUGAAAAUAUGAAAAAUACCUGCGCAAAGAUCCACCGGAGGGGAUGGGCCAGUGGGCCAAAAGCCCUGUAGCCCCCCCCCCCCGGUGGCGGAUAGGGGGCUUGNGUUGUGGCGGCUACCAAGCUUGUGGAGCCCACGUGGCUCUGCCGCCCCCAAACUCAGCUAUAUAAAUCCACUUUCGUCCCAGAAAAAAUAAAGAGAGAAGAUUUCGUCGCGUUUGCGAUACGGAGGUGCCGCCACAUCCUGUUCUUCAUCUCGAGGGCAGAUCUGGAGUCCGUUUUGGGGUGUGGAGAGGGGAAAUCGUCGCCAUCGUCAUCAUCAACCUUCUUCCCUCUCCAAUUCCAUGAAGCUCUUCAUCGUUCGUGAGUAAUCUAUUCAUAGGCUCGCUGGGCAGUGAUGAGUAGAAUGAGAUCUAUCAUGUAAUCGAGUUAGUUUUGACGGGGAUUGAUCCCUAGUAUCCACUAUGUUCUGAGAUUGAUGUUGCUACUACUUUGCCAUGCUUAAUGCUUGUCACUAGGGCCCGAGUGCCAUGAUUUCAGAUCUGAAAUUAUUAUGUUGUCACCAAUAUAUGUGUGUUUUAGAUCCGAUCUUGCAAGUUGUAGUUACCUACUAUGUGUUAUGAUCCGGCAACCCCGGAGUGACAAUAACCGGAACCACUCCAAGUGAUGACCAUUGUUUGAGGAGUUCAUGUGUUCACCAAGUGCUAAUGCGUUGGUCCGGUUCUUUAUUAAAAGGAGAACCUUAAUAUCCCGUAGUUUCCUUUUGGACCCCGCUGCCACGGGAGGGAUGGAUAAUAGAUGCCAUGCAAGUUCUUUUCCCUAAGCACGUAUGACGACAAACGGAAUGCAUGCCUACAUCACAUUGACGAACGGGGGCUAGCCACAUAUCUCUCCGUGUUAUAACUGUUGCAUGAUGAAUUCCAUCCAAACAAAUCACCGACCCAUUGGCUACGAGUUUGUCCCACUGCUGUCAUUACUUGUUUUGCUCUGCUAUUGUUACUACUGUUGCAGCUGUCGUUACUUGUUUUGCUCUGCUGCUGUUACUACUCUUGCUGUUGCCGUUACUUGUUUUGCUCUGCUGCUGUUACUACUGUUGCUGCUGCGUUACUUGUUUUGCUCUGCUGCUGUUACUACUGUUGCUGCUACUGUUACUUGUUGCUACUGUUACUUGCUUUGUUCUGCUGCUGCUGCUACUACUGCUACUUGCUACUGUUGCUACUUGCUACUGCUGUCACUACUGUUGUUCCUUGCCACUGCUGUCACUACUGCUACCUACUACAAUACUUUUUCUCGCACCGUUGCCAGGAAAGAAUAUUUCCCGUCCACGGGCAACUUUUGGCGCCAUUGAUACGAAAGUUAGGAAUAGUCUGCCGUCAACAGAUCGUUUGUGGCACCGUUGUUAUCAUACUACUUUGUUGUUGACACUUUGCUUGCAGAUACUAAUCUUUUCGGUGUGGUUGAAUCUGACACAUUCAACUGCUAAUACUUGAGAAUAUACUUUCACUUCCCGUCAUGCGAACCAACAAAUUUGGGUUGAAUACUCUACCCUCUAAAACUGCCUCGAUCCCACGCGCUGGUGGGCUAUUGGAAGACAAUUUCUAAUUGUUGAAAAAUCGAGAACAGCAUUUUUCUAGCCAUUGCCAGGGAUCUGCUAACAGCCCCCCUGGCCGCGGGGUGGGGGCUUGUGGGGUCCCUGGGGCUCUUCUGACUUGGCCCCCAAGCUCUCCGAUGUUGUUCCAUUCCAGAAAAAAUAUUUUCGGGGAUUUUCUUCCGUUUGGACUCCGUUUCAAAAUCUCCUCUGAAAGGGGUCAAAAACAUGGAAAAACACGAACUGUCACUUGGCACUGAGUUAAUAGGUUAGUCCCAGAAAAUAAAUAAAAGUCAUGCAAAACAUCCAAAGUUUGACAAGAUAAUAGCAUGAAACCAUCAAAAAUUAUAGAUACGUUGGAGACGUAUCAAGCAUCCCCAAGCUUAACUCCUGCUCGUCCUCGAGUAGGGAAGUGAUAAAGAAUGAAUUUUUGAUGUGGAAUGCUACCUAGCAUAGUUGUCCUUUGCAACUUCUUUCACGUGGCAUGAAUGUUCAGAUCCAUACGAUUCAAAACAAUAGUUUGCUAUUGACAUGAAAACAGUAAUACUUCAAGCAAACUAGCAAAGUAAUCAUGAACUUUCAAAAUAACAAGGCCAAAGAAAGCUAUCCCUACAAAAUCAUAUCGUCUGGCUAUGCUCCAUCAUCCUCACACAACUAAUGUAAAUCAUGCACAACCUCGGAAUUGGCCAAGUAAUAGUUUUUGCACUCUUACUUUCUGAAACUUUUUAUAACUAUCACGCAAUACAUGAGCGCGAGCCAUGGAUAUAGCACUAUAAGUGGAAUAGAGUGUGUUGGUGGUUGUGAGACAAAAAGGAGGAGAUGGUCACAUUGACUCGGCGUAUCAAUAGGCUAUGGAGAUGCCCAUUAAUAGAUAUCAAUGUGAAUGAGUAGGGAUUUCCAUACAAGAGAUUCACUAGAGCUAUAAGUAUGUGAAAGCUCAAGAGGAAAACUAGUGGGUGCGCAUCCAACUUGCUUGCUCACGAAGACCUAGGGCAAUUUUGAGGAAUCCCAUCAUUGGAAUAUACAAACCAGGUUAUAAAACGAAGAUUCCCACUAGCAUAUGGUAGUGACAAAGCAAGAAGCUCUCAAUCAUGAAGAACAUGGUGCUUAUUAUGAAGCACAAGUGUGGAAAAAGAUAGUAGCAUUGUCCCUUCUCUCUUUUAAUCUCAUUUCUUUUUUUGGGCUCUUAGGCCUCUUUUUUCUUUUCUCUCCUUUUUUUGUUUUGGGCUCUUUGGCCUAUUUUUUUAUCUUUUUAUUUCCUCAUAUGGGACAAUGCUCUAAUAAUGAUGAUCAUCACACUUUAUAGUUACUCACAGCUCAAAGAUCACAAUGAUGAUGACUCCAUAGGAAAUGCCUCCGGCAGUGUACCGGGAUGUGCAACAAUCUAGUAUGAUCAUGCAAUGGGAAUAUGAGAGUGACGGCACAAGUCAUGAGACGGAACAGUGGUAGUUGCAGGGCAAUAUAUCUCGGAAUGGCUAUGAAAAUGCCAUAGUAGGUAGGUAUGGUGGCUGUUUUGAGGAAGGAAUUUGGUGUGUUUGUGCACCGGCGAGAAUUGCGCGGCGCUAGAGAGGCUAGCAAUGGUGGAAGGUGAAAGUGCAUCUAUACCAUGGACUCAACAUUAGUCAUAAAGAACUCACAUACUUGUUGCAAAAGUUUUUAUUAGUAAUCGAAACAAAAUGCUAAACGCAUGCUCCGAGGGGAAGGGUUGGUAGGUGUUAACCAUCGCGCGAUCCCGACCUCAACACAAAGGAUGACAAUCAAUAGACCAAUUAUGCUCCGACUUCCUAACAUAGCGGUUCACCAUACGUGCAUGCUACGGGAAUCACUAACUCCAACACAAGUAUCUCUAGAUUCACAACACCCUACUAACAUAACUUUUAAUAUUACAGAAUCCACGUCUCAAAACUAAUUGAGAGGAACCAAAACUUCUCUUUCUACUCAAUGCACAUGAAGAUGGAGGUUUUUGCAUCCUCUUUGGGUACCUAGCACAUGGGACUACUUUCAUAGCAUAAGACAACUACCAAAUCACGCAUCGUCGUGCUCUAAAGAUAUAAGUGAAGCACAAGAGCAAAAGUAUCUAGCUCAAAAGAUAUAAGUGAAGCACUAGAGCAAAAGUAUCUAGCUCAAAAGAUAUAAGUGAAGCACUAUGAGCAUUCUAGCAAAAUCACGAUGAGCGCAGGUCUCUCUCUCAAAAAGGUGUGCAGCAAGGAUGAUUUUGACACAACAAAAAGAAAAGACUCUUAUGAUAGAAGACGGUCCAAGCAAAACACAUAUCAUGUGGUGAAUAAAAAUAUAGCUCCAAGUAAUGUUACCAAUGGAUUGAAGACGAAAGAGGGGAUGCCUUCCCGGGGCAUCCCCAAGCUUAGGCUUUUUGGCGUCCUUGAAUUUGGCUUGGGGUGCCUUGGGCAUCCCCAAGCUUGAGCUCUUUCCACUCCUUAUCUCUUUGUCCAUGAGAACGUCACCCAAAACUUGAAAACUUCACAACACAAAACUUAAACAGAAACUUGUGAUAACAUUAGUAGAAGAAAACAAACUACCACUUCUUUUGGUACUGUAACAAACUUGAAUUCCAUCUAUAUUGAUGAUGAGCUACUGUAGUCUCAAUUUCCCAUGGCUAGUACACCCCGAUACCAACCAUAGUUUCAUCAAAACAAGCAACCAACUCAACAAAAACAGAAUCUGUCAAAAACAGACUAGUCUAUAGCAAUCUGUAUACUUCGUAUACUUCUGGUACCUCAAAAAAUCUGAAACAUUACGACGGUCUAGGGAAAAAGCAUAUAAAUCAGCAGUAAAAAUAAUCAACUGAAAAUCUCUUUCUUAAUAAAAAUGAAAAAUCAUCUCGUGAGCGAAAAUUUAUGUCUUUCUCCAGCAAGAUCAAACAACCAUUACCAAGACCAAUCAUAAAGGUUUUGCUUGGCUCAAACACAAAAAGAAACACAAAAAACACAAUCACAACAGAAUUGUGAAAGUGUGGACGCAACAAAACAGAAAGAAAAAGAUAAAUUCAUUGGGUUGCCUCCCAACAAGCGCUAUUGUUUAACGCCCUUAGCUAGGCAUAGUAGCGAUAGAAUCACGUAUCGUCGUCUUUGCUGCUCAAACCAUAAGUGGCCCUCAUCAUGGAUUCAUAAGGCAAUCUUAUUUUCUUUCUAGGAAAGUGUUCCAUGCCCUUACUUAAAGUAAAUUGAAAUCUAAUAUUCCCUUCCUUCAUAUCGAUGAUAGCACCGAUAGUCCUUAGGAAAGGUCUAUCAAGAAUAAUAGGGCAUGUAGGAUUGCAAUCAAUGUCAAGCACAAUGAAAUCCACGGGUACAUAGUUCCUAUUUCCAAUAAUAAGAACAUCAUUUAUCCUUCCCAUGGGUUUCUUGAUAGUAGAAUCAGCAAGAUGCAAAUUAAGAGAACACUCUUCAAUCUCAUUAACACCCAGAAUAUCACAUAAAGACUUUGGAAUCACAGAAACACUAGCACCCAAAUCACACAAAGCAUUGCACUCAUAGUUUUUUAUUUUGAUUUUGAUGGUAGGUUCCCACUCAUCAUGAAGCUUCCUAGGGAUAGAGACUUCCAAUUCAAGUUUCUCUUCAAGAGCUUUUAUCAUAGUGUCACGCCCAAGAUGCGACCCUCUCCUCAAUUUGGCACGGGGGCCUCGUGAGGGAUAGAAGCGCAUCUCGUCGUGUCGCAAGAUUGGAUAUCGUUACAAGUACAUGUACUGAAAAGAAGAGAUAUAUAAUAGAAUUGGCUUACACUCGCCACAAGCUACAUCAGAGUCACAACAAUACAUUACAUAAUCAUCAAGAGCAAGAGCAGGGUCCGACUACGGACGAAAACAAACGAGAAAAAUAAGAACGACGUCCAUCCUUUCUAUCCCCGGCUGCUGGCCUGGAACCCAUCCUAGAUCGAUGAAGAAGAAGAANUUACCUGUACCUGCAACUGGUGUUGUAGUAAUCUGUGAGCCACAGGGGACUCAGCAAUCUCAUUUCCAAAGGUAUCAAGACUAGCAAAGCUUAAUGGGUGAGGUAUGGUUAAGUGGUGAGGUUGCAGCAGCGGCUAAGCAUAUAUUUGGUGGCUAAACUUACGAGUACAAGAAAUAAGAGGGGGGAAGAUCUACGCAUAACGGACGUGAACUACUGGUGAUCAAAGGAAUGAUCCUGAACACCUACCUACGUCAGACAUAACCCCACCGUGUCCUCGAUCGGAGAAGGAACUCACGAAAGAGACAGUCAUGGUUACGCACACAGUUGGCAUAUUUUAAUUAAAUUACUUCAAGUUAUCUAGAACCAGUGCUAAACAAAGUUUCCACGUUGCCACAUAACCGCGGGCACGGCUUUCCGAAAAGAUUUAACCCUGCAGGGGUGCUCCAACUAGUCCAUCACAAAUUACCACAAGCCGCAUAGAAAUCCUCAAUCACGAUGCUCGCGAUCUAGUCGGAUUCCCUAGUGGAAAACCUCAACUCUGAGAAUACCCAAAGCAUCACCGGAAUCCCGAUGCACAAGAUAUCUCGUCAAAGGUAAAACUAAUCCAGCAAGGCCGCCCGCGUGUCGACGAUCCCGAUAGGAGCCACGUAUCUCGUUCUCAGGACACGACGAAUAAACACAGCGUACGGUGGCCUGAUAGAAAUCUCCCGAGUUUCCCCGGGUUGGCCUCGCAAACGGCUCUAGUUUAGGACCAACACUCAUGAGGAGCACUGGCCCGGGGGUUGAUUAAAUUAUCCUCGGGGUCUGGAAAGUCCCUAUGCAAUUUAUUAGGUGAUUAGGCAAAUGUAGUACCAAAGUUGGGCCUUGCCAGACCAGCUUUAAUCUAAAGCGAAUUAUCAAGGGGGUCCCCAUAACAACCCCGAUCGUGUUAGGAGCGCUCAUUUAUGGAACAUAACACCGGUAGCCGAAACUAAGGGGGAAAAGGUGGAACAAAACACCAGGCUAGAAAGGCCGAGCCUUCCACCUUUUACCAAGUAUAUAGGUGCAUUAAAUUAAAUAGCAUUUAAAUAUGGUGAUAUAACAAGGAACCCAUGUUUUCACAUGGAAGCAACUGCACCUGCAACUAGCAACGCUAACACAGGGUUAAGCAAGCAGUAACAUAGCCAAUCAGUGGUUUGCUAGGUCAAACAGGUUGAAGGUAAUCAUGGCAUUGUUGAGAGGCUGACAUUUAACAAGUGGUAGGCAACGAGACAUAAACGAUAGAAGCGGUAAACUAGCAUGGCAAUGAUAGUAAUGGUAUCUGGGGAAAUGAUCAUCUCGCCUGAGAUCCCGCUUGGAAGAAGAAUGCCUCCGUGAAGCAGACGAACCGACGUAGUCGAACGGG